Molecule: long non-coding RNA, 89964 nt
Filed under: Physcomitrium patens
Lineage: Eukaryota; Viridiplantae; Streptophyta; Bryopsida; Funariales; Funariaceae
Description: long non-coding RNA (PPAT_LNC014278)
Rfam family: Histone 3' UTR stem-loop (bases 60298-60343)
Source: RNAcentral
ACGCAUCGGAUUUUGCCUUGGGUGCAGUUUUAUCACAAAUGGGAACAGAUGACAAACUUCAUCCGAUAGCUUUUCAUUCAAGAAAAUUCUCAGCAGCCGAGAUCAAUUAUGAGAUCCACGAUAAAGAACUUCUUGCAAUCGUGGAUUCCUUUCAAGAAUGGCGUUAUUAUCUAGAAGGUGCUUCUAGUCCAGUCACUGUGUAUACAGAUCACAAGAACCUCGAGUAUUUCAUGUCAGCAUGCGUGUUGAAUCAUCGUCAAGCUCGUUGGAGUAUGUCUUUAUCAAGAUUCGACUUCAUUAUCACUUAUCGGCCAGGAAAACAACAAGGUUUGUCCGAUGCCCUGUCUAGACGUUCUUAUUUUGCACCAAAAGAAGGAGAUGCAGCUUUUGAGCAACAAAGAACGGUCCUCUUGAAACCGAAGCAAUUUCAUCUCCGAGCAGUGAAAUCAACAUUGACUGUUGAUUCAACUUUUCUCAAGCAAAUCCAGUCCAGUAUGUCCUCAGACCCUCUUGUUCAUGAUAUCGAGAAUAAUUCUUCCAAGUCUCAUGAUUCUUCUAAGUUUGAGUUCAAGAAUAAUCUAUUAUAUUUUGAAGGACGCCUAUAUGUUCCAAAAGGAAAAGCACGUUUGCGUGUUCUUCAAGCACGUCAUGACUUUCCAGCAGCAGGGCACUUUGGAUAUAAUAAGACUCUGGAACUCAUAUCAAGAGAUUUUUGGUGGCCACAAAUGUGGAAGUCAGUCAAAGACUUUGUACAAUCAUGUGAUAUUUGUUCAAGAUCAAAAAUUCCUCGACAUCGACCUUACGGACUUCUUCAGCCAUUACCUAUACCAGAACAACCAUGGUCUUCUGUUUCUAUGGAUUUCAUCACAGAUCUUCCAAACUCAAGAUCUUAUGAUUCUAUAUUUGUGAUAGUAGAUCGUUUCACCAAGAUGGCACAUUUUGUGCCAUGUACAAAAUCUAUCACAGGUGAAGAAACAGCUAAGCUUUUCAUUGAUAAUAUCUAUCGCUAUCAUGGAUUACCUAAAGAUAUCAUAUCGGAUAGGGGAACUCAAUUUGUGUCGAGAUUCUGGAGGACUUUUUUCAAGAUUUUAAAAGUGGACAUAAAGCUAUCUUCAGCUUUCCAUCCUCAAACUGAUGGACAAACAGAGCGUGUAAACCAAGUCUUGGAACAGUAUUUAAAGUGUACCAUCAACUACCAACAAGAUGAUUGGACAAACCUUCUGCCAUUGGCAGAGUUUGCUUAUAAUAAUACGGUACAUUCCUCCACGCAACAAACACCUUUCUUUGCCAAUUAUGGCUAUCAUCCACGACUUGAUACUUUUGAUUUUUCAAAAGUUGAUAAUCCUGCAGCAGAAGAUAUGGCAAAUCGGUUGUCAGAGUUACAUGCAAUAAUGAAGGUGCAGUUGAAGAAAGCUCAAGAACGACAAAAGAUAAAUGCAGAUGUAUAUCGUAAAGAGCAACCACAACUCAACGUGGGUGAUAAGGUAUGGCUACUUCGUCGCAAUAUCAAGACCACUCGACCUUGUGACAAAUUGGACUAUCGUAGGCUUGGCCCCUUUUCUGUUUCUGAACAGAUCAACCCAGUUGCAUAUCGGUUACAUCUACCGGAGUCAAUGAAGAUCCAUCUUGUAUUCCACGUGUCUCUUCUUGAACCAUAUAAGAAAGUGGAUAUACAAGGAAGAAGACAAAUGCCACCGCCUCCUAUAGAAGUAGAUAAUAAUGAAGAAUUUGAGGUGGAAGAGAUAUUAGACUCAAGGCGGCGCCGAAAUAAGCUGGAAUAUCUUGUUCAUUGGUGCGGAUAUGAUAUUAGUGAGCGCACAUGGGAGCCAUCCAGGAAUCUAGCAAAUGCAUCAGCUAAAGUCAAAGUUUUUCAUCAACGACAUCCAUCAAAACCAAGAUGAAAACCUCUCUUAUAAAAGAGACAAGAUUGAGGCAAGAUAACAUUGAAUUUCCUAUCCUUGUUUGUAACUUCUUUGCAUUUUGUGACGCUAAUUAGAUGGAGAGCCAACAACCAGCGGAUUCAACUCAAGAACCUUCGUUUGCUGACUUACCGGAUGAGACAUUGCGAUUGUCACAACCUUCAAGACGACGCAACCGAAAUGAAGACCCUCAAGAACGACAUGUUCUUCCUCGAAUAGAUGGUGAGAUACAACGCGUUUGGUAUCACGACCUUGGAAGAGAUUCUCGAUGUUUGGUGAUAUUAUUGGAGAUAGGAACGACUCCUGAUGGUGUUUCAAAUGUAUUAUUUGAAGGAAGUUAUGAAGGCUUCAACAGUGAUCAAAUAACAGGGUGGUCUUCUCGCCCUGGAAUGGGACACUAUCGAUGGCUAAGAGGACCCAUCAACUAUCUUCGAAGAGAACAAAGAUCAGAGUAUGUAGCAAAUACAAUUCGUCGCAUAUUAGAUUUUCUCAAUAUAUAAUCACCGCUCCUCGUGGAACUCGUACCUAGAAGGGGGGGUAAUGUCACGGACAUACAUAUAAUUACCUAUAUGAAUAGAUAAAAGUAUGUAAAAGUAGGUUAAUUGUGUAAUAUCUUCUAGAGAAGCUUCUUAGAAGCUUCAUAGACGCUGCUUUGACUUUAUAGGAGUCUAUAGUUGACUUUUAGGUUAGAAACUUGGUCAACAAGUUAGCCAUGUGCCACGCAUAUUGGAAGCUUAAAGAACAAGCUAACUACGUGGUCCAUCCAUAGAAAACUUGCCUUGCAAGCAAAGGCAUGUGGCCUAGAAAGUCAACAUAUAUUGGAGGUCUUAUAGAACAUCGCCACGUGGCUUCUAGUUAGAUAGUAUAUAUAGAGGCAAGAGUGAAGCCCUCUUCACUCUUGUCAACUCCUUUCUUGCUUCUAGUCUAGUUUCAAGGGUCUCUAGUUUUCUUGUAUUUUGGCAAUAGCCAUUCCAGUUUCUUUCUUAAUAUACAUAUUUCUAUUUUGUCCUAUUUCUUUUUGAAAAAAGUCUCACUUACUCUUUAGCUUUCAUCGAGUUCUUGUCCCUGACAACUAACCACUUUAACACACAUCUAGAUUUAUUAACAUAUAAUAUGUUUUAAAUAAUUUUUACAUACUAUAAGCAUUUACAAUACAACAACGUGAGUUAGAUGAAGCUAUCAUUAAAAUUCUAAUAGUAGAAAAGAAAGUGGAGGCCUUCAAAAGAAAGGAUGGGCGGUUCAAAAUAAUAGACCUUGAAGCAUCUUUUCUUCAAUAUUUAAACCAAAAACAUGAAGUAAAGGAACUUAUGAGUGAUUUAAAGAAAUCUCAAGAAAAUGAAGAAGAAUAGCAUUUGGCAUGUAUUAGAGGAUGUGCAAGUUCAAAGAAGAUAGAUAUUGUGUUGUAAUUGUUUAUAGUAUAUAAAAAUUAAUUAAAACAUAUAUUUUGUUUAUAAAUUAUAUUUUGAAUUAAAAUAGUUAGUAGGUUAAUUUAAAGAAAAUUGAUGUAAGAAAAUUGAAUAUAAAAUUUAUCUAUUUAAAUUAUAAUAUUUAUGUUAUAUAAAAUUUAAAUAUUUAAUAAAAAAUUUAGAUAUUUAGUAUAAAAUUAGGAGCUCAAAGAUGAAGAUCCAUACUACUAAGAAGCUUAUUUGGAGGAAUGAAAGCAAGGUAUAGAUGGAUGAAGGCAAUGGAUGAAGAUCUUUAUUCUUAUUAAUCAAAGGCUAUAUCUAAUAAGCUUUCAAUAGGCUACUUGUGACCAUAAUAAGGAUUUUGGUGACUUUAAAAGGAGAAUUUUUUUUAAAAAAACUAAAAAUUAUAAGAUUUAAAAUUUAAAUUAUAAUUUUUAUAAAAAAUGUAGAGAAUUUGGAGUUAAGAUAAAGAAGUUAUAGCCAUUUGAAGUUAACAUAUCUUAUUGGAUAUAUUAUCACUCUUUUGAAGAUACAAGAAGUUAUACAAUAACUUUUGGAGAUUGGAAGGUGUAGCUCUAAGGGUGAUUUUAAGACCUAUGUCUUUUGUAAAAGAAUUGCUAUAUUUGAAGUUUUUAUGAAGAAGUUAUAGAGCAUUAAAGAUAACAUAUAUAAUUCAAAAGUAAUAAGUAAGUCAUUUUAUUGAUAGUAAUAGUUGGAACCAUAUUUUAAGUUUUUAGAUAAAUAUUUAUCUAAUAUUUUUUAAAAUUAUGAAUUAUUAGGUUAAAAAUCUAUAUAUGAAAAUUUUAUAAUAUUUAAAUAUUUAAUUUGUGAGAUAAGAAGAAAAUUACACACACAUACAUAUAUAUAUAUAUAUAUAUAUAUAUAUAUAUAUAUAUAAGUAAGGGUUUGAAGCUACUAUUAGAAUUUUGGUAAUAUCUCAAGAUCCUUAAUAAAUUUUCAAUUGAAUUUUUUUUAAUAUUUAUUUAAAAUACAUCAAUAUUUUGUGUAAUUUUUUUGUUUUUUUGGAUAGUCCAAUUGUAAGAUAUGAGUUGUUGAAGUUUUAAAAAAAAUCAUCUUAAAGAUAUAUAAAGAUUUAAAAUAUUUUUAUCAUAUUUUAGAUAUUUUUUGAUACUUAGGGCUUAUGUAUUAAUGUAAUUAUUCCUAUAAAAAUAAUAUUAUAUAUAAACUUUGUACUUUCUUAUCUUGAGACUUGAUUGAGUAAUUAAUGAUAGCUAGGAAUUCAAUGCUUUCUUGAGGCAACUCUCUCUACUUUGAUAUUAUUACACAUUAUAUUACUAUUAAGGAAUAUUCCUUAUUUCUUCAUAUAGACAAAAAGUGCUCCUGUCAUUCAAUUGGUAAGUAUAAUUAAUUUCAUCUUUCUUAUACUUUUUUUUAAUUAAGACAUUAAGAAGUGUAUAAAUUUUGAAUUGACAUCAAUGGUUUGAUUAUUAGUUAUUGAAUUUCCAUUUGCUAUAGAGUUUGUUAAGAGUUUGUUUAAAAUCUAGAAUUUUAUUUGGAUUGGUUUUGGAUUUGGUCUAAGGUUUGCUUAAAAUUUGGUUUAGAAUUAGACUAAGAUUUGAUCUAAUAUUUAGUUAAGAUUCAAUUAGGAUUUUAAUUAAGGUUAUAUUAUAGUUUUUAUUUUUAGUAUUUUUUAAGGAUUUUUUAUUAUUUCUUUAAAAGUUUUUAUUUCUAAUAUUUUUUUAAGAUUAUUGUAAUUUCUUUAAAUUUUUAUUUUUAUAUUUCUUUAAGAUUUUUUGUUAUUUUUUUUUGGAAUUAGUUUGAGACUUCUUUGUUUUUUUUUUAUAACUUCUUUUAAAUUUAAUUUUGAUUGAUCAAAGUUUGAUUAGGAUUAUUAAGAUCUACUUAAGGUUAUUUAAGAUUCUAGUAGACUUGAUAAGGUUGUUCUUGCAUUUCUAUUUACCUUACAUAGCUAGGCACUCGAUAUUAGGAUAGAAAGAAUUUGCCUUAAAAUUUGCUAGACUUUUGAUUGUCACUAAUAAUUCAACUAAGUCUCAAGAUAAAAAAUAAUAAUAAAAAAAACACCAAUUUUAUAUAAAAAAUAGUCACUAUAGGAGCAAUUACAUCAAUACAUAAGCUCUAAGUACUAAAGAUCAUCUAAAAUGUGAUAAAAAUAUUCUAAAACCUUCUAUAUUCUUAAGGUGAAAUUUUUCUAAACUUUGACAAUUCAUAACUUACAAUCGGAUUAUCCAAACAAAAAAUAAAAUUUUACAUGAAGUACUGAUGUACUUUAAACAACUACUACAAUAAAUCUCAACUACAAAUUCAAUGCGCAUCUUGAGAUAUUACCAAAAUCCUAAUAAAAGCUUCAAAUUCUUACUUAUAUAUAUAAAUAUAUAUAUAUAUAUAUAUAUAUAUAUAUAUAUAUAGGUAUGUAUAAUUUUCUUCAUAACUUACAAAUUAAGUAUUUGAAUACCAUAAAAUUUUUAUAUGUAGCUUUUUAACCUAUUAUCAUAUAUUUUUAUAAAUUUUGAGCCAAAUAUUUGUUCAAAAAUUCAAGAUACGGUUCCAACUAUUAUUAUCAAUAAAACAACUCACUUACUACCUUUGAAUUACAUGUACUAUCUUCAACGCUAUAUAAUUCCUUCAUACAAACUCCAAAUAUAACAAUUCUUUUAUAAAAGAUAUAGAUCAUAAAAUUUCUUUUGCGAUUGCAUCUCUUGAUUUUCAAAACUUAUUGUAUAACUUCUUAUAUCUUCAAAAGAGUAAUAAUAUAUCUUUAAAAUGUACCUUAAUUUCAAAUGGCUAUAAUUUCAUCACACUAACUUCAAAUCUUCUAAAUUUUACCUACAAAUUGUAGUCCAAAUUCAAAAUCUUUCAAUUCUUACUUUUGAUUUUCAAAUGCCCUUAUUGAAGUUCCCAAAAUCUUUAUUACGGUUGCAAAUAGCCUCAUAAGAGCCUAUUGGAUAUGGCUUUCAAUUAAUAGGGAUGAAGAUCUUCACAUCUUGCCUUUAUCUAUCCAUAUCUUCCUUUCAUCCCUUUAAAUAAGCUUUUUAGAAAUUUGAAUCUUUAUUUUUGAGCUCCAAUCUUCUCUUUAAAUUUUAUACUAAAUAUCUAAGUUUUAUAUAAUUUCAACAUGAUAAUUAAAAUAGAUAAUCUCAAAAUAAAUUUUCUUAUAUCAACUCUCUUUAAAUUAACUUACUAAUCACUCUAAUAUACAUGAAUAUCUAUAAACAUAUUAUACGUUUUAGUUAAUUUUUACAUACUAUAAACAAUUACAAUACAAUAUAAAAGUAUUUUUAAGCAAAAAUAGUCAAAAUAUAAUAACAUAGUAGAUAGUAUCUUUUAGAGCCUAAAAUAGAAUCUUUAUCAUUUCUAAUUCCAAGAACUAAUGUAGCCAAUAGAAAUAAUUACAACUUCCAAACUAAUAUCCAAAUUGAUCCAAUAAUAUUUUUUAUGAGAUUAUUAAUUGUAGUAUCUUUAAGAUUAUAAAGAAUAUUAAUUCUACCUAACCUCCUAAAAUUUAGUAAAGCUAUCAAUGAAGACUAAGCAUUCCAUGUAAAAAACUUUAUAGAGGUAUUUAUUACUAUUUUAAUAAUUAAUUAUGAUUAAUAUUUAAUAUAAUUUUCAACAACCUUGAAUUUUUUUGCAUAUACUUAGUAUAGAUCACAUGUAGAAAGAGUAUUUUCUAAAUAGAAAUAACUUCUAAUAGUAUUCUAUAUUCUAUACAAGCUUGUAAUUGGCCAACAAUAAGCCUUUUUAGCCUUAACAAAUAUUAGACAAUAUUCUACAAAAAACAUCACUUCUUAUAUAAAGUAAUUUUUUAUAGUAUAUAUUCAAUAUGUUGAUAAUCCUUUAAAUAAAGAUACUAUAAGGCACUACUUUAUCCAAGGUUUUGCUAUAACUUCUACAAUUCAAGAAAUCCUAAAUAAGAGGCCUAAAGAUUUAGAAGGAGCUAUUUAAGCUACCUUGAAAGUGGAGGUUAUUGAUAAACAAAUGAUUGUAUGUUUAGAAAGAUAAAUGAAUCAAUAUCCAUCUUUAUACUUUUGCAACAUUGAUCUAAAAAAUUUCAUCAAUUUCUAGCUUUUAGCUACUUACAAUCCUCUAUAUUUUCCUUGCCAAUUAGCAAUUCAAUGCCUUUUGCUAUAGAAGUUCUUCAUGAUCAAGUUUAAACUAAGAUCUUUAAUAAUAUGACAUUAGAAGAAUUUAAAUAUAAAAUAAGAUAAGCCAAUGAGCUAUUCAAAUAUGAGAUGAUGAAUAUUAUGAAGGCCAUUAGUGAAAAAAUGUCUUGCCUUGUCAAAAAUCAAAUUCUAAUUAUAGAGCCUAGAUACCAAAAAUUGAUAAUUCAUACCUCUAAAUUGUGUUCAAUAAAUUAUAGAAAAAUAAAUCAUACAUUAUAAUUUUAUCCAAAAUUCUUAUAACAACAACCUAUCAAAAAAAAUCAAUUCGAAUUAUAUAAGUUUCUUCAUCAAUUGAUACAAUUAAGUAAUAAUUUUCCUUCAAAUCAAAUAAGUAGUAUGUCACCUUAUCCUACUUGGAGAAAGGUACAUCAAGUAAGUCAAUGUUGGAUUGAAAAUGGAGUGGUAUGCUUUGAUUGUGGAGGUUCUUAUCAUAUGGAUUGUUAAAAAAGACCUAACUAAGUUAUUCUUUCAACUUUUUUUUCAAGGAAUUAUAAUAAUCAAGCCAAAAGAAAUAUACAAGGAGUUAGAUUUGUAAAUUCUAUUGUUACAAAAUAUUUAUCAAAUAUGUAUUAUGACCCUUCAAGCAAUGGUCAAAGUUUUUUGUAUAUAUAUAUAUAUAUAUAUAUAUAUAUAUAUAAGCUUAAUCUUAUUCAUAUGACUUUCAUUAUCUACAUCUUUUGAAUUUCAAGUUAAGCCAUAGACCUUCAAUGAUGAAAUUCAAUGUUCCAAUGCAUUAAUUCACAACAAUAUCAUUAUGAAAUAUUGUCCAAAUCUCCUAUACUAUGAAAAUGUAUAUAUGAGCUCAAUCUUUUUUAUAUGACUAUGAUAAUCUAUAUUACUUGAGUUUUGUAACAAGCCAUUAAUCUUCACAUGGUCAACUUUAACACUCCAAUAUGCCAAUCCACAACAAUAUAAUGAUGAAAUAUUUUUCAAAUUUCUUAUUAUAUUCUAUAUAUAUAUAUAUAUAUAUAUAUAUAUAUAUACAAACUCAAUCUUGUUUAUAUGAUGGUGAUAAUUUAUAUCACUUGAAUUAUGAGAUGAACUAUAGACCUUUAUAUGAUGAACUUCAAUAGUCCAUAUAUCAAUCCACAAUAAUGUGAUGAUGAAAUAUUCUCCAAAUCUUCUAUUACAUUGCACAUAUAUAUGUAAGCUCAAUCUUGUUUAUAUGAUGAUGAUAAUUUGCAUCACUUAACUUGUAAGAUAUGCCAUACACCUUCACAUGAUCAACUUUAAUGCUCUAUGUCUCAAUUUAUAAUAAUGUGAUGAUGAAAUAUUCUUGAAUCUCUUUAUUAAAUUAUUCAUGUAUAUGUGAGCUUAAUAUUGUUCAUAUAAUAGUAAUUAUCUAUAUUACUUGGGUUGCAAGUUAUGCCAUAAAUUUUCACCUGAUUACUUUUAAUAUUCCAAUGUAUCAAUUCAAUAGGACAUGAACCACCACCUAUAAGUAGAGAGAAUUCGAAGUGACAAUCAUCUCACUCGACACUUCUCUUGUAUAGAGCCUUCUUGAUUUAUGUUUAUAUUUGUCUUAUUGAUUAUAUUUUUUCAAUCAAAGAUACCAUAUUUAUAUAUAGAAUAAUUAAUAUCAUUUAAAAAAUAUAUAUAUCCAAUGAGAGAACAAAGAUUGAAUGAACAAUUGUUGUAUUUUUUUGACAAAGAUUUGGUUAUAGUCUAUAAUUUUUUUUAUUAAAUAAAGAUUUAGUUUUAUUCAAGAAUUUAUUUUACUAGUCAAAUAUUUCAAAGUUAAGUCUAUAUUAUUUUACCAUCCAAUAGAUUCCUUAUUGAUACUAGAUCAUUAGGCUUUUGAUUCUUUCGAAAACUUUAAUCCAUCCAUUAUCCUUAUUUCACUACUAUUAUCAAGUAUAUCCUAAUAAAGUAUCAAUUGUCUGAAAUACAAUUCUUUCUAUUUGAAGAAGUACCUUUUUUUGUUUGAUGUUUUUUUUGUUUCAUUUUUUUUUAAAGGUUUUUGUUAAACCUUCCUUCAUAUCAUAAGUGUGAGCUCUCUAUUAUGCUCUAAAAUUUAAAUUUUUGAUAUUUUCUUAUUUUAUGAUAAUUGAGUAUAUUAGAUUAUGAUUUAUAUAAGUAGAAUUUAAUUUUAUAGAAUUUUUAGGAUUACAACCUUUGAUAGUAUAAAUUAUAGCCUAAUUCUUUGAAUUAGAAAAUUAGAAUAGUAACUUAUUUAGUUUUAAUAAUUUAUAGUUGUUAAUUACUAAUAUGAGGGUUGAUUAAAAGCCUAUAAAUUUACUUAUAAUUAUUUUACAUGAUUUAGAGUGAAUUAGAAUUAUAAUUUUUUUAAAUAUUUAGUGAAUUUUAGCAAUGAAAAUUUUGAAAUUUCCUCCAAUUCAAUAAAUUCAAGCGGCAUAGUAGUUCUUCUAAUUAAUAGAAGUCUUUUUAAUGCAUAGUAGUACCGGAUUCAUCCUAUGGACUGAAGAAAACAAGAUCAGGACCCUCUCCUUCAAAAUUGUCAAGGACAAGAACUUGAUGAAAAAAUAAUUCAGACAAGUGAGCCUUCACUCAAAGAGAGGUAACAAAAUAUAUAUAAACAAGUAUAUAUAUUGAAAUAGAAACUGGAAUGGCUAUUGCCAAAAGACAAGAAAAUUAGAGACCCUUGAAACUAGACUAAAAGCAAGAAAGGAGUUGAUAAGAGUGAAGAAGCCUUCUUUCUUGUCUCUAUAUAUACUAUCUAACUAGGGGCUACGUGGCGACGUUCUAUAGGACCUCCAAUAUGUGUUGACUUUGUAGGACACAUGCCUUGACUUACAAGGCAAGUUUUUCUAUGUGUGGGCCACAUAGUUAGCUUGAUCUUCAAGCUAACAACAUGUGUGGCACAUGGCCAACUUGUUGACCACGUUUCUAAUCCAAAAAGUCAAUUAAAGACACCUAUGAAGUCAAAGCAGUAUCUAGGAAGCUUCUAAGAAACUUCCAUAUUAAAUAUUGUAGAAUUAACUUACUUUUACCUACUUUUACUUACUUCUACCUAUUUGUAUAUGUAAUUAUUAGCUUACAUGAUUAUGGCCGUGACAUUACCCCCCCUUCUAGAGACGAGUUCCACGAGGAGCGGUCAUCAUAUGUUGAGAAAAUCUAUGAUGCGACGAAUUGUAUUCGCCACAUACUCUGAUCUUUGUUCUCUUCGAAGAUGAUUGAUAGGACCUCUCAACCAUCGAUAGUGUCCCAUACCAAAGAGGAAAGACCACCUAGUUAUUUGAUCAUUGUUGAGGCCUUCGUAACUUCCUUUGAAUAGAAUAUUUGGAACACCAUCAAGAGUUGUUCCUACCUCUAGUACAAUCACCAAACAUCGGGAGUCCCUUCCCAAAUCGUGAUAUCAAACGUGUUGUAUCUUGCCAUCUAUUCGUGGAAGAAUAUGUCGUUCUUGAAGAUCUUCAUCUCGAUUACGUCGUCUUGAAGGUUGUGACAAUCGUAAUGUCUCAUCCGGCAGGUCAGCAAAUGAAGGCUCUUGAGUUGAAUCCGCUGAUUGUUGGUCUCCAUCUCCUGAGCGUCACUACUACAACGAAGCUACGAACAAGAAUUAAAAAUAGAAUGUUAUCUUGCCUAGAUGUUGUUUCUUUUAUAAAGAAGGUUUUCAUCUUGAUUUUGAUGGAUGUCGUCGAUGAAAAGCCUCCACCGCCUUUGCUGCAUUUGUAAGAUUCUUUAUUGGCUCCCAUGUGCGUUCACUAAUACCAUAUCUGCGCCAAUGGACAAGAUAUUCUAAUUUAUUUCGGCGUCGCCUUGAAUCUAGGACUUCUUCUACUUCAAACUCUUCAUUAUUGUCCACUUCUAUAGGAGAAGGUGGAGCUUGUCGUCUUCUUGGUAUGUCCAUUGUCUUGUAUGGUUCAAGAAGAGAUAUGUAGAAUACUGGAUGGAUUUUUAUUGACUCCUGUAGAUGUAAACGAUAUGCAACUGGAUUGAUUUGUGCAGAAAUGGAAAAUGGUCCCAACCUUCGAUAGUCCAACUUGUCACAAGGAUGAGUGGUCUUGAUAUUGCGACGAAGUAGCCAUAUCUUAUCACCCAAGAUGAAUGAUGGUUGUUCCUUUCGAUAGACAUCCGCAUUGACCUUUUGUUGUUCUUGAGCCUCUUUUAACUGUGCCUUUAUCGUUGCAUGUAGCUCUGAUAAAUGAAUUGCCAAAUCUUUUGUAGCAGGAUUAUCAACUUUUGAAAAGUCAAAAGUAUCAAUUCGUGGAUGAUAACCAUAAUUAGCAAAGAAAGGUGUUUGUUUUAUAGAAGAAUGUACCGUAUUAUUGUAAGUAAACUCUGCUAAUGGCAAAAGAGUUGUCCAAUCAUCUUGUUGGUAAUUAAUGGUACAUCUUAAAUAUUGCUCCAAAACUUCAUUAACACGCUCCGUUUGUCCAUCAGUUUGAGGAUGGAAUGCCGAAGAUAGUUUUAUAUCUACUUUAAGAAUCUUGAAAAGAGUCCGCCAAAAUCUUGAUACAAAUUGAGUUCCCCUAUCUGAUAUAAUAUCCUUGGGUAAUCCAUGAUAGCGAUAGAUAUUGUCAAGAAAGAGCUUAGCUAUUUUUUCACCUGUGAUAGAUUUUGAACAUGAUACAAAAUUUACCAUCUUGGUAAAACGAUCUACUAUCACGAAUAUAGAAUCAUAAGAACCUGAGAUUGGAAGAUCCGUGAUGAAGUCCAUAGAAACAGAAGACCAUGGUUGUUCUGGAAUGGAUAAUGGCUGAAGAAGUCCAAAAGGUCGAUGACGAGGAGUUUUCGAUCUUGAACAAACAUCACAUGAUUGUACAAAAUCUUUAAGUGCUUUCCACAUUUGAGGCCACCAAAAAUCCCUAGAUAUUAGCUCCAAAGUCUUAUUAUAUCCAAAAUGUCCUACUGUUGGGAAGUCGUGAUGAGCUUGAAGAAUACGUAAACGUGCUUCUCCUUCUGGAACAUAUAGGCGUCCUUCAAAAUAGAGUAGGUUAUUUUUGAAUUCAAAUUUAGAUAGAUCAUGAGAUUUAGAAGAAUUGUUCUUGAUAUGACGAACAAGAGGGUCUGAAGACAUACUUAACUGGACUUGCUUAAGAAAAGUUAAAUCAACAAUCAAUGUUGAUUUUAUUGCUCGAAGAUGAAAUUACUCCGGCUUCAAGAGAACCGUUCUUUGUUGCUCAAAAGCUGCAUCUCCUUCUUUUGGUGCAAGAUAAGAACGUCUAGACAAGGUAAUAGAUAAACCUUGUUGUUUUUCUAGCCGAUAAGUGAUGCUGAACUUGAAUCUUGAUAAAGACAUGCUCCAACGAGCUUGGCGACAAUUUAAUACGCGUGUUGACAUAAAAUAUUCGAGGUUCUUGUGAUCCGUAUAUACGGUGACUGGACUAGAAGCGCCUUCUAGAUAAUGAUGCCAUUCUUGAAAAGAAUCCACAAAUGUAAGAAGUUCUUUAUCGUGGAUCUCAUAAUUGAUUUCUACUGUUGAGAAUUUUCUUGAAUGAAAGGCUACUGGAUGAAGUUUGUCAUCUGUUCCCAUUUGUGAUAAAACCGCACCCAGAGCAAAGUCCGAUGCAUCUGUUUCCAUAAAGAAUGCUUUAGAAAAAUCAACACGAUACAAGAUUGGUGCAAAAACAAACGAUGUCUUUAAAGAUUCAAAAGCAACUUUCGCUUCUUAAUUCCAUUGAAGUUUGUCUUUACAAGUCAAACGUAUAAGUGGAGCUGCAACUCGAGAGAAGUCUUUCAUGAAGAUCCGAUAGUAGUUGGCAAAUUCCAAAAAACAUUAGACAUCUCUUACUGUUUUUGAGAUCUUCCAAUCUAUAAUAGUUUGAACUUUCUUAGGAUCCAUCAUAAGUCCAUCAUUUGAAAUGAUGUAACCUAAGAAAUCAACUUGAGUAGUAUGGAAUAUACACUUUUCUAUCUUGGCAUAGAGUCCUGCAUCUCUUAAUUUUUGUAACACACGACGAACAUGAAGUUCAUGUUCUUCUAGAUUCUUAGAAUAGAUCAAGAUGUCGUCUAGAUAACAUACCACAAAAUCGUCCAAAAACUCUCGAAAAACAUCAUUCAUUAGAUGUUGAAAAGCUGCUGGUGCAUUUUCAAGUCCAAAAGGCAUGACGUUGUAUUCAAAAUGUCCAUACCUAGUUCGAAACAUAGUCUUCCAUUCAUCUCCUUCUUUGAUGCGUACUAGAUUGUAUGCUCUCCGAAGAUCUAUUUUUGUAUAGAUCUUAGCUUGAUUCAGUUGAUCAAGAAGUCCAGAUAUUAAAGGUAGUGAAUACCUGUUUUUGAUGGUAAUCUUGUUGAGUCCUCGAUAAUCAACACACAUCCGCAAAGAUCCAUCUUUUUUCUUCACAAAUAAAAUUGGAGCUCCUGGUGGAGAUUUAGAAUGGCGUAUGAAAUUCUUGGCUAGAUUUUCUUCAAUAUAUUCCUUGAGUUUAGCCAACUCAUUUUGUGAUAAACUAUAGAUUGGUCCGAAUGGCGGUUGUGUUCCUUCUUGAAGGUCAAUUGAGCAAUCAUAGGGAUGAUGUUCCGAGAGUGUAUCCGCAUUUUUUUUUUCAAAUACAUCUUGAAAUUCUUGAUAUUGGCUUGGAAUGCCACUUGAAGUCUUUUCACCAGUAGAAACGGGUGUAGCAUAAAUAAUGUAUGAUGAUUCUUUCAUAGCAGUAUGUAAAAAAGCUUUCGCACCUAUAAAUACGGGUUUAAUUGAACUAGACUUAUGACUCUCUACUUGAUUAACUACACUAUUAGUUAUACUUUUAGAGAAAGUAAGAGUUCGAGAAAUCCAGUCUAUUUGAGGGUUAUAUUUUUCUAACCACGAUAAAUCUAAAAUGACUGGAUUAGAAGGAGAUCUAAUAAUAUUAAAUACUACAAAACUAUUAUGAUCAUUGAUUAUUACUUCUAUAGGAAGGAUUUCGUGAGUAAUAUCUCCAGAAGACAAUAGACGACCAUCUAUGACUUCUACAUGAACAAGUUUAGUUUUCUUUACUAAAGAUAUGCUAUGUCUUUUAGUAAAUUCUUCAUCUAAAAAAUACGCUGAGGCUCUUGAAACUAACAAGGCAAAGACUUUGUAAUGUUUAGGUCCUAAAAUAACAUUUAAUGUAAAACAAGGAGAGAGCUCUGAGGAGAGAAUAGGACCUUUACUAGAUGUUGUGCAAGGUUCCAGCCGCACGAUCCCUAUUGUAGCUGGACAAACUCGUUUUCUGACAUAUUGUCUUCUUUCACAGCCAUACUCCUCAUUUUGUGAUUGCGUCGUUUCUUUGGACAAUGUUGAGCAGUGUGCUUUGGUUCUCCACAAUAUAAACAUAAUCCUUCUUCACGACGACGAGUCUUUUCUUACUUAGUAAGAGGUUUGAAACGUACUACAUCAAUUUGCAUAUCCUCUACUUCCGAAUGUAUGUGUUGAAGAGAUGUUGGUGUUGCCAUUGAAUUACAGUAACGUUGAGGUUCACUUGUAUGGUUCUCAGAUCGGAAUUCAAAAAAGCGAUUGUCACACUUCACAGCAAAGUCAAUUGCUUGACUCAAUGUUUGAGGAUCAGGUAAGUUGAGCAUUAAUUUUUUUACCUCAUAUUGUAAUCCGUAGAAAAAUUCGCUAAUAAGUGCAGCAUCAUCCUACUUGAUAUCAGUUGCAAGUUGUUGAAAUUGUGAAGUAUAUAAUAUUACUGAUCGAUUGCCUUGUCGUAAAAUAUAGAUCUUAUUGGUUGCAACACGAAUUACAUCAUGCUCUCCAUACAUGGAUCGAAAUUCUGCCAAAAAAGCCUCUAGAUUAUCCAAUAUUGGAUCUCGUCGUUCAAGAAAAGAUGAAAACCAUGAUAGUGCUGAACCUAAAAGAAGCGUACGAAUGAAUCUAACUUGUGAUCUUGGAGUUGGAUAGCUUUGGGGUUGAAGUUCAAUCACAAGUUGCACUUGAUUGAUAAAUCCUCGAAACUUGGAUCUGGUGCCAUCAAAAUUCUCGGGUAGGGUAAUUCUUGGUUCUCUAAUAUUUGAAGGGCGUUCCACCAUAGGAGAAAGGGCAUGGUUUGGUACAGAUGUUGAAGCAACUCCAACCAUUUCUAUAUCUUCACUUCCUGCCAAUCUUGUUGCUCCUUGUGGUGGUAAAUUGAGUUGAUGUAUCGCAAGCAUUAACUCCCUCAAUUGCUCUUGCAUUUGUGCCAUUGCACUCUUCAUUUCGAGAAGUUUUGCCAUGAUAACACUUAGAAGAGAGAAGAUGUCUAAUAUCGCUCAAGACAAAUAGAAGAGAGGACUUGAGGACAAAGAAAAUGAUAAGGACAAUAUUAGUUUAGAAGAGGGUAAUCCGCAACUUCUAAUAUGCUUAUAUCUUAUCAAAAAAAAGGAGUAAUCUACUCUUAAUCAAGAUUAGACAAAGCUCUGAUAUUAUAGGUGUACUCUUGUCAAUCUAUCAAGGACAAGAACUUGAUGAAAAAACAAUUCAGACAAGUGAGCCUUCACUCAAAGAGAGGUAACAAAAUAUAUAUAAACAAGUAUAUAUAUUGAAAUAGAAACUGGAAUGGCUAUUGCCAAAAGACAAGAAAACUAGAGACCCUUGAAACUAGACUAGAAGCAAGAAAGGAGUUGACAAGAGUGAAGAAGCCUUCACUCUUGUCUCUAUAUAUACUAUCUAACUAGGGGCUACAUGGCGACGUUCUAUAGGACCUCCAAUAUGUGUUGACUUUGUAGGACACAUGCCUUGACUUACAAGACAAGUUUUUCUACAUGUGGGCCACAUAGUUAGCUUGAUCUUCAAGCUAACAACAUGUGUGGCACAUGGCCAACUUGUUGACCACGUUUCUAAUCCAAAAAGUCAAUUAAAGACACCUAUGAAGUCAAAGCAGCAUCUAAGAAGCUUCUAAGAAGCUUCCAUAUUAAAUAUUAUAGAAUUAACUUACUUUUACCUACUUUUACUUACUUCUACCUAUUUGUAUAUGUAAUUAUUAGCUUACAUGAUUAUGGCCGUGACAAAAAUACAAGUGGAGCAAUGAAAUUCUCAUUUUGAAGGAUUUUACAAGAAUUUCUAAGAUCUUUGUAGGUAAAAACUUUCAUAAAAGUUACAAUUGAGCAUGGAUUUAGGCAUGUGAGUAGUUGAUUUUUGCAUAAAAAGGUGUUUUGAAUACAAUGUUGAAGUUAGAUUUAUCAAAAGGUGCCUUAUUGACUACUUACAAGAAUCGUGAGCCGUAGUAACGAAAUUGGCUCUUGGAUGAAUGAUGGCCAUAGAUCUAUAUUAGGGACCUUAGAAAUCAAGGGUGGAAAUGUGGCCACCUUUUUAAAAUCCACCACUCAAUUGUAUAAGAGUGGCUUGGUUCUCCAAGCCCUCUCUCUCUCUCUUCUUUUGGUAAAGGGCAAAGCUAUGUCGAAUUUUGGUCCUAAACCUUAAUGUUAAUUUUGUUUUUGAUUUUUAAUUUAAUUGUGAACUUGUGGUUGUAUAUGCAUGGAACUUAAGUAGUGAAUGAUGGUCAUUGGGAUUUAAGACAUAGAUCACUUUGGUAGAUAGCUCCUUCGGCCUUCCAAAUAUUCCAAAGGUUCAAGAGCCUUGGAUUUCCCUCAAUCAGUCAUUUAAUUUUUUAAAUUUUUAUGUGAUUUUUUUUUAAUUUUAGAUUUUGGUGUUAGUUUUCCAACAUAAUAAGGAUCGCUUAAUUUGGAGUAAGGACAAAAUUUUGGUAGAAUUUUGAGUAUGCAAGGGUCGGCUGCCUUGGCAGUUUAGAUCUCCCAUCUUUAAAAAUGCAUUUCUCAAUGCUUCCUAAUUUGAUUAUUGUGAAAAUUUGGAAAUAAGAGCACCUUUAAGUUGAGCUUCUAAUGGCAUGAAUUUCACUGAAUUAAAAGAAAAAUUUAAUUUUUAUUAAUUUUCAAGUGGAGAGAGGUUGCCUACUAUAGCAAUCUUAGUUACUCAACUUUGAAGGAGCUAAAGUAUUAGAUUAAAUUUAAAUUUAUUAGAAAAGGAGCACCUUUAAGUUAAAUUUCCAAAAAACGAAAAAUUAUUCAAUUUGGACUUAACCACAAAUUUUGGCAAAUUUUGGAAUAGAAAGGAGUUGAUACUUUUAAUUCUUGGAUGUUAUCAAGGUACCUUUGCUUUUAUCUCUCUUUAGUUCUACUUUUACUUUUAUUUUUACAAUAAUUUGUAACUUUCAUAUUUCAACUUUUAGAUUUUAAUUUUUAACUUUUAAUCUUUAAUCUUCUUUUUUCUUUUACUUUUAACUUUUAUUUUUGAUUUUUACUUUUAACAUUUAAUUUUUUUAUCUUUUUUUUAUUUAUAUUGGUAAUCAUUGCUUAGAAGGCUUAAAGUUAAUUGAAUUGUUAAUACUAAGAUUUAAAUCAUCUUAGCAAUUACACAAUUAGGAGUUCUUCUAUUCCACCUCUUAAACUUAUUGUACAGCAUUAGUUUCAUUGAGUAAUGAAAUUUGGACUCACAACAAGCAUGAAAUCUAAGGAUUUGUAGUAGCUUCAUCAUAAUUUAAUUUGAUAAAUUUAAUUUAUAAAUAUUGCUACAGUAAAAAAAAGAUUGGUUAAUAAUAUAAGUUAUCAUUGAGGAAGUUCUAGCGCUGAUAAAAUUAUGAGAGGCAAUUGGCUUACUCUAUAUGAUAAAGAUCCCAAAGAAAAUAUAGUAGGAGCAAUAAACGCAUAAUUGAAAUGUAAGCCUCUUUUCCAAUUUUCAUGUAAAAUAAAAAUGACCUAUUGGCUACAAGCGUGGUAUCGAAAAUUCUUAGUCUUGCUAAAUUCUAGUAAACUAGAUACUAUUGAGCUACAAACUUAUACACUGUAAUAAGAUGCUUUAAUAAUUGAGCAAAGUAUCAAUUAAUCUAAUUGCAACCAAUCAUGCAUCUUGAUUGCAACUAUCCUACACUCAACUUGCAAUAUAGCUUCUAUCAACAUCAAGACUCAAAAUCAUGUACAAAAUGACAACUAUGGGACUAGAAUAUGGUUGGAACAUCAUCGCCAAGUAGGUACCCUAAGUUUGAUUGAUCAAAAUUAUUGAUUAAACAAUAGGACACUCAAACAUGCACCAAAGCAAAAGAAAGGAUUCAACAUAGCCGAGCUGAAGCUACAUGAUACUAAAAAUGCACAACAACUAAAACCAGGGCCUCUAAGUUGUAGCUCUGUAGCAGUAGAGCAUUGCCACUUGAAUCCAGUUCUAGAAAAUAGGUGUGGCUUGUGCAAUGUUUUCCUCCUGAAAUAUCCCAAAGGCCUGUCACUGGCUUUUUGUAUUUGUGGCUUAAGCUUCGUCAUCUGACUAGGCUCUUGUUCAUCGAUUUGUACCUUAAAAUAUUAUUGUGACACAGACAAUAUUGGAGUGUUCCAACUAGCUCCGCCACAUAGUUGUGCAACAAGAUCAGAAGUACUGUCCAAGAUUUUAGCAGGGUGGUACCUUGCUAUUUGUGAGUCUCCAGUCUCAUGCAUGAUCUUUCAUAACACUAUGUGACUCUUAAACGCGCUGACUUUUGGAAGGCUUUGAAGGAUCUUUUAGUCAAGGCGCAUGGUGAUUUAGCAUUUUGAAUGGCUGAGUUAACUUGCUGGAGUUGCGUCAUUGCUACAGUUAAAAAUAAAUUCACUUGUCUUGGUAACCAGCUAAGUUAUAUUUUUGCAGACAUCUGGAUUCAGGUUUUAAGUUUAUGACAGAUGCCUCCUGUAGUUGAAUUUGGCUUUUGUUCUUGAAUUUUCCGUCGGGUUUAGGUCUAGUGGUAUGUUUGGAUGUAAGUUGUUGCGGGUGCUUCCCUGCAUGCGAAGUUAUCAGUAUUGAUCAGUAUCGACAAUGGAGGUUUCACGAAUGUACAGUGUGCUCUUGAAGUCUGAGUGGAUUGGAGCUUUGCAAUAAAACCAUAGUGGUUCGUGAGGUGGAAGUUAUUGCGUGACAGUAAUCUUUAGAGGAGUGACAUGUCCAAUGGAUUGAUACGAGUCGCUCGCAUCUAAGAGCGCAGAGGUAACCUAGGUCUGUUGUGCCCAUCUCACUUCCAAUUACCCAUGGCUGAAGGCCCUUGGUACAAGUGGGUUACCGAAAGCUUCCGAUGAAUAAUAGAUAAUUUGAUGUACGAAGUGUUAUCUCGUGUUUAUCAGUUAUUGACACCGUUUGCUUGUUUGAGAAGCAGGUGUAAGCGCAACUGAUCUCCUUGUCAAGGAUGCAGCUCUAAUGUCGUCAAGCAUCAUGAAGUUCGGAGGAGAGGAAAUUCAGUCAGAAGUACUAGUUCACAAAUUCUAGAUUUAUUUAUUUAUUUAUCAAAAGUAACAUCUCUUUUGUCUUCGAUUCUGAUGAACUCUGCGUAGGAAGUACCCAGGCCAGGAACAACUGAAACACGAGGAAUCCCAAAACUCUUACCUUGUGGAAUGCAUGUGAGGUUUCCAAACCUGUGAUUUCUCUUGUUCAAGUUUGCUGUGAUAGAUAUGGCGUUUACAGAAAUUCGACUUACAAUGUUGAAAAAGUGUUGAAAGUUUUUGGACCUUCGUAGACAUUUGACUGCAAGCAAACAUACUUGCCUACAGUGGAAUCAUCAACUUCACACUGACGGGAGGCAAACCUGGUCACAAUUAUGCUUGAUUUCUUUUCUAAUGAUAGGUUGAUAGUUAAAAGUCUGAAGCUAGAUUGAUUGUGUUCCAUGAGAAUCGUCAAAGAGAACGUCAGUUGAAGCUGAAUGUAAUUGUACAUGCUUUGGUUUAUGUCUGCUGCUGUCAUCUCGAUGGGUUUAAAGGAAAAAAAACACUUGUAUCGCAGAUUAAUAUUCUCUUUUUAAAAAUAAUUAGAAUUUUUUAUCUUAAAAAAAAAAAAAAAAUUAAUUAUUAAAAUUUAUCUUUAUCACAUUAUUUAAGAUAAGUUUGAUUAUUAUUAUGUUUCUAUUAGAUCUAUAUCUAAUUUAAUUUGAAAACCAAAUAAGAGUUUAAAUAAAAGAAAAAAAAUAACUAAUAAGUAUACAAAAAAUAAAAAUAAAAAUUAUGAAGUAAAAUUUAUCAAGUAAAAUUUACCAAUAUUUUAUUAGUCAAAUACUUAAUCCAAAAUAAUAGAUUAAAAAUUAUUGUUAUGUAUAUGAAAAUAUGAUACAAUAACUAUGAUUUGAUAUAUUAAAAAUUGAAUGCAAUAAAGGUUUUAACAAUUGAAAAAAGCAAAAUAAUUAUAUUAUUUGUAAAAAAAAGUUGAAGUUGGAAUAUUUUUGAGUCAUAUAAAUAUUUAGCAUAAAUCUCAAAAUAUUUUAUUAUGUAGAUAUAAAGAAAUCUAAAAGUCCUUUUCAGCUUAAAUGUAUGUAUCACAUAUCAAAAUAUCAAGUUAUUACAUGUCUAUAUGAUUAAGAAGAAAUUUUAAUAUAUAAAAUAAUUUUAUUAUUAAUGAUGAUGUUUAUAUAAUUUAUGAAAUAAAAUCAUUAUUUUAAUAUAUAUUUACAUAUCAUUAUAUGUAUAGAUAAGCAUGGAGUUUCUAGUAGAAUGGUGGUAGAUGCAAGUUACAAUGGAAUGUUUUGAAUUUCUUACUGUAAUCUUAGAUUUGUAAUAGAAUUUUUUAGCCUACCACAUAUGCUCCAAAAAGAUACAAAAAGGAGGAGAAAAAUAAAAGUGCAAGAUCAAAAGACAUAAUUUCUGUAAUUUUAAAAUAAAUAAUAGCCUAGUAUUUAAAAUAUAGUGUUAUGGACAUACAUAUUUAUUUUAAUAAUUACAUAUAUAAUUAAGUAAAAAUAGUAAAAGUAGAUUUAUUUUCUAAUAUUUUCUAAAAAAACUUCUUAAAAGCUUCAUAAACAUUGUUUUGACUUUAUAUAUGUUUAUAGUUGAUUGAUAGAUUAGAAACUUGGUCAACAAGUUAAUAAUGUGUUGGUAGGUGUCAACAAGUUAAUAAUGUGUUGGUAGGUGUCAACAAGUUAAUAAUGUGUUAACUAUGUGGUACACAUAUAAAUAACUUGCCUUACAAGUUAAGAUAUGUGUCUUGCAAAGUCAACUUAUUUUGGAGGUCUUAUAGGAGAUACUUUUUAGUCUUCUUAUCUUUAGCAAUAGCCAUUCUAAUUUAAUACCAUACUAUCUUUAAAUGAUUUUUUAGUCUUUUUAAGUGGCAUAUGAGUGUAUUAAUAUUUUAAUUUUUUGAGAUUCAUAUCCUUAACAGUUUGAGAAGAGUAUUAAUUCAUUAUUCUUAUCUUAUUUUAGAAGUGAGUAGAUUAUCUCACUUCUAUUGUUGUAUUUUGAAGGUUGGAGAUUACCCACCUCUAAAAAAAUUAUUUAAUUUUCUAAUAUGAUUUUUUUUUUCUUUAAAGUAGAUUAUCUCUCUUUAUAGAAAUUUUUAUUCAGUAUUAGAGGCUGUGGAUUAUCUUCUUCUAAUUUGACUUAUUAAUUUGUUAAGUUAUUUGAAAUAGAAGGAAAAAUUAUAGAUGCUAUAUUUGAUAGAAGUGAGAAUAGAUCUGUAACUAUUACAGAUCUUCACAAACUUCUCAAUAUUUUCAGAGUAGAAAUUUCAUGCAUCACUAGUGCCAACCAUGGAAAUAUUAAUCCUAUGCCUAUAAAAGAAGUUCAAAAUCUACAGCAAGAAGUUGUACACUUGAAGAAAGCAAGUAAAUUGACCUUACAAUUAAAUCUAAGAAGUUUUGUUUCUACAAAUAUGAUCGAGACACAAAUCAAUAUGCCCCAUAAGUUUAAUAUAACAAGAUCAAAAUUUCAAGGAUUUUUGCAACAAAUCAAAUUCUAUUUAAAAUUGCAUCUUUUUUAAUACUUUAAUGGAUUUAUUCAAGUUGAAUUGAUAGAUAGACUUUUAUUUAGAAAUAAUUUCUUUUAAUUUAUAUUAUUAAUAGAUAAAGAUUUAUAAUUCAUUUAUGAUUUGAAUUUAUUUUUAGAAAUAUUUAUGGCUAUAUUCAAAGAAAGUGAUUGAAAAAGAGUAGCAUUGAUCAAGCUCUUAUCUUUACAACAAGGAUCAUAGUCAGCUACCAUAUAUGUUGCUGAAUUCUAAAACCUUGCUUAUAACAUGGAUUAAAAUGACAAAGCCUUCAUCAAUCAAUUUUGAUAUGGAUUGAAGGAUGAUAUUAAAGAUUUAUUAUUGACAAUGCCAAAAGCAGAAUCUUUGAAACAAUUUAUUGAUUAAGCCAUUGCAUGUGACAAUCAAUUAUUUGAAAAGCAUCAAGAACAAAGACUUGGCUAGAGAAGAAUAAGCCAAAUAAUCAUGGUAGCUUUUAAAUUUUUAAAAACUUAUUUAUUAAAGCCAAAACCAAUGCAAAUUGAUACAAUAUAUUUUAAAUCCCUCACUGAGCAAGAAAAGACUUGAUGUUGUUGAAAAAACCUGCUCUUAUAUUGUGAAGAGGCUAAGUGCAAGUUACUUAACAUUGUCCAAAAAAACAAUGCAAUCACAAAAAGAGGAGUAUAAUUGCUAAAAAAGACAAUUUGUUGGAAAAUAAGUUUUUUUAACUACAAUAAAAAUCAUGCAGUUGGAAUCAUAUACAACAUCUAUUAAAGGUCACAUUUUCUUUUCAGAUUCUUUAUUUUAUUUUACAAUAGAUAUAUAUUCAGGACCUUGAAAUCAUAAAGUCUUUGCAUUAUUAGAUUCAAGAGCCUCAGCUUAUUUUAUAGACAAAGACUUUGUGAAGAAACAAGCAAUGUCUUUACUCAAGAAAAUUAAAUCCAUAUAUAGAAGUCAAAGAUGGUUUUUUAUUUCUUUCUAGAGACAUUAUUCAUGAAACCAUUCUUUUAGAUGUAACAAUUAAAGAUCAUAAUAUUGAAGUAAUAUUUAAUGUAAUAAGAUCUUCUUUCAAUCUAAUUAUUUUAGAAUUAUUAUGGUUAAAAAAAUAUAAUCUUCAAGUAGAUUGGAUUUUUCAUAACCUUAAUUUUUCUUAUAGUUUAAUUUAAAAUCUAGAUAAUGAAGUAGAAAUAGAUAAGCCUAAUAUGUUCAAAUUCUUACUAGUAGGUACAAUAGUUUUUAUGUAUGUAGCAAAAGAAGGGCCAUCUUUUGUUAUAUAUGCCACAUCCAUUUCUAAUGGUGGAAAAAUAUUAAGUAUUAUUUUUAGCCAAUAUUAAGAUUUUUAAGAUAUUUAUGAAAAAAAAAUACAGAUAUUCUUUCAAAGCAUUGUUCUUAUGAUUGAACAAUUGAUCUAUAAGAAGGAACUCAACCACUAUUUGGACCAAUCUAUAGUUUAUCAAAAAAUGAAUUGGCUGCACUAAAGUACAUUGACUUGGUUAAAAACUUCAUACUCUAUUUGAAAUCUCUAGUAGGAGCUCCUAUCUUAUUUGUAAAGAAAAAAGAUAAAUCUUUACAGAUAAACAUAGACUAUCAAGGACUUAACAAGAUCAACUACCUUUGAAAAAUAUUUUCAACUAUUGUUGUUUUGAAAUAUCCAUACCUAAUUUAAAAAAUAGUCUUCCACUCAUCUCCUUCUUUGAUGUGAAUUAAGUUGUAUGCUCUUUGUAACUCUAUUUUAGUAUAGAUCUUUAUUUGAUUGAGUUGGUCAAUAAGUCUUGAAAUCAAAGGUAGGAGAUAUUGUUGAAAAUAUUUGAGGUAUAUCAUUAAUUAUCAUCAAAAUGAUUGAAAAAUUCUUUUUUCAUUGAUAGAAUCUACAUAUAAUAAUUUGAUAUAUUCUUCUACUCAAUAAAUAUUUUUUUUUAUCAAUUAUGGUUAUCAUCUAUGAUUUAAUAUUUUUGACUUUUCAAAAGUUGAUAAUUCUAUGGUAGAAGAUUUGAAGGAUUAUUUUUAAGAGCUAUAUGCAACAAUGAAGGCACAAUAAAAUGAUGCUGAAGAAUAAUAAUAGAUUAACGUGAAUGCUUAUUCCAAGGAAGAACCACAAUUCAAUGUAGAUAAUAAGAUAUGGCUAUUUUGUCGCAAUAUCAAGACUAAUCAUCCUUAUAAUUAGUUGGACUAUCAUAGGCUUGAAUCUUUUCAUAUUAAUCAAUAAUUUAAUUUUUUUUAUUGAUUAAAUCAAAUAAAGUCUAUAAAGAUCCAUCUUGUAUUCUAUGUAUCUCUUUUUGAGUCAUAUAAGAUAAUAAAUAUCUUUAAAAAAAGACAAAUGCCAUCUCUUCUUGUAGAAAUAGAUAGUAAUCAAAAAUUUGAGAUAGAAGAAAUGUUAAAUUCAAAUCAAUGCCAAAAUAGGUUAGAAUAUCUUGUUCAUUGGUAUAAAGAUGAUAUUAGUAAACUUACAUAGAAGUCAACAAUCUUUUUUUGUAAAUACAACAAAGAAGAUAGAUGUUUUUCAUUGACAACAUCUAUUAAAAUUAAGAUGAAGAAUAAUAAAUCUUUGUUAUAAAAAAAAAAAAAAAAAAAAAAAAAAAAAAUUGAAGAAAGAUAGCAUUCUAAUUUCUACUCUUAUUUGGUACUUUUAUACAUUUGAGGAAAUAAAAAAUCAACAACCAGUGAAUUUAAUUCAAGAGCUAUCACUUGUUAACUUAUCAAAUGAGACAUUGUGAUUGUCACAAUCUUUGAGACGAUGUAAUUGAGAUGAAGAUCAUCAAGAACAAUAAUUUUUUCUUAUAUAGAUGGUAAGAUAUAAUGUGUUUGAUAUCACAACCUUAGAAGAAACUUCCAAUUUUAUUAGAAGUUGGAACAACUUUUAAUAAUAUUUCAAAUGUUUUAUUUUAAAAAAGUUACAAAGGCCUCAACAACAAUGAAAUAAUAGGGUGGUCUUCUUAUCUUGGUAUGAGAUAUUACUAAUAGCUGAAAGGACCUAUUAACCAUCUACAAAGAGAACAAAGAUUAAAGUAUGUACCAAACACAAUUUUUUGUAUCUUAGAAUUUUUCAACAUAUGAUGCUUGCUUCUUAUGGAACUUAUUCCUAAAAGAAGAGGUAAUAUUAUGGAUAUACAUAUUUAUGUUAACAAUUACUUAUAUGAUUAAAUAAAAAUAAGUAAAAAUAAAUUUAUUUUAUAAUAUUUUUUAGAAUAGCUUCUUAGAAGCUUCACAGACAUUGCUAUGACUUUACAUAUAUUUAUAGUUGAUUGAUAGAUUAGAAACUUUUUCAACAAGUUAAUCAUGUAUUAAUAGCUUGCAAAAUAAGUUAACUAUGUAGCACAUAUAUAAAAACUUGUCUUGCAAGUUAAGAUACAUGUCUUGCAAAGUCAACAUGUUUUUGAAGAUUUACCGGACAUUGCGAUAUAGCUCCUAGUUAAGAAUUUAUAUGGAAGCAAGAGUAAAGCUUUCUUCACUCUUGUAAAUGCCUAUCUAAUCUUUAGUCUUAUUUCAAGGCUUUUUAGUCUUCUUGUCUUUAACAAUAGUCAUUCUAAUUUAAUAUUAUACCAUCUUUGAGUGAUUUUGUAGUCUUUUUAAGUUGCAUAGGAGUAUAUUGAUAUUUUGGUACUUUGAGGUUCAUGUCUUUAACACAUAGAUAAUCAAAAAGAAAUUUAAAAUUUUAUAAUCCAAUUUUGUCUCAAGCUUAUGAUAAUAUUAUUGGUAGCAUUAUUAAUACAUUGUUGUGUUGUGAUUUGGCUACUAUGUAAAAAUAAUGCACAUAAAUAUUAAAUAUGUAAUUUUCUAUAUAAUGUACUAAGGGCCACAUUAUUAGAUUUUAGGUAGUUACAAAAUAUGGUUAGAUUACUACUUUGAAGUAAUUAGUUUAAAAAGGCAAUCAUUUAAAUUGAUUUUAUAUUGAUAAUAGUUUUAUAUAUUUAGAGCCACCUUUAUUAGACAUUGGUGAUUCUUAAAUUUUUAUUUUGUUUCUUUUAUUUAGUGUUUAAGGCCUAUACUAUGUAGAUCUUAUAAGAAAAAGAAAUGGAGAUGGAUUUUGGUAGCAAAAAAAGUAGUUAGGAUAUCUAUAUGGAUGAAUGGAGAUGGAUGAUAAAAAUCUCCAUUCUUAUUAGCCAAAAUUCAUGUCCAAUGGACUUCAAGGAGUCUUAUCAGGAAUUAGGAUUACUCUUUUGAGGUGAUUUGAACUUAAAAGAUUAGGAUUAAAGAAUUUAGGUUUUUGGCUAUGGUUUUGGUGCAAAUUUUGGAUGGUUAGGAGUUUUUGUGAAAGAAACAUAGGCGCUUAAAAUUAAGGUGUUGAUUUUGUAUCUACUUUCACUCUUUUGGAUAUAACGAAAGCUUAUGAAAAACAAUCAAGGAUAAAAAAAAAUAGGGAUUUUAGAUAAUACUUUUUUAACUACACUUUUCAUAUAUUGUUUAAUAAAUUUAAGGUAGAAUAAAAGAAAAAUAAGAAGUUGAAGUUAGAAUUUAAAAUUUAAAGGCAAUAAGUUACCUGAUUUAUGAUUGUUUGUGUUUUUAGCUAUAUCUUCUAAAACAUUUUUCUCCAAAAAUCAUAAAUCUAGUUGUAUUUUGAGCUAUAUCUUUAUCAAUUUGAUAAGAUUUUGGCUAAAAAAAUUUAAAAAAUAUAUAUUAUCAUAUUAUUAAACUUUAUAUUUAAAUUUUGUAGUAUUUUGAUCUUGGAAUUUUAAAUAUAGAGAAAAUGGUAUUUGUGUACUUGUAAAUUAGGAUUUAGAGCACUUGCUAGGAUUUCUAAGAUGCCAGAUGAUAUGUAGUACAUUUAUAAUUCAUUUUUUUGUAAUAAAUCUUAAGGAUAAAUUCUACAUCAUCUAAAAAUUUAAAAAAUAAUGAAUAAUUGGAUCAAGAGAUAUGAUUUUCUAAAGUUUAGAGAAAAAAAAUCCUUUGGGAGAAAAAAAUAUUUUAGAAUGGUUUUGCAACAAUUUGGGCAUUGUAUGCAAAAUAAAGGGGGUUUUGGAAGCCAAGACUUCAUAUAUAUGUGAAAGAUAGAAAUAUAGAGCUAUAACAAAAUCAGAAUAUAAAGAUAGAUUUUUGUAAGGAAAUUAUAGAUUUUCCUUGAACUUAUUAAAAAUCAAGCUUAUCAAAAAAUGAUUUAGUUAUGAUUUGGUAUAAUAAAGGAUGUUAGAGUAUUUUUAGAUACUUUAGAAAGCCUUAUGUAUAAACUUCUUAAAUAAAAAAGAAUUUUAUUAAUAGAAUAUCUUUUGAUAUUAUUGUAUUUAUUUGGUUUCUAUAAUAAGAAUAUAUUAUUUAUUAGAACUUAUCUGAUAAAUUAAAGUUAAACUCUCUAUAGCUACAUAUCUGAUAUAUUUCUAGAUUAAAAAUCAUGCCACACGAUAAUAUUGUUUAAAAUGAAGUUGGCAUAAAUUUGGUUUAUAAUUGCUUGUGCAAUAAAUUCUAUCUAGAAAUAAGAUUAAUGCUUGUCAAGAAUUGUGUUCUUUCAAAACUUUUCUAGAGAUUUCUAGCUCACUUGAUUGUUUUAAACUUUACUUUGUAGAUUGUUUUAAUUGAGUAGAAUUCAAUUCAAGUAAUGUUGUGGUAAUGACAUAGUAAUAAAAAAAAAUGUGAUGCAAUUUUAAUACUAAUUCAUUAGUUUCUUUCAAAUUCAACCAAAAUAUUUUUUAAUGACACUAGUUUAUAUGAUUAUAUUACAAAUAUAGCUAGUAAUAAUAUUAUACUAUAUAUAUACAUAAGAUGCAUAUUUGGAUUUUUUAAUGAAAUCAAAUACAUGCCACAUAUAUUUUAAGUAUAUAUGGAUAUUUUUUAUUAGUCAUUAUAUUGCAGAUAUAUAUAUAUAUAUAUAUAUAUAUAUAUAUAUUUAAUUAGAUUAAAGUAAUUAAAUAGAAAUAAAUAAAACUAAAUAAAUUUGAUAAUAUCUUAUAAAGAAGCUUUAUAGAUGUAAUUUAAUUUUAUAUGUAUUUAUAGGUGAUUGGUAGAUUGAAAACUUGGCCAAAAAAUUAACCACAUAUUAUACCUAUUGGCCACUUGUGUUAAAAGUUUGUUCUAUGGCAUAUAUAUAGAACUUGUUUUCUAAAUUUGAUAUAUAUUUUACAACUUACAUAUGUAUUAAAGGUCCUAUAGAACACCACUAUAUAGCUCUUAGUUAGAUAGUAUAUAAAGAGGCAAGAGUGAAGCCUUCUUCACUCUUGUCAACACCUUUUUAAUUCUUAGUCUUAUUUCAAGAGUCGUUAGUCUUUUUCGCUUUACCAAUAGCCAUUUGAGUUUCAAUAUUUUAUUAAUUUUGAGUGAAUAUUUAUUCUUUCCAAGUGAUACAAGAGAGUAUUGAGGUUUUAUUUGUUGGAUUCAUAUCCUUGACACAUUAAAGGAUACCAUGAGAAAUAAAAAUUGAAUUUUUGAAAGUACUCAAAACUACUUAUAUCACAUUAAGAACAAAUUUAUUGUUAAUUCUCACUUGGUUAUUAGUCUUUAAUAUUAUUUUUAAGUAUAGUAUCCUAGAAGUUCUAAAAAAGUUAUAAAUAAAAUAAAAUUAUACAUGUAUUUUAUAUUUUUUGUUUUUAUUUAUUUAUUUAUUUUAUAUAUUUUUACAGUUUAUUUUGAUAAUCUUAAUAGCUAAGAUAGUAGAAAUAAAGAAUGUUAUAAAAUAUUUGGAAGAAUAAUUGAAGUUUUUUGAAGUUAUAAAAAAACAUUUAUUUAUGCCACUAUAAACAAUAAAUAUUAUUUUCUAGGAAAUCUUUAUACCUAAACGUCAAUUUUGAAAGGCCAUCAUUUAAUAUCUUACAAAGAAUUUUUAAUUGAUUAAAAAAAUCUCUCUUGUAGAAGCUUUAACUUUUAAAUAUAAUAUAAACUUCAAAGAGGCUAUAAAAUAAAUUAAAUUAUUUCAAAUUAUAAAUUAUAAAAAGUAUAUAUAUAUAUAUAUAUAUACAAUUAUUUUUCUAAAAUAAAUCAUAGAAUUUUUUAUAUAUUUUUAAAAAUAAUAUUUUAAAAUAGAUUUAAUAGAAGUUUUAAGAGAAAAAAUUAUUUAUGCUAUGUAGGAAAAAAGGGCAUUCCAUUUUAUUUUUUUUUAAAUGGAAUUUAGACUAAUUUUUUUAAGUAUAUAAGUUAACUUUGUAAGACCUUUCAAUUUCAAUUAAUAAAAGGAUUCAAAAGUAAUAGCCUCUUGUUGUGUUUCUUAUAUAUAGAGUUUUUCUUAUCAAAAUUUAUUUAUUAUUUUUUUUUAUCAAAAUAAUUAAAUUUAAAUUUAUAAUUUUAUUCAAUCACAAAUACAUACUUUUUACAAUUAAAGGAUUAUAAGUUAGAUUUAAAAAAAAAAAAAAUUAGAUUAAGAUCUAAAUUUUAAAUAUUUAUCAAUUAAGUAUAAAUUGUAAUUAAAUUUUAAAUUAAAAGCUUUUUAGUUCAACUAAUUCAAAUCAUAUUUAUUAAAGCUUUUAUCAAAGGAUUUGAGUUAUUAAAAUUUGUAUUAUAUUUGAAGUAAUAAUAUUAUAUUUACCUUAAAAUUUAAAUAAGAAAGUAAUAUAUUUUAAAAUAAUCCUUUAGUUACUUUUAAAAUUACUUACAAAAGCACUAACAUAAAUUAAAUUUACAAGUAAUUAUUUUAUUAGCAUUGACUAUUAUUAUUAAAUUUAAAGGUCUAUAAAUCACCUUUGAAAAGAUUGCUAGAUAUUGUAUGAAGAAAUAAUUUUAAACACAUACAACUCUUUUAAAUUACAAAUUCUUAUCUAUUUUUUAUAAUAUAUUGUAAAAAAUCAAUGUUUUAAAUAUAAAUUUUAGAUUAUUUUUUAUCUUUGUGGAUAGUUUUUAGAAUCUUAUUGUAAAAGAUUUAAAUAUUAAAAAAAUUUAUAAGAUUUAAUUUUUAAAAUUUUAAACUAAUAUGUAAAAAAAUAAUUAAUAACUACAUUAAUAAAUUUUACAAAUUUUUUAACAGAUUUACUAAUUGGUUUCGCAAAAAAUCAUUAAUUGAAAAGUUUUUGUAAGAAGUUUCUUCUAGAACCUUGGAUAAAUAAGAUAUUAAAAGCUGAGAUUACAAGUUCUUAAUCUUGCAAGUGGUGUAAAUACAAACAAAACAAAGGCCUUGAUAGGUUUUUUUUCUUGAUUUUACUUAGCUUAUAAGUAUUCUUGUAUCUUAAUAAUGAGCAAUUAUUUUUUGUAUUUAGAAAUUUUUCUUUCUCUCUUUUUUAAUACUUUUUAGUCAUUUUUUUCUACAAAUUAUAAAUAUAUAAUUAAAAUCAUAAGUUAUGGCCUCAAUAAUUAGUUUCUAUGAUUUGAUUUGAAUCAUUUCUAAAGAUUAAAUUUACCCAAUGCUUUUACAUUAUAUAUUCUCAUUUUUUGAAGUUGUACAUAUGAUGUAGAAAAAUCAUAAAGGAAUGUACAACAAUUAGUUGUAAGGUUUGGACACCUUUUAUUGGAAUUUAUGUAGAUAUCCAUAUUGAAAUAAGUAAUGUAGUGACUUUGUAUUUUUAAUUGAUGCACAAAUGGAGACAUUUGAAAAGACAAUAAAUACAUGCAAUAGAAUCAGAGAAGUGUUAAAUAGAUCUAAGUUUUUACUAAAUCAAUCCAUCCAUCCUAACAUUCAUGAAAAAGAAUCAUAACCUUAGGAUUCAUUUCUAUACUAUUAAAUUUGUAACUAAUAAAAACCAACCACAUGCACCAUGAUUACCAUUUUCUUCAUCAAAGGUGGGUUUCUUUAGUAAAAGCAUGGGUCUAUUUAACAUUCCUCUAAAAUAAUUAUAUUUUAAAUAAUAUUUUAUUAAAACAAAAAAUAUAAUUAUUUUAUACAUUUACUAUUAUUUUGUAAAGUCUCAUUUUGUUUGUUUGUUUGUUUGUUUUUUUUUUUUUUUUUUUUUUUUUUGGUAAUUAGGAUUUUUUUAUGUAUAUAAAUUUUUUAAUAUAAAUUUUUUAUUUUUUAUUUUAUAAUAAUUAAAUUGUUCUUAACAAUUAGUAAAACAAAUUCUAAUUUUUUUAUGUAUUCAUAUUUUUUUGAGCUUUAAAAUAAUGAUUAAUAAAACUACAAUAGAUUGUAAUCUUGAUUAUGUGGAAACUUAUACAAAACUCAUAUUUAAAUGCAAAGCACCUGAAGAUUUAAUUGAAACAACAUCUAUUUCUUGACUGUAACUGUGUUUUAUUCAAAAUGACUAGUGAUUGCAGUGUAUGUUUCAUUUGGUGUUGAUUUUAAUUACAGGACUAUAAUUUGAAUGUAUAUAUCAAAGAGCAUUUUAUUUCAAACCAUGGAUUUCAUUGCUAGCUACACGACUUUUAUUAUAUUCUGUGGGAUGAAUAAAAAACUUGCUAAAAUCAUCAUCAACACUAAUAAAACUACAAAACUAUUAACUUUAAUGCUGUAUAUUCAACUAAAUAAAUAAAUGAAAGCUAAUAAAAAUUAUUUGUGGCACUUGAGUUUGAUAAUAUGGUGGUUUGAAAAUUAUAAGAAAUAUUACAUUAUACAUAUUUAUACACAAUUUCUGUAAACAACUUCGUACCUAUUAUUUCGUCUAAAAUACCAUUUCAUCAUUAUUGAUUUUAUUAUUAUUAUUAUCAUUAUUAUUAUUAUUUUAAUGUAAAAUUAGUUUGUUUUAGUACAAUGUUUUUAAUUUCAAUUUUAACUCAUACAACAAAAUGACCACUCAAAUGCAAUUCAACAUCUCUAAUUGUAAUACCAUUAUUAUGAUACGGUAAAUAAAAUUUAAAAACAGUAUAUAUAUAUAUAUAUAUAUAUAUAUAUAUCUAUCUAACUAUGAUCCACACACCACUCAAUUUUGCACAGCAACAAUAACAAAAGAAUAGUAACAUUUUCUUAUAUUUUAAAAUAUAGAAAUUCAUCGUUGGAAACAUUUGAUAGGUGGAGUUCCAAGAAAAAUCACAAUUGUAAUAAUAAAAAUAAAUAAAUAAACAAAUAUUAGACUGAAGCCUCAGAAUGUCACAACAAGAAGACGAGGUCGAUCCUUGUGGGGAAACAUGAACGGGAGGAGAGGCGCAGUGUGAACGGGUCUCCAGAAGUGGAUGAAUGAAGUUAGGGUUUUCGGAAGACUGGCAUAAACGCUAGAACGGGGAACCCUGAUUACUCUUCCCUUCCGCCUUGCAGCUCGACGAGCUCCCCGUUCGCCAUCGCCAUCGCCACGACCUGCCUGAGGUGAAAAGCGAAGGUCCGUCACUAUGGUGCAGCGACUGACGUAUCGGCGUCGCCACUGCUACGCCACUAAGUCCAACCAGACCCGUGUUGUCAAGACCCCUGGUGCGAACACUCAUCCCCUCGCUCUCGCCACUCUUUUAGGUCAUUGUUGCCCUUGGAUCUCCCCUGAGUUUGUGCUUGUUGCGACUCAUCGGUGGAGAAAAAUUGGCUGAAGGGUUCUCUGGUUGUGUACGUAGGUGGCAAGAAUGUCUUCCAAACCGCCACGAAGAGGGCGAGAGGACCCAAGUGUCCCGUCACUGGGAAGCGAAUUGCCGGGGUGAGAACUGUGUCCUGUGUAUGUGUAUUAUUUUCUGGUCUUUUUGAGGUGCAACGGGCUGGGUAGGUUAGGUUUUGAAUUUGGAGUGGGUUCGUCAAUCCGGUGCAAUUGUGUUGGAGAAUUAGUGAAGUUAUUGCCUGUGCUUGGAUGGCCGCUGGUUGAUAAAUGAGAAAUUGCGUAGGAUUUGAUCUUAUGAGUGAAGACAUGUUGUUUUUCUUUUUUUUAGUUUUCUGAAGUUAAGCUUCGUCACAGAUUCCUCACUUGAGGCCUACGGAGUACAAGACAUCUCGCCUUCACAGGCAUAGGAAGACUGUGAACCGGGCUUACGGAGGCACCAUGGCUGGUUCUGCAGUGCGCGAGCGGUAUGUCCAGCAUUUAAUUUGUUUUGAGAAAGGUUACAUGCACACUCAUCUGUAGAUUGAAGUUGUCUAGUUAAUGUGAUUAGUCUUACUUCGUAUUGGUUGAAUGCCUUUCCACUGCUAUGUCUUGUGUUUUCUUUUUUCUUCUUCAUAGUGAACUUAUUAAAUCUAGCGAUUUAGUUGGGACUAGUGGUUGCAAUCAUGCGUACUUGUGGGCGAUGAGUACAUUUGAUUAAAUUGUUUUCAAAAUCGUUGGAAGUCUGGCUAAGUCGUCUCUGGCCAGUAGGUACGUCGGCAUAAUUUGUAGUGAUAUGUUUGGCUAAGGAUUUAAGUUGUAUGACGCAGCAUUAUUCGGGCUUUUCUGGUCGAGGAGCAGAAAAUUGUAAAGAAGGUCCUCAAGAUCCAGAAGAGUAAGGAGAAAUUGGCUGCCAAGGCUCAAACUUAAUCUGUAACUGUUUUAUGAUAUUAAUGAGGAUCAUUCAAUGACCGUGCCACAAAUUUCCGAAUUUACAGAUCCCAUAUUUCGUCUGUGGUUGUCGCCUUAAAUCUUCAUGUAAAUGUCCAACUCUAAUAUAUUCCCCUCGUUAACCCUGCUGAGGUCCAGGGCUUUAAACAGCCGUGGACACGUAUUGUAUUUCGAAGUGCAGUGUUUACUAUGUGGUAGCCCAUCGACGUAGUGGUGAGGUGGAAUGUCCAGUCACCUGUGCUUUUCAUUAAUUCUGAUUGAAAAGGCUGUAGAUAGUGCAAAGCCCGUAGCUCUCACUUCCUGGUGCUCCCUAAAGGCAUAUCACAAUGAGCUCGAAUAGAACUAUGUUCUUUAAUGAAUCCAAAAUGUGCUUUAAAAUUUACCUGAGCACAACUAAUUCGGACUGACUUGUGUGCCAAGGAAUGCUUUCUGUAAUUGGAGUGAGUUCAGACCAUCAGUGCCAGUUAGUUGUAGUUGCUAGCUAGUUUGUGUAAAAUAUUUUGGUUGAUAUGUUACUGAAUGAAUCGAGGUGAAGGUAAGGAGGAGUUCAGUGGUUCCUCAGAGUUGAUUUGAUUCUUUAUAAAGUCAAUUUGGACUUGGGGUAAUUUCUAUCAAGUGAUUCAUCGGUAACACAAAAUACGAUGUGAAAGGCUUGAAUUAAUACUAGUGCAUGUACCGGUUGAUGUCAAGAGUAAUGUUGAUGUAAGAAAAUAUGAGCCUGUUGUCGAUGUUGAAGAGAUAAGCACAUCAUUGUGUUUUUUUGUAUUAUUAUGUUAGAGAUAUUUCGGGAGGCCACAAUUAGUCUGGGUAGACAAAUAAAAGAUAAUACUAAGUUAACAUAUGAAUGAAGUAAUGAUUAAAUAAACAAACAUUUAGGAGUAUAAGUUGGAAUAUACCUCUAUAAGCUUUACUUGUUACAAGAGAUUUUGGUUUUAGGUUUUAUCUAUUUGAGGAUCAAAUUAAGGUAGAAGACUUCAUAAUUCUAGAUAUUAAUUUGACACAUCAGUCAAACUUGCAAACUUUUAGAUGAUAGCUGUAGGACUUCUAGUUCUGUAUUCCUAUCGGAUUUCUUAUGAGAAUUUUAUCAGAUUGUAUCAACAAUGCUAUUCCUGGUGUCGUAUUACAUGUUGUCUUGUUUAGAAAUGCACCAGGCACCUAGUUGUGAAAGGUGAGGUUGUGUUUCACAAGUAUUCAAGAAACCCUAAUAGUUUUCACAUAUAUGAAAAGAAUAUAAUCCAAAUUUCAAUUCAAAAGUGCUAAAAAACACUCUUCUUAGUAGUCUUAAUCAUACAUAAAUCCCAAUUACCUUAUUACUUUCAUAUUUAAGCAAUUUAGAUUUUUCUGGUAAGUCCUAACCCUAAUCAUUGAGCUUUGACAAGCUGUAACUUUUAAUUUGACUGUCCAUUUGAUAUAAAAUUUUGCAUGCAAUUUUCAAUAUAAGUCUUUUAUACGCUUAAGAAUUUUCAAUCCAAUCCAACCUACAAAUUGUGAAAAAACCUCCAAAAAUUACACUAAUGUCUUUUGGCUACCAAUUUGAAAAGUGAAGCAAAAAUCCUAGCAAUGAUUUCUCCUUCUCCAACUGUUAACUUUGACUCAAAACUUGUGUGCAACUUGAUCUUUAAGUCCUUCAAUACCAUGCCAAUAUUCACCUUGAUCCAAUUAGUAGAUCUCUUGAUAUCACAGAAACCCUAUCUAAUCUCAAACUACCAACUUCCAAAAACCUCUUGUGCUAAAAUCCAAAUAUCUCUAAACUACACUGUUAGAUUAUCACAAAAAAUUGUAUACACUUAGCACAGCUAAUAAUCCAAAGAGUAUCUAAUUUUGAAUUGUAGAUAUUACACCAAUUGCACAAACUAGCCAAAAUUAUUAGCCUUAGUUAUAUUAUAUAAAAUCCAAAUCACCAAUAUAAAUCUUGACUUUGAACAACAAUUGCCAAGUUUUCAAAAAUUCUACUAAAACAAUUCUUAUGCCUUUAGAAAGAGCUUUAAGCUAACUCUCAAACUCUAAUCUUUGAUCUUCAAAUAAAUCCCUAAUUUGUCCUAAGCAAUCAUUUUAGUGACCAAAGGUCUUAUUUCGACCCUACUUUACAAACGGUUGACCCCUGGAUAUUAAUCUAAUCUAUCCUAAGGAUUUUUUAGCCCAAUCCUAUCCUUAAUUUGAUCCUAGUAUCAACCAUACCAACCAUUUACCUCUUCUAUCUUGAUUUUAACAAUUUAUGGCCUUUCUAAGGUAGUAAAAAAAAGUUUCUAUAUCCUAGAAGGUAAAAAUAUUAACUAACUUUUAUCUACUUGCUAUUAAGACAAGAAAAUAGGCUAAGAGGCUUUUAUAAAAGCCAUAUUAAAAUAUUUUGAAUUCUUAUUGAACUAAUAUAAUAGAGUAAUAAUAUUUAAAAAUCAUUUUUAGUCAUAUUUUUACCAUAUAAUAGUGUCACAAUAUAAUAAUGGGCUUUGCGACGAUUUAAAACACAUACUGACAUGAAGAAUUUGAGAUUCUUAUGGUUUGUAUACAUGGUGAUUGAAUUGGAAGUACCUUCUAGAUGAUGAUGCCAUUCUUGAAAUGAAUCCACAAUUGCAAAAAGCUCUUUGUCAUGGAUUUCAUAGUUAAUCUUGGCUAUUAAAAGUUUUUUGGAAUGAAAAGCUACUAGGUGAAGUUUAUCAUUUAUUCCCAUUUGUGAUAAUACAGUAUCCAAAGCAAAGUCUAAUUUGUCUGUUUUCAUAAAAAAUGCCUUAGAAAAGUCAAUGCAAUAUAAGAUUGGUGUAAAAAUAAAGGUUGACUUUAAAGCUUCAAAAGAUGCUUUAGUUUCUUUGCUCCACUCAAGUUUGUCUUUCCAAGUCAAAUGUACAAGUGGGAUUGCAACUCAAGAAUAGUUUUUCAUGAAGAUCUGAUAAUAGUUAAAAAAGCCCAAAAAACAUUUGACAUCUCUUAUUGUUUUUAGAAUCUUCCAAUCCAUAAUAGUUUUAACUUUCUUAGGAUCCAUCACAAGUCCAUCAUUUGAAAUGAUGUAUCCUAAGAAGUUGACUUGAGUAGUAUGGAAUACACACUUUUCUAUCUUCGCAUAGAAUCUCACAUUUCUUAAUUUUUGUAACAUAUAAUGAAUAUGAAAUUCAUAUUCAUUUGUGUUCUUAGAAUAGAUUAAGAUGUCAUUUAGAUAAUAGAAAACAAAAUUGUCUAAAAACUCUCAAAAAAUAUCAUUCAUUAAAUGUUGAAAAGCUGCCAGUGCAUUUGUAAGUCCAAAAGGCAUGAUGUUGUAUUCAAAAUGUUUAUAUCUAAUUUGAAAUGCAGUCUUUUAUUCAUGUCCUUCUUUAAUAUGUACUAGAUUGUAAAUUGAGCAGUCAUAGGGACGAUGUUUUGGAAAGAUAUUUGUAUUCUUUUUCUUGAAUACAUCUUAAAACUCUUGAUAUUGGCUUGGAAUGUCACUUGAAGUCUUUGCAUCAUUAAAAAUAGGUAUGGCAUAAAUGACACAAGGUGAUCUUUUUUUUUAUACCAUGCAAGAAAGCUCUCACAUCUACAAACACAAGCUUUAUUGUGCUAGACUUAUGACUUUGUAUUGGAUUAAUUUCACUCUUAAUUAUACUUUUAAAGAAGUCAAGAAUAUAAGAAAUCCAAUCUAUGCAAGGAUUAUACUUUUCUAACUACAAUAAACCUAAAAUGAUUGGAUUAGAGAGAGAUCUAAUUAUAUUAAAGAUUAUGCAACUACUAUGAUAAUUUAUUGCUACAUCUAUAGGAAGUGUUUCAUAAGUAACAUCUCCAAAAGACAAUAGUCAACUAUCUAUGACUUCUACAUGAACACAUUUAAUUUUUUAUACUAAUGAUAUUUUAUGACUUUUAACAAAUUCUACAUCUAAAAAAAAAGUUGAAGCUCUUGCAUCUAUUAAGGUGGAGGCUUUAUAAUUAUUAGGUCUUAAAUAUAUAUCUAUUAUAAAAUAAGAAGAGUGUUCUAAAGAGAGAAUAAGACCUUUAUUAGAAAUUGUAUAAGAUUCCAAUCGCAUGGUUCCUAUUGUAGCUGGACAAAUUUGUUUUCUGACACAUUAUCUUCUUUGACAACUAUAUUCCUCAUUUUGUGGUUUUGUUGUUUUUUUGGACAAUAUUAAGCAGUGUGUUUAGGUUCUCCACAAUAUAAGCACAAUCCUUCUUGAAGGCGACUAGUCUUUUUUUGCUCAAUAAGAAGUUUAAAAUAUACCACAUCAAUUUGCAUAUCUUCUACUUUUGAAUGUAUAUAUUGAGGAAAUGUUGGUGUUGCCAUCGAAUUGUAGUAAUGUUGAGGCCUUCUUGUAUGACUCUCAAAUCAAAAUUUAAAAAGUUGAUUAUCACACUUCAUAACAAAGUCAAUUGCUUGACUCAAUGUUUGAGGAUUAGGUAACUUGAACAUCAAUUUCUUUACUUUAUAUUAUAAUCAUUAAAAAAAUUGGCUAAUAAGUGCAGCAUCAUUUCACUUAAUAUCAAUUAUAAGUUAUCAAAACUAUGAAGCAUAUAAUAUUACAGAUUGAUUGCCUUGUUAUAAAAUAUGCAUCUUAUUGGUUGCAACACAAGUUUCAUCAUGUUCUCCAUAUAUGGACCAAAAUUUUGCCAAAAAUACCUCCAAAUUAUCCAAUAUUGCAUCUUGUCAUUUAAGAAAAGAUAAAAACUACAAUAGUGCUAAACUUGAAAAAAGUGUACCAAUGAAUCUAACUUAGGAUCUUAGAGUUGGAUAGCUUUGAGGUUGAAGCUCAAUUAUAAGUUGUACUUCAUUGAUAAAUCCUCAAAAUUUGGAUCUUGUACUAUUUAACUUCUCGAGUAGGGCAACUCUUAGUUCUCUAAUACUUGAAGGAUUCUCUACUAUGGGUGGAGGGACAUGAUUUGGUGUAGAUGUUGAGGCAACUCUAAUCAUCUCUAUUUCCUCACUUCCUCCCAUUCUUGUUGAUCUUUGUGGUGGUAAGCUAAGUUGAUGCAUUGCAAGCAUCAAUUCCCUCAAUGUUAGGAACAUAAUCCUUAGAACCUUCUAGAGACAAGUUUCUAGAACCUUCUAGAAGCAAGUCUCUGGAACCUUCUAGAAGCAAGUCUCUGGAACCUUCUAGAAGCUUCUUAGUUGAUAAAAGAAAUUAGAGACAUAGUCCUUAGAACCUUCUAGAGAUAAGUUUCUAGAACUUUCUAGAAGCAAGUCUUUGGAACCUUCUAGAAGCUUCCUAGUUGAAAGAAGUUGCUUGAGAAGCUUAUUAAAUAGAAAUAUAUAUUGGAAUCGAGGGUGAAGAGUUCUUCAGUCUCGACAACACAUCUCUUGGAGCUCUAGCUCACCUCUCUGGUGUUGUUCUCAUCUGAUUAAUCUAGUUCUUGUCAGUUCUUCUUGAACUUGUUAGAUCUUAAGUCUGUAUUUCUGUCUCCGUGACAGUUUGUCGAGAUUGCACUCACCUCAGAUAUCAGAGCUAGUUUCUUCUUUGUUAGAGUGUAGAUUAUCCCUCUGUUUGGAAGUGUACUAGCAUUUUAAGAGGUUGCAGAUUACCCUCCUCUAAAUUGAUACUUCUUUUGUUAUAAUAUUGGAGUCUUAUUCUUCUUGGAGAGAGUGGAUUAUUCUUUUUCUUGAAGCUCUUAAGGCAUUUUAGAGGUUGUGGAAUACCCUCCUCUAAACCAAUAUUGUCUUCUUGUAGAGUCAUUUCUGUCCUUCUCUUAGAAUGGUCGGGGACCAAGACAUUAGUAUGACGGAAAGUUCGGAGUCCAAGUUGGAUGCUAUCAUGAAUGUCCUCGCUACGUUAUCGCAAAGAACUGCAGAGAUUGAAGGAGUCGUGGCAAGGCUUCAUAAUGAUGGAGCAUCUGGGAUGGGACAAUCUAGGUUGCACCAGCCUCAAACUUCUAUACUUCGAGAAGUAAUUUUGCCUCAAGUUCGACAAGCACCGCUGCUUCUACAACAUAAGGAGCCUCGAGUUAGCCUUCCGGACAAGUUCGAUGGUACAUAUUCCAAGUUUCAAGGAUUCGUCAACCAAAUCAGGUUGAUAACAGUUUUACAGCCUGAAUGCUAUCCAACGGAGGAGUCACGUGUUGGGCUUGUUGGAACCUUACUUACAAGACAAGCUCUAUUAUGGUUUGCUCCUUUAUUUGAGAAACGAUCGUCCACACUAAACAACUUUGAAACCUUUUUGGAGGCGUUUACGAAAGCAUUUGGUGAAUAGGACAAGGUUGGAUGGACUACAAUAAAGAUCCAGUCACUACGAUAAGGGAUGCGCUCUACAUCAGUCUAUGCAUCGGACUUCAGGCAAUUAGCAUGCGACAUCAAUUGGGACGAAGAAGCGUUGAUAAGUCAAUUCUAUUAGGGUUUAAGGGACAAUGUGAAGGAUUUGUUGUUAACUCUUCCUGAUCGACAAAUACUCAACGAAGCUAUUAGCCAAGCUGUGAAGUGCGAUAACCGCCUAUUCCAAUGUCGCCAAGACCAAUGUUCAAGACAACGUACGAUUUGCCACGCCCCAAUUAUGUCGACAUGCAACAUGAAUUUACAUUUAGAGGUAGAAGACAUGCAAAUUGAUGCGAUACGUGUCAAAUUCCUUACUCUAGAAGAAAAAAAGUGGCAUAUGGAGGAAGGUCUAUACUUGUAUUGUGGUGAAGAAGGCCACAAAGUUGGAAACUUCCUCAAGAAGCAAAAUCAACGAAUUGUCAAGACUAAGGACACGUUUAUUCAGGAAAACGAGGAUGCCCAGCCACAAUAGGAACCGUGCGGCUGGACAGUGAAAUAUCGCAACAACAACCAGGUUCCUUCCUUUCCGCUCAAUCUACCCUUUUUUUACAAUCCCUUUGCUUAUUGGCCCUCAGAAACUAAGAAUCUUAGCAUUAUUAGAUUCAGGAGCAUCUGCUUGUUUCUUAGACGAAGAAUUUGCAAAGCAUCAUAAGAUCUCUUUAGUACAAAAAUCCAAACCUGUUCACGUUGAGAUCAUAGAUGGACGAUCUUUAUUGUCUGGUAGUGUCACCCAUGAAUCAGAACCUAUAGAAGUGACGUUUAAGGGCCAUAGUAGUCAUAUUAUUUUCAAUAUUAUUAGAACUCCAUCAAAUCCUGUUAUUCUUGGUCUUUCCUGGUUGGAAAAGCAUAACCCAUCCAUAGAUUGGAGGUUGCGAAAGAUGACCUUUCCCACAAAACCACCCAAGAGCAAGCCUAGUAGAAAACCCCGAAUAGAGAAAUCCUUAUUCAUUGGAGCAAGAACGUUUAUAAGAUCGUCUAAGGAAGGCACACUGUUUUUCAUUUAUGCGAAUCCAACUACUAAAGAGAAGAUCUCGACAACAAGUAUACCGGAGCAAUAUGAGGAUUUUAAAGAUGUGUUUCAAAACAAAAAUGCCGACAUGCUAUCGAAACACAGACCAUAUGAUUGCGCCAUAGACUUGCAGGAAGGAGCAUAAUCGCCUUUUGGUUCAAUCUACAAUCUAUCGCAGAGGGAGUUGGCAGAAUUGUGGAAAUACAUCGACGAGAAUCUAGCCAAGAACUUCAUCCGUCAUUCAAAAUCGUCAACUGGAACAUCCAUCUUAUUUGUGAAGAAGAAAGAUGGCUCAUUGCAGAUGUGCGUGGACUAUCGAGGCCUCAACAAGAUAACAAAGAAGAAUCGUUACCCAUUACCCUUGAUUUCUGAUCUCUUAGAAUAACUUGGACGUGCAAGGAUCUUUACAAAAAUUGAUCUAAGGGGAGCUUACAACCUCGUACGAAUCAAAGAAGGAGAUGAGUGGAAGACAGCGUUCCGUACAAGGUAUGGCCAUUUUGAGUAUAAUGUCCUAUCUUUUGGUCUUACCAAUGCUCCAACGAUCUUUCAACAUAUAAUGGAUGACAUUUUCCGAGGGCACCUUGACGAUUUUGUUGUCAUCUAUUUGGAUGAUAUUCUGAUAUUCUCCAAAAACAAGGAAGAGCAUGAAAAGCAUGUUCGUUUGGUCUUAGAGAAACUACGCAAGCGAGGACUAUAUGCCAAGUUGGAGAAGUGUUUAUUUCACUAAAUAGAGAUGGAGUUUUUGAAGUUCGUUGCAACUAUAGAAGGCUUGAAGACGGACCCAAAGAAGGUGGAAGCAAUCGUGUCUUGGGAGGUUCCGAAGACAGUGAGAGACAUACAAUGCUUUCUUGGCUUUGCCAACUUCUAUCGGAUCUUUAUCAAGAAUUAUUCUCAAGUUGCAACUCCUCUCACUUGGUUGACAUGCAAGGAUAAGCUGGAAUGGAGACUUCUAGCAGAGAAGGCUUUUCAAGAUCUAAAAAUCGUAUUUACUACAACUCCAAUCUUGGUACAUUUAGACUUUACAUAGGCCUUUUAUUUAGAAACUGAUGCUUUGGAUUUUACUUUGGGAGCUGUACUUUCACAAAUGGGAGAAGACAAGAAGCUCCAUCUGAUUGCAUUCUAUUCUCGAAAGUUCUAUGCUGUUGAAAUCAAUUAUGAGAUCCACAAUAAGGACUUCUUACUAUAAUAGAUUCUUUCCAAGAAUGGCAUCAUUUUCUUGAAGGAGCUACACACCUAGUGACACAGAUCACAAGAAUUUGGAGUAUUUCAUGUCGACUCGAUUUCUAAAUCGACGUCAAGCUCGAUGGAGUAUGUUGCUAUCUACGUUCGAUUUUGUUAUCACUUAUCGACCUGGAAAGCAGCAAGGACUAUUUAAUGCCUUAUCGAGGAGAUUGUAUUUUGUACCACAGGUUGAAGAAGUAGCGUUUGAUCAAUAAUGUACUACGUUGUUGAAGUAGAGCAAUUUUGGCUUUAUACUACUAUUGUGCCAAUUGAUGCUGACUUCCUGAAUCAGGUACGUGCCGUCACCAUUGAAGAUUCAAUAGCCAUUGAUAUCAAGUAGCUUGCCAAUGACGACAAGUUCAAGGUGGAGGGAGAUCUUUUAUACUUUGAAGAGCGGUUGUAUAUUCCAAAAAGAGCAGCACGACUCCGAGUUCUUCAAUCUCGCCACGAUUUUCCAGCUGUGGGACAUUUUGGAUUCAACAAGACCUUGGAGCUUAUUUCUUGAAAUUUUUGGUGGCCCCAAAUGUGGAAGGAUGUGAAAGAUUUUGUCCUCUCUUGCGACAUUUGUUCAAGAUCCAAGAAUCCUCAGCAUUGCCCUUAUGGACUCCUACAGCCAUUGUCGAUUCCACGUCGACCAUGGUCUUCAGUUUCCAUGGACUUCAUCACGGACCUGCCAUCAUCGAACUCAUUUGACAGCAUCUUUGUCAUGGUAGAUCGGCUUACAAAGAUGGUGCACUUUGUUCCUUGCAAGAAGACAUCGUCCAGUGAAGUCACAGCAAGGCUCUUUCUCGAUAAUGUGUAUCGAUAUCAUGGACUACGAGAUGAUAUCAUAUCAAAUCGAGGAACCUAGUUCGUAUCAAAGUUUUGGAGAUCUCUCUUUGAGAUACUGAAGGUGGAUAUCAAGCUUUCUUCGGCUUUUCAUCCUCAAAUUGACGGCCAAACGGAACGGGUGAACCAAGUCUUGGAACAAUACUUACGAUGCAGCAUCAAUUAUCAGCAAGACGAUUGGACCGCAUAUCUGUCGCUAGCUAAGUUUGCAUAUAACAACACCCUCCAUGCGUCGACUCAAUAUACACCAUUCUUUUUCAACUAUGGGUAUCAUCCGAAGCUUGAUUUAUUGAGUCCGUCAAUAAAUAACAAUCCAACAGCUGAAGGAUUUACGAAACAACUAUCAGAGCUUUAAAAUACGUUGAAGCUUCAAUUACAAUCCGCUCAAGAAUCCUACAAGGCGUCUGUAGAUAGAUUUUGGAAUCAAGCACCUACUUUCAAAAUUAGAGAUAAGGCAUGGCUUCUUCGACGGAAUAUCAAGACCAAGCGACCAUGUGAUAAGUUGAACUAUCGAAGAUUGGGACCAUUUGUCAUCCAGAAGCAAAUCAAUCCAGUGGCAUACGGUCUGGAAUUACCGGCUUCUAUGAAGGUACAUCCAGUCUUUCAUGUUUCUCUGUUAGAGCCUUAUCAAGAGUCGUCUUUUCCUGGAAGAGUACAAUGUCUGCCACCUAGUAUUGAAAUCGAGAACCAUGAAGAAUACGAAGUUGAAAAGGUGUUGGAUUUACGACAAAGAUGGAGCAAGUUGGAGUAUCUUGUUCAUUGGUGCGGCUACGACAUUAAUGAGCGAACGUGGGAGCCAGCUUAAAAUCUCGCCAAUGCACCGCAAAAGGUACAGGAGUUUCAUCAAUAACAUCCUCAUAAACCUAAGCUGGUUCGAUGAUAGCUUACUUCUGAAGCUUGUUCACCCAAAAAUAUAAGAAAGGGAGAGAGCACCACCAAAAUUCGUAGUUUGAUGUAGUUAUUUUCUCCAAGAUAAAGUAGAAUUUUUUCAAUAGCCAUAGUUUGGUCUUCUGAUAUGGAUAGCCAAGAGAUAGAUACUAUGCCAGCCAGAUUAUCUCAACCAACUAGCUCACGAAGGCGACCCCGAGAUGAAGAACUACCUACACUACGACGACGACGGAGGAUACCGAGUAAUCAAUCAUUGGUGAUUGUAUUUGAGUUUGAGCCUCCUUACGAUGGUCAGCCAGAAGGCAUGUUUGCAGGACAAUUUCACAAUGAGGAUACGGAAGUUCAUGCUUGGUCAGAAGUCGAAGGCAUGGGCCACUAUAGUUGGCUUUAAGGGCCAAUGAACCACUUGCCUCGUGAAAAAACAGUUGGAAUUCAUAGCAGAUGUUAUGUGACAGAUCUUCAUUUUCUUACGUUGGUAUUGAUUAACAAUAACAUUGCUUCUCAGAGAUCUCGAAGCUAAAGGAGGGGGUGAUGUUAGGGACAUAGUCCUUAGAACCUUUUAGAGACAAGUUUCUAGAACCUUCUAGAAGCAAGUCUCUGGAACCUACUAGAAGCUUCUUAGCUGGUAGAAGAUGUUAGGGACAUAGUCCUUAGAACCUUUUAGAGACAAGUUUCUAGAACCUUCUAGAAGCAAGUCUUUGGAAUCUCCUAGAAGCUUCCUAGUUAGUAGAAGUUGCUUGAGAAGCUUUCUAAAUAGGAGUAUAUAUUGGAAUCAAGGCUGAAGAGUUCUUCAGUCUCGAUAAUACAUCUCUUGGAGCUCUAGCUCACCUCUCUGGUGUUGUUCUUGUAUUUAUCUGAUUAAUCUAGUUCUUGCCAGUUCUUCAUGAACUUCUUGUUAGAUCUCAAGUCUGUAUUUAUGUGUCCGUGACAAUGAGUUAGAAAGAUUUGUUAAAUACAUCAAAAGUGAAGACAAACAAGUUGUCUACUUAGGAGAUGAUACUACAUCAUACAUAAUAGAAGGACAUGGUGAUGUAAAUAUCAAACUUACAAAUGGUGAUGCGAAGUUCAUAUUUGAUGUAUUAUAUCUACUAAGACUUGCAAAGAAUUUAUUCUUUGCUAAAAAAUUAGAUAAGACAAGAGGAUAAAUUUGCAUAAGAAUUAGCACCACUAUACUUAUAAAUAAAUUUGGUCAAACCAUUGCAAUAUGCAAAUUAAACCUUAAUUUAUAUGAAUUAGGUACAACAAUAAUUUUAAACAAGCCUCAAAUUUCUAUGCCAGCAACAACACAGUUAAAUAAAGUUGAUUUAUGGCACCUAAGUUUAAGACACAUAAAUCCUCAAAGACUCAAACAAAUACAAACCAUGGCAAAGGGGAUUGAUUCCUUUGAUGAAAGAAAAAUUACCUUAUGCCAACCGCAUACAAAAAGUAAACAACAUAAGAAAAAGUUUCCUACACAAGGUACACAAAGAACUAUUCAAUUAUUAGAACUUGUACAUUUUGACAUUUGUGGUCCUAUGCAAGUAGGCACACAUUCAGGAUGUAGUUACUUCAUCACAUUUAUUGAUGAUCUAACAAGAUAUUGCCAAGUAUAUUUGAUGAAACAGAAAUCUAAAGUAUUUGAAAAAUUCACCUUAUACAAAAAUUUUGUAGAAAAAAAAAAAUGAAGUUUCAAAAUCAAAAUCUUAACAUCUGAUCAUGGAGGUGAAUAUACAUCCAAUGACUUUAAAAAAAUUUGUAACAAAGAAGGAAUUAAAUAAGAAUAUACUAUAGCUUAUAUACCAUAAUAAAAUAGUAUUUUUGAAAAAAAAUAGAAUAUUAAUAGUAACAAUACUUGUAAUGCUAUCCUAUUCAAAUUUACCUAAAUUAUUUUAAAGUAAAGUACUCCAAAAAGAAAAUUACCUCCAAAAUAAGAACCCUAUAAAAUCUGUACAAGUUACCAAAAUACCAUUUGAAUUAUGGUACAAACAACAAACAAAUUUAUCCUAUCUUAAAAUAUUUGGUUGCAAAGUUCAUGUAUUCAUUCCUAAAAAAAAAAAAAAAAAAAAAAAAAAAAUUAGACUCUCAUUCAUAAGAGGCUAUCUUUCUAGGCUAUAGUGGAGAAUCUAAAGCCUAUAGACUUAUGAAUAUUCAAAAUCAACAAAUUUUCAUUUCAAGUAAUGUUCUUUUCAAUGAGAAUCUACAUGAUCUACAAACAACCACAUACUUGCAAAAGGACAAUGAAGAACUCUUACUAGAUUUAGAAUUAUUCAAACAUCCUUCAAUAACUAUAAUGACCAAUGAACAAAACAUACAUCCUAUUGAAGGCAUGUCUUCUCCAUCAAUGCUACCACUACAAGAAACACAUGUAUUUGAUUACCAACCAAUACAUAGUACUUCUUCAAAUGUGGGAACAACCUCCUUGUCACAUUGAUGUCAUGGAAGACUUCUUUCAACUAUCAUUACUAAAUAAUCAAGAGAUCUUAUCUCUUGAAGAUGUUGAAGUCCAUUCUAUAUUGCAAAUCUCAAAUCUUCUUUCUCGUUCUCAACCAACAAGAAUUAUUCAACCAACUACAAGAUUGUUAGAAUCUAUAUAAGGCAAAAAAGAAUAUAAACGACAAUAUAAUCGAUAUUACCAAUCCCACCUUUUCUCUAUUCUUAUAGAAGCUCCAAACUCCAUUCAAAAAGCAAUAGAGAGGAUUGAUGCUCAAGAAUGGCAAAAAUCAAUCAAUGCUGAAAUUACAUCCUUAAACAAAAAAAAUACAUUGCACAUGACGAAUUUACCUCUUAAUAAAAAACCUAUCAAUUCAAAGUGGAUUUUAAAAAUAAAAACUAAAGCUGAUGGAAGUAUUCACAAAUAUUAAGCAAGGGUAGUUGUAAGAGGUUUCAACCAAUUUCAAGGUAUUGAUUAUAUGGAGACAUACUCUCGUAUAGUCAAACUUAAUUCUAUCAAAGUUCUUUUUGCUUUAAUCACUCAACAUAAUCUGGAAAUACAUCAAUUAGAUGUUAAAAAAAUAUUUUUAAAUGGAUUUAUAGAAGAAGAUAUCUAUAUGACUAUUCUUGAACAAUUAUCUUCUAUACAUACUAACAAGGUAUGUAAGUUAAAUAAAUCCCUAUAUGGUCUUAAGCAAUCAUCUAGAAUAUGGUAUCAAUAAUUAUAUCAAUACUUAAUCCUUCACAAAUACCACCACCUCAAAUCAGAUGUAAACAUAUACAUCAAAAGAGAAAAUAAUAAGGAUUUUAUUAUAAUUAUAGUUUAUGUUGAUGACUGUAUUUUUAUCAGCAACAAGCUUCUUUUAAUUUAACAAGUCAAAGACAUUCUCUAGCAAGAAUUUGACAUGUCCGAUGAAGGAGAAAUCCAUUACACUUUAGAUAAUGCUAUACAAAGAAAUAGAAUGGCAUGAUGGAUCAUCUUCUAUCAAGCCAAAUACUUAACAAAUAAACUUAAUGAAUUCAAUAUGUUGAAUUUCAAUCUAUUAAGUAUUCCAAUUAAGCUAGGAAUUUGUUUAAGUAAUGAAGACUAUAUUACUUUCCAUGAUUAUCCUUAUUAUCAAAUUAUUGGUAAUUUAAUACAUGCUAUUGUUAAUUUUAGACUUGAUUAUGCUUAUACUCUCAGUAGUUUAGCACAAUAUCUCUCUAAACGAGGACAUAUAUAUGUUCAAACUUUGAAAAGAACUAUGAAAUAUACAAAAGGCAUAUUAAACUUUAGAAUAAAAUAUCAACACUUACCUCAAGGUGAUAUUUUCUAUGGUUAUUUUGAUGCUGAUUGAGCACGUAAUAAGAACAUCUGUUGCUCUACCUCUAGAUUUUGCUUCUUAUUGGUUAGAAGAGUUAUUUCUUGGAGCAACAAGAAAUAACAAUUUGUUGCUUUAUCUUCUAUAGAAUCAAGAUACAUGGCUUUAACAAAAGCAACUACUGAGGCCAUAUGGUUGAGAAAAUUAUUACAUGAACUUGGAUUUCCUUAACAUGCACCAACUACCAUAUAUUUAGAUAGUCAAAGUGCCAUUGCUCUUAGUGAAAAUCCCAAAUAUCACUCUAGGAGCAAAUAUGUGGACACACAAUAUCAUUUCAUUAAAGAGAAGAUCAUUUCUAAGGAAAUCCAACUGCAAUAUGUGUCAACCACACAUAUGACAGAAGAUUUAUUUACAAAAUAUCUUCUUAAAAAGAAAUAUUUACAAUCCCUAUCACAAUUAGGCAUGUAUCAACUUCCUCUAAAUACAAAACAAGCAAACUGUUCUACAAUCAUUCAAGCAUUACUAGUCUCCUCCAAACAAUACAAUUUUAUACAACAUAAAUAUUUUGAUACAUCAUAGAAUGGGAGACAAUCUAUUAUAGGAUCCAUUGUAGGGCCAACUACAGGACCUAUCGUAGAGCCAACUACAAAUCCACCAUAUGGCCAGUUGUAGAGUCUACUAUCACACCAACUAUAAGACCCACUAUGGAGCUCGUUGCCUUGCUUAUUGUAGAUCCCACCGAUGGGCUUACUACACAACUUCUUGUCAAGGCGAUUGCAUCUAUGGUCGACUCUAUCUAGAUGCAUCCUUAGGAACUCACAGUUGUGCCUACAUUCACAACGCAUCUUCCAACAAUAGAACAAUCAAGAAACAACAAAAAAGAAAACAAGAAAUGUGUGAACAACAAACAAGAAGCAACAAGCAAAUAUAAGUCAAUAAAAAAACACAUACCUUCUCGGAUUUGAAGAAGUAGUGGGAGAUCUAUGAAAGAACUUUCCAACAAUGCAACAUCAAAAAAGAGAUCGAAAUCCUAUAUUUCUUACACAUAUCCGUUUUCAAAAUGGAUGAACUUUUGUUAUAGAUGAAAUUCAAUUUGAGGAUGAAGAUUAGUGUACUAGUGGGAGUAUUGGGAGAAUUAUAUUGUAUAUUAUAUUAGUCUCUUGUAUAGAAUACUAUCUACUCUAUAUUGACCUUAUACCAAGAGUUGUGACUCUUGGUGUCCUUGUACACACACUAUAUUGUGUAUCAAUUGAUCAUAUUAAUAAUAAUAUUGUUUCCAGCAGAAUCGCUAGGAUUUCUUGAUGAAUUCUGAUAUCCUUGCCGCACCUGAUGACUCUGGUAUCAGUCUUACUCUCACUUCCCCACUUUUCUUUUGGGUCUGCAGUUUGUAGCUCUUGACAUUACCGAGGACCUGGAGGUGGGGGCUGAGGCUGUGAAGGACCACAGAGAGCUGGUGCCUUGUGAGAGAGUGUGGGUAUACUGUCUUUGAAGUUUGUGUGAUGGUUUUGUGGCCUCGUGUGGGGACCGACGUAUUGAGUUGUUUGGGUGUUGUUGCAGAUGAGUUUGAGUUUCUUAGCAAGCGGAGUGUGAGAGGCGAGUUUCGGUUGUUGUGUCAUGAUGCAGAGGCUUGCGAAGUUCGCGCAGGCUCAGGGAGGACUCUGUCAGGGAGUGUUCUUCAGCAUGUUCGGGUGGGGGGAUCGGCAUUGGGUUUUGGCAUCCAGACGCGGAGGGAAUCGGGACAGAUUGAGACUAGGGAGAGCUUGGUGGAGCACAGGUUUGAGAGCACCACAAUUGCCGAUGUCCUGAAGGACAAGGGUCAAAAGGCCGAUGGUUCCUGGUUGUGGUGCAGUGUGGAAGAUACAGUAUACGAUGCCGUCAAGUCGGUGAGCCGUUCUUGAGUUACUGGUCUCUGCGCAAGAGCGUGGCGUCAAUUCCCUCCGAAACUCCAAUUUGUCAAUACCGUUUUCUAAGAGUUCCAUCAUCUGUCCAGUCAGAGGCAUUUGAAUAUCAACUCUUUGAGUUCAUCUGCUAAAGUGACAUUCCUGGCAUUUGGGUGGUAUCUUAGAUGACUGCAAACAAUGUGGAGGCAUUGCUGGUGGUGAAGUCGGGCACGGAGAAAAUGCUUGCUGGAAUCAUUACUGAGAGAGGUCUGUCAAGCCCGCAACCUUUCUUGCAGCGACAAUUAGCAAUGUAUGCAUUGAUCAGUUUAAUGAAGUCGAGGCAUGAGCUGGGUGUUGGUCGAAUGUAAGACCAAUUAUUUAACUUUAAUUUAGUUUCCCCUAGGUUGCAUAUCUUUCCGCCAGGUUGCUGAGCCAACUCCAUCAUCAGGCACUCAUUGCACUUUACCAAUGUGCAACAUCUCUUCUUUUACGCCAGUCAAAACCUCGCGAAAUUUGGUCACGUUCGAUCAAAGGGUGAAGCUGAUGGAAAUGAUUGUACUAUAUUAUGAUGAUCCAUAUCUCCUUUUUAUGCAGAACAAGCUCAUAACUGUGAGUCCGGAUACUAAAGUGCUGCGUGCCAUGGAGCUGAUGACCGGUAGGCAUCCAUCAGUUUUGUGAUGUUCGACAUGUUCUUGUCAUGUUGUGCUUGUGCUUUGCACGGCUUGAGUGGCUCUUUCUCGACUAGAAAGUACUGGCUACUGUGAAUGCUGAGGUAACGGAUUUAUAGAGGGAUUUCCCGGUUGGGCAUUCACGGUUAGAAAAAAAAAAAAAUGUUUCUUCUGCAGACUAAAGUCUACAUUUGUAUAUUCAGAUUGUGUGUUUAAAAUACAGAAGAUGACUAGAUUUUUCUGCAGAAAUUAAUUAACUGUUUUCUUUUCAAUCCUUGACCUGCGUUAGGCUCCGAAUGCUCGGUUCAUUUACCUAGGAAUUUUCCGUGUGUGGAUUUCCUCUGAGCCUGCGCAGAUAACCGGAUUCGGCACAUUCCAGUAGUGGAGGAUAAGAAAAUGAAGGGUAUGGUGUCUAUUGGUGACGUGGUUCGCGCAGUAUUGGACGAGCACCGCGAGGAGCUUCAGAGCCUGAACUCUUACAUUCAGGGCGGCUAUUAGAAAUCGCUACUAUGGUGUCCUUCCUAAAACCUAUGCAAUGGCGAGGGGUUUCGUACACCCAGUUAUUAGAAGUCAACCGAGCUCCGACAAGAAACGAUGCCCAGGCUAGAGAAACAUGAGUAGCAACGUACUAAGCCAGAAAAAAAAAAAAAAAAAAAAAAAAAAAAAACUUAUCGGCGAAUGUUCAGAACGUAGAGCAACUGGAAGACCUAAAUUGGGUUGAAUGUAGUUACGUGGUUCAUGUUUCCUGGUAGUGAAGCGGUUUGUCUUCUGGUCAGUGAUGCUUAAGCUCUGUUACGAUGGGUGUAACAAUUGAUGCACAAGAUCUUUAAUUUUGUCUUGUGCAAUGAAUGAGUUAUGGGAUAUUAAUGCUUUUUUAGGUCAAAAUGUCAGAAAAUUUUGCUUAGGCAAUUUCAGGCUGGCCAUGCUAUCGAGUUCAUCACAUUACGAAGCUUAAAAUCUUCGUUUCGUGUCGACUUGAAAUUUCCUGAUUCCGUGCACCACUGAUGGAAUGCUCAGAUUGAUCGCAACAGAGAUUCGAGAGAAAUCUUUGUAAAUUGGCAGGGAACAAUCCUGUUUGAUCACCUGUUAUCAAAUGUGAGAUUAAUGGGGCCUACAGAAUUUUCGUUCAUCAGAAAGAUGCUUUUAAAGGUAAGUGGGCAGACACGCAACGACAACAGUAUUCAACGUGAAAGUUUUCCUAAUUGUAUUAAAUACGAACCUGAAUACGUAUUUUCACCUCGGCACACGGAUACUGUAUACAUGACUGCCGCUGUGGUUCCUUGACGAUUAUGAAUGUGCCUUGUGUAGUUGCCGAUACGCGAAACUGUUGGUGGGGGACCGCGAUGCUUCUACGCUGAGUUGCAGUCUCGAAGGUCAUCGGUUUCGGGGCAAAACCACGAAGUUGGUUGCUUCAAGCAGCUCAAGUGUACUUUAGGUUUCGGUGCUCUUGAGCAUGAUUGGUUGUUACAUCUUUUACUCCAAGUGGGUUGUCAGACUUGAAUGCGCGUUGGCCUUCAGAUAGUGAACUCCUCGUCGCUUUUAUCACCCUUCUUCAGAUGUGCUUGCAUCACAUUUUAUCUUACUACUGGCGUGCGCAGAUCUUUCUGAUGGAGGGAGAAUACCAUCUCUGUCUGGGAAAUGGCAAUCCAAUCGUCCUGUUUGGCUAACCUUUGACGGAGAACUGUUGCGUGUUAGACCUUAGGGUUCAGGAGCUAUGUGAGGAAAAUAUGCGGUGAAGAUCUGGAUUGUCAUGAUUGGUGCCGAGAGCUGAGGAAUGGGGUUGACGAUUUGCCAGGAACAGUUCAAUGCUUGCGUCGACUGAUUUUCGUGGAAGGGUGAGGGAGGAAGGGACAUUCAUUUCUUUUUAGGGUUUGGCGGUAUGGCUUGCAGGGAGAGCAAUGCUAGUGCGGCGAAGCUGAGCUAACUUGUGUUUGGGUUUGUGUCGAGUUGGUAAUCUUUGAGGGUGUCGGAGAGUGAGAGAAUGAACACGAACGGGAAAUCGCCUGCGCCAAGUGCGGUGCAACAGUGUGAUGGAUGGAGGGCGUGACUCUGAUUUAGAGUCAGGUUUAUACUCUCGUAGAUUACGCAAGAAGCGAUCACUCACGUUCCUUCAGAAGAUGAAGAUGUUGCCGUCGAUUGCAGCCAAGCGUUAUCACAAGCUCCCGGCGUCCUUUGUGGUCUCUGUCUCUCUUUGCGUGAGUGCCCUCCUGUUCGUGUCUGUUUUUAUGUACAUUCAAGCUUUCGGUACCCAGUUUUCGAGUGCUAGAGCAAACAGCCAGCUAUUCGCCGAGCACAACUCAUCCUACACAAAUCUCCGUAGUCUUGUGAUGGUCGCCGGGCAUGCAGUGUACACGAGCUCGAAAUGCGGCAAACCCGAAGAUGAAGACUCUUGGUUUCUGGAGCCCUAUCAGAAGCAUCCUGGCCAGGCAAGCACAUUCGUGGAACACAUCAAGUUGGGCGUAGAAGUCACCUCUCAAUUUGAAGAUUCAUUGCUCCUCUUCAGCGGAGGCGAGACGCGCAAGAAUGCGGGACCCAAAAGCGAAGGCCAGAGCUACUGGAACGUUGCGGAAUCCAAGGACUGGUUUGGCCACAACGAGAGCGUGCGAUGGCGUACUCUUACAGAAGAGUUCGCUCGCGAUAGCUUUGAGAAUCUUCUGUUUAGCAUGUGCCGAUUCAGGGAAUUGACGGGGCACUAUCCCGUGAAUAUCACCGUGGUCAGCUACGACUUCAAGCAGCGGAGGUUCACCGACUUCCAUCGCCGUGCGCUGCGGUUCCCAGAGUCGCGAUUCACUUUCCUCGGUGUCCCUUUAACGCCUGAAUCGCAGGAGGCAGCCAUUAAGGGGGAGGAGAAAGUACUGGAAAUGUUUCAGGAAGAUCCGUAUGGCUGCAAAGGAGAGUUGUGGAAGAAGAGAAUCUUUCGGGACCCAUUUGUUCGCUCUGUCCCUUACCCUACAGGAUGUUCGGAAUUACGAGGUCUAUUCAGCUAUUGUGGACCAGAUUACUACAUGGGCAGCCUUCCUUGGAUAUCCUGACCACGGGUUUGGAGUUAGGAAUGCAAGUUAUCACUGUUAUUUCUUCUUCAUCUCCCUCCGAUGAUACUUAUAUCACUGCACCAAUUUGCCUAUGUCGUUUCUAUCUACACGGACUUCUCCCUUACAGACAGCCACCCUUGAGCAAGAAAUCUUGAAGGAUGGAGCUAAUGUCAACAGCCAAACAUUCAUCAGGGCUUGUUUCAUGGUUGUUCUCUCCGUCACCGCUAGCACCACCAGUUUAUUACUACAAUUUUUUAUGUCAAGGAAACCAGGAUGAGAUGCCAGAUCUUGAAUUGGACACCUUAUAACCUUGUCCAAUCUUCUUUCUCGAAUAUUCAAUGCUGAAAACAAGCUGAUUUCUAUUAUGUAUGGUAAGAAUGCUAGCAGUUGCCUUCUGAGCACUGGUUCAGUGUCUUUAUACUGCGACGUUCAGUGAAGUAUUAUUUAUUCAAUUUGACUGCAUCAUAUAUUUUAGCAAUAAUGCUAGGGGCUCCUCUGCGAUGCUCAAUACUUGCUCUAUAUCAGCGUACUUCAUUUACCAUUUUAGUAUCCUUGCUGAGCACCUGCUUUGUUGCACAUCAAUUCGGUAAGUUCUUAGUCCCUUAGUGCUUGUUCCAUAUAAUGAAUUUCUCUCUUCCUGUGUGUUUGUCUCUCCAUUCCACCACAAUUUAGCGUGUAGUAAUCAAACUUCAAUAACUGCGUUUUAUGACAGCGAAGAAGGAAAAGUGUACUCAUUUUCACUCGCUCACCAAUGUGUCGGUCAUACUACGGAACUAUGUCGAAGGUCACUGUCAACCGGGUCCGCCAAGGAAGCACGCAUUGUAUGUAAUCAGACUUAAUCGUAAUUGUUACCAACUUUGCAAGCUGUCCGCUUUCAGACUGUAUCACAGCUAUGUAGUAUUUCUUCACUUAUCCCAAAAUGUAUUCUUGCAAAGAAACAAGGUAGAUAGUAGUGCGGGUUGAUUUUUGACUAGUUUUCUUAGAUGGUACUGAUGGAUGUAAUUGUCAAUCGCUCAUGUGCACGAUCGCCGAAACUAUCCUGGUUGCUGACAGUAGUAACCUCUGUUGACGCUUUGCAUCGUUAACCUUGAAUCAGAUCUGCUACUUUGCUGAUAAAUUUAACCCCACUUCAAAUUGAAAGUUGACUCUUCUUCAUACAUCAUGCACAGUAAGUUUUCACAAAUCCAGUUCGCACUUGGUCAAACAACUAGUUGCAAGUUGGCAUUGUCUGUUGAAUAUGACACUUUCCUGCUGUGCUUAGCUGUCUUGGUUUCAUUUCAUUGUGUUCUGUGGUUGAUGACUUCAUCUCUAUACAUCUUCCAUACAGGUGUGUGCUAUCAGGUACGCUUGAGGACACUGGUAACUUGGCUAUAUGCUACACAAUGACUAGUUUUUUUUAUACGUUAAACCAAUACAACUUGAAGCAGCAGAAUAAUACCAAUUCUCGGAAGCAGACUUGAGUAUUCAUGUUUGUGUUGGAUGUGUUGGCUUACUCAGAUCCUUGGAAUCUGUAGCACUUGGGAAUUGUAUCAACUUGUGUGAUAUGCUUGCAAAAAUACUGUACGUUUGUGUUGUGUAUUAGUGUAUGUAUAAAAAGAACACACCCUUUCAGUACAUGUGCAGCUAUGUAGAAGAAUGAAGGCAAUACUAAGAUAAUGUGUAUGUAAAACUGUAUUGAUUCUCGUCUAGUGUUAAAGCAUAAAACAAUAAAACAAUAAAAAAAGGAAAAACAACAACAAAUGUGGAAUUUUGUGAAUUUCCCCUUUCCCAUACCCCCACUCCGGUCCCCACCCCGUGCCCACUCUCCCUGAUCCAACUCAAUCCCCUUGUUUUCCCCUUUCCCUGUGGUCAUAGCAAUGCCAAAAAAUAAUGAUAUAUGUAUGUGUGUUUAAGUAUAUGUAAAUAUACAUUUUUAAUUGUUUUUAUUGGAAGUAAACAUUGACUUAUGCAAUAUAAAAUAGAAGUGCUUUUGAUUUUGUUGAGGCUAAGAUCAUUUCUGUCACUAUUUAUUCAAUUAGAAUCAUUCAUUAUGAGUAAUUGUUUGAAGUUUAUUAACUUUAUUAUGGAUGAUUUUUUUUUUAAUCUCUAUGUGACUAAUUACUUACAAUAAUUAAUUUUUAAUAAUUUAAAAAUUACUAUUGAGUUUUGGUGUGCGUAUAUGGUGGGAUUUUGAAAAAAAAUCACUAAAUGCUUUACUUCAAAGGUCUGUGCAUAAUAGAGAUUUUUAAAGUACAUGCUGAUUCCAAAAUCAUUUUGAUUAAAAUAAAUGUAUUAAAUAAAUAAAACUGAUUUUUUUUUUCUAACCUUAUAUAAUAUAGUUAAGAUUUAAAAGUAAAAAAAUAAAAAAUAAUGAUAUAUACAUUGCAAUGAAAAAAAAAGAUCAUGGACAGCAUUUGAUAUUAAUUUUUGGCAAUGCUAUGAUCAAAGAGAGAAGAAAAAAUAAGGAGACGGGAUGGAAAAAAAUAGGGUUGGAUUGGAGAGAGUGGGUAUGGAGUUGAGACAAGGCUGAGGUGGUGAGAUUGGGGUAUAGGAAUGGAGAUGUGGGAUGGGAAUGGGACAGAAGACAUGGAACUUGUACAAAAUCAAAUCAUGAAUUGGAAAAAAGAGUGUGGCUUUAAAAACUGCCUAAAUUUAUUGAUAUAGCAUAAGUAUAGUUUGAAAUAUGUGAACUUUACAAAUAUUUUAAGAGAAUGUAAAUGUCAUGUAUAUACUAUACACAAAACCAAACAAGAAGUUGAAUGGAAGAGUUUUAAUAAGAAAACUAACAAGAACUUAAUUAAAUCAAAUAAAUACAAGAUCAAUAUAAAAAGAGGUGAAUUAGAGCUACAAGCAAUGUAUUGUCAAGACAAAGGAUCUCCUCAACCUUAAUUUCAAUAUAUACUAAGUAUUAAAAAGCUUCUUGAGAAGUUUUCACGUUGCUUGAAGAUGAAGCAAUCCUAAGAAGCUUCUUAGAUAACUUUCUUAAUUCUCUUAAAACUUUUUAGAAUCUAUUCAAAUAUCCUAUAAAUAAUCUAAAUUUUAAAAAAAUAUUUUAAGAAUUUUUUAUAAUCUUAUAGAAUCUUAUAAAAUCUAAUAAAAUAUUCUAAAAAUAUUUUUAUAAACUUCUUCUUUGACGCUAUAACAUCACUUCUCUUUCUAAUUUUGAAUUCUACAAAGAGCAUUAGUUUCAUAUCUACUUUCUUUGUUAUAUACAACAUCCUAACAAUAGCUUUAUAGAAAAGUUAUGCUAAAAUAAGUUUAGGUUUUUUGAAGAUAACAACAAUGAAAUUCAUGUAUCUUUUGCAAUGCAUUAAUUAGAUUUUUUGCUAGUUCUCAUAUAUGCUCAUUGAUAUCAUAGCUGCACCAAUGAAUAAAAUACUCCAACUUACCUCUUCUUCAUAAAGAAUCAAGGAUCUUUUCCACCUCAUAUUCUACAUGAUUAUCUAUUUCAAUGUAAGGUAGUGAUUGUUGUAUUCUACCUACAAUAAUUGAUCCUAAAUAAGCCUUUAAGAGAAAGAUAUAAAAGAUUGGAUGUACCUUCAUAGAUAUAUAUAAUUCCAAUUAAUAAGCUAUAGGAUUGAUUUACUUUUAAUCUUUAAUAAUCCAACUUAUUGCAAGAUCAAUUAAUCUUGAUAUUUUAUUGAAGAAGCCAUAUUUUAUCUCCAACUUAAAAAGUAAGAGAUUCUUUUUAAAAUUUAUUUAAAGAUGCUUGAUAAGAAUCUUAAAUUGCUAAUAAAUAGAGCUUUAAAAUUAUUUUAAGUUGUAAAAAUUAUUUUACAAGUUCUUUAGCUGUUUGAUUUUUAUCCUUUGAUAUAUUUAAAAAAUAGCACUUCAAAUAGUAAUCAUAAUUGGAAUAAAAUGAUGUUUUCUAAAUUGAAUUAUGAAGAAUAUUAUUGUAAGCAAACUUUGCUAAAGAUAAAUAUAUGGUCUAAUCAUCUUGUUGAUAGUUGAUGCUACAUUGUAAAGAUUGCUCUAAAACUUGAUUGACUUAUUUUAUUUGACUAUCUGUUUGAAGGUGGUAUCAUAGAUAUGAACAUUAAAGAACUAAAAAUAUCAAUAUACUCUUAAGUCACUCAAAAAGACUAAAAAAUCACUUUAAAAUGAUAUAAUAUUAAAUUAGAAUGGCUAUUUUUAUAAACAAGAAGAUUAGAAAGUCUUGAAACAAGACUAAAGACUAAAAAGGCAUUGACAAGAAUGAAGAAGCCUUCACUCUUGCCUCUAUAUAUAGUCUCAAACUAGGAGCUAUAUAACAAUCUUUUGUAGGAUCUCUAACAUGUAUUGACUUUGCUAAAUACAUGUCUUAACUUGUAAGACAAGUUAUCUAUAAAUACACCAUAUAGUUACCUUGUUCCACAAACUACCAACAUGUGUGGUAUGUGGUUAAGUUAUUGAUUAAGUUUCUAACCUAUCAAUCAACUACAAACAUGUAUAAAGUCAAAAUCAUAUCUAUGAAGCUUUUAAGAAGCUUCCAUAAAAGAUAUUAUAAUAUUAAUCUAUAUUUGUUUUCUCCAAAUUUGACAAAUUCAAGCGGCAUGGUUAUUCUUCUACUUAAUGGGAGUCUUUUUAAUGCAAUGGUAGCACCGGAUUUACCUCGUGGAGUGAAGAAAACAAGAUCAGCAACCUCUCCUUUAAAAUACAAGAGAAGCAAUGAAAUUCUCAUUUUGAAGAAUUUCACAAAAAUUUCCAAGAUCCUUGUAAGUAUAAACUUCCAUGAAAAUUAUAAUUGAGCAUGGAUUGAAGUAUGUGAGUAGUCGAUCUUACCUUAAGAAGGUUUUUUGAACACAAUAGUGAAAUUAGAUUUACAAAAAAAUGCUUUCUUGACCACUUACAAGAGCCAUCAGCCCUGAUAACGAGAUUGGCUCUUAGAUGAAUGAAGGCCAUAGAUCUAGAUUAGGGAUCUUAAAAUCAAGGGUAGAGAUUUAGCCACCCUUCUACGAGCCUCCACUCAAUUGUAUAAGAGAGGCUUGGUUUUACAAGCCUUCUCUCUCUCCUCUUUUGGGUGAAGGGCGGAGCCAUGCCAAAAUUUGGCCAAAAUCCUAAUCUUAAUUUUAUUUAGAUUUUAAUUCUCAUUGUGAACCUUGUGAUUGUAUAUUUAUGGAUUUUCAUUGUGAAGGAUGGUCAUUAAGUUUUAAAAUAUGUUUCAUUGAGGUAGAUAUCUCCUCGGCCUUUCAAAUACCCCAAGGGUUUCAAGGGCCUUGGAUUUUCUUCAAUCAGUCACUCAAUUUCUUUUGUUUCAAUGUGAGAUUCUAAAUAGUUGUAUCUUUUAAUGUUAGCUUUCCGAAAAAUUAAGACUUGCUUGAUUUGGAGUAAGAAGGAAGUUUUGGAGAAUUUUUGAGUUUAAAGGAGUCGACUGCCUUUGCAGUUUGAAUCAAUCGAGUUUGGAAAGGCAUUUCUCAGUGCUUGAUGAUUGGCUUUAUUUGAAAUUUUGGAAGCAUAAAGCUUUAUAAGCUAAGCUCUGAAAGGCAUAAGUUUUGUUGAAUUUGAAGACAAUCUGAAGUUUUAGUGAGUUUCUAAGUGAAGAGGGUUGGUCACCAUGGCAGUUUGGAUCACUAAACUUCAAAGGAGGAACUCUCAUGACUGGAUCAUUAGAUUGCAACAAAGAUUGUUGGAUCAAAAGCAUCUUCAAGUUGGCCUUGCAACAAGCUAAGAAUCAUUCAAAUUGAAGCCGAUUACAAAUUUUGGGAAAUUUUGGAGUAGAAGGGGGUCGCUGCCUUCAAUCCUUAUGGGUUGUCAAGGUACCUUCGCUUUCACCUCUCUUACUUUAUUUUUACUAUCAUCUUCAUAAUGACUUGUAAUCUCCACAUUUCACUUUUUGGCUAAUAAAUUUUAAAUUUAACUUUUAACCUUUAAUAUUCUCAAUUAAACUUUUAACUUUAACUUUUAACUUUAACUUUUAAAUUAAAAUUAAAAUUUUAAUUUUUUUAACCUUUAAUUUUAACUUUUAACUUAACAUUUUAAUUUUAACUUUUAACUUAACCUUUUAAACUUAAUUUUUAACUUUAAAUUUUUUUAACUUAACUUAUAACUUAACUUUUAAUUCAAACUUAAAUUUUUAUUCUUAUGGUCAAUUAAUAGUAAUAAUUUAGUUAAUUAUUUUUACUAUGUUUGUAUAAUAAAUUUCAUUUAACAUGUUAAUUUAAUGUUGGUAACCAUUUCUUGGAAGGCCUAAAACUAAUUGAAUGUUUAAUAUAAAGAUUUAAAUUAAUCUAACAAUUACACAAUUGAAAGCUCUCUAAUUCCACCUCUUGGACUUAUUGUGUGGCAUAGGUUUCAUUAAGUGGUGAAAUUUGGCCUCACAAGGUACAUACCUUGUUCACCAGUAGAAAUUCCAUUUGAAGUUGUGCUUGAAGAUCUACUUAAAGCUCCACCCAAAGCUCCAUCAAAAAGUCCAAAUUCAACCUUCUUGCCUUCUUGCACCAUCAAUUCCAAAUACCCACAAAUAUAAUCGAAUACCUUCCACCCCAACAUUUCACGUCAGGUUCACCACUUAUGUCGUAUUACGUGUUGUUUUGCUCAGGAAUGUAUUAGGCACCUAACUGUAGAAGGUGAAAUUGUGUUUCAAGUAGCUAAGAAACCCUUAUAGGUUAUGUCCAUAUGAGAAGAAUAUAAUCUGAAUUUCAAUUCAAAAGUGCUUAGAAUACUCUUUUUAGUAGUCUUAACCAUACAUAAAUCCCAAUUACCUUAUUACUUUCAUAUUUAAGCAAUUUAUAUUUUUCUUAUAGGCCCGAAUCUUAAUUAGUGAGCUUUAACAAGCUAUAACAUCCAAUCUGACCGUCCACUUCAUGUAGAAUUUUGCAUGCAAUUGUAAAUGUAAGUCUUCUAUAUGCUCAAGAAUUUUUAGCCCAAUACAACUUACAGAUUGUGAAAAAACCUCCAAAAAUUGCACUAAUGUCACUCGGCUGCCAACUUGAAAAGUGAAGCAAAAAUCCCAACAAUGAUUUCUCCCUUUCCAAUCGUUAAUUUUGUCUCAAAAUUGGUGUGUAGCUUGAUCUUCAAGUCCUUCAAUGCCAUGCCAAUUUUUACCUUAAUCCAACUAAAAGAUCUUUGGAUAUCAUAGAAAACCUACCCAACCUCAAACUGCCACCUUCCGAAAUCCUCUUGUGCUAAAAACUAGAUAUCUCUAAACCACGCCGUUAGAUUAUUACAAAAUUUUUUAUACACUUAGCACACCUAAUAGUCCAAAUAGUGUCAAGUUUUUAACUAUAGAUGUCAUACCAAUUGCACGAACUAGUCAAAAUUACUAACUCUAAUUAUAUUAUAUAAAAUCCAAAUCAUCGAUACAAAUCCUAACUUCAAAUAAUAAUUUCUAAGUCCUCCAAAAUCUUCUCAAAAAAAUUCUUAUGUCUCUAAAAAUAACUUCAAGCUAGCUCUCAAAUCCUAACCUCCAAUCUUCAAAUGAUUCUCUAACUUGCCCUUGGUGGUCGUUUUAGUAACCAAAGGUCUGAUUUCGACCCUGUCUCACAAAUGGUCGACCCCCGGAUAUCAAUCUAACUUAUCCUAAGGAUUUUUUUAGCCCAAUUCUACCUUUAACUUGACCCUAGUAUCAACCAUAUCAACCAUUUACCUCUUCUAACCUAAUUUUAUCAAUUUAUGGUCUUUCUAAGGUAAUAGAAGAGUCUCUAUAAUCUAGAAGGUAAAAUUACUAACUAACCUUCAACCUACUAACUAUUAAGAUAAAAAAAAUAACCUAAGAGGCUUUUAUAAAAGCCAUGUUUAGAUACCUCAAAUUAUAAUUGAAUUCAGAUAAUUAGAUAUUAAUUAGAAAUUAAAUUUUAAUUAUAAUUUCACUAUAUAGUCGUAUUACAUCACAACAACGGUAGAAAACAUCUUUGAGAGCCUCAAGUAGAGCCUUUACCAUUUCCAAUUCAAAGGACUAAUAUAGCCAAUAAAGAUAAUCACAAUUUUCAAGCUAAUAUCCAAAUCGACUCAAUGAUGUUACCUAGGGGAUUACCAAUUGUAAUACCCUUAGAAUUACAAGAGGCAUCAAUUCUAUCUAACCUCUCAAGUUUUAAUUGAUCUAUCAAUGAAGACCCAGUAGCCUAUAUAGAAAGGUUUGUAGAAGUACUUAUCACUAAUUUAGUAACCAAUCAUGGCUACUAUUUAAUAUGGUUUCUAACAACCUUGACAGAUUUUGUGUAUGCUUAGUAUAGAUCCCAUAUAGAGGAGGCAUUCACUAAAUGGGAACAACUUCUAGCAGCAUUUCUUUAUCAAUAUAUGUCCGUAAUUGGCCAACAACAAGCUCUUUGAGCCUUGACAACUUUUAGACAAGGUCUUUUAGAAGUUAUUAUUUCUUAUGUGAGGCAAUUUUGAGUAGUAUAUACUUGAUAUGUUGAUAAUUUUUUAAAUGAAGAUACUAUAAGGUACUACUUUAUUCAAGGUUUUGCCAUGCCUUCUAUAUUUCGGGAUAUCCUAAACAAGAGACCUAAAGAUUUAGAAAGAGCCAUUGAAGCCACUUUAAAAGUGGAGGUUAUUCAUAAAAAAAAAUGAUCUUACGCUUUGAAAGACAGAAGAAUCAAUAUUCUCUUUUAUACCCUUGCAACAUCGACCUAUAGAAUUCCACCAACCUCUAGCUUUAAGUUACUCACAAUCUUCUACUUUUUUCCUUACCAAUUAGCAAUCCAAUACCUUAAGUUAUAAAACCUCCAUAUGAUCAAGUUCAAACUAAGGCCUUUUGUGAUACUAGAUUGGAAGAAUUUAAAAGUGAAGUAAGAUAAAUCAAUGAGGUAUUCAAAAAUAAGAUGAUGAACACUAUGAAAGCUAUUAGUGAACAAAUGUCUUGCCUUGUUAAAAAUCAAACUCCAACUAUAGAAUCUAUACACCACAAAUCGGAAAUUCAUACUUCUAGAUUAUGGUGUAAAAACUAUAGAUAAGCAAAUCACAGUGCUCAAUUUUGUCCAUAGUUUUUACAAAAACCACUUAUAGAAAUGAAUGAAUCCCAAUCUUAUAGAUUUUCUCACCAUUCAAGAUAAGUAGGUCCUAGCCUUCCUUCCAACCAAACGAAUAAUAUUACACCUUGUCCUACUUGUGGAAAACCACAUCGAGUAGGUCAAUGUUGGAUUAAAAAUGGAAUUAUAUGCUCAAAGUGUAGAAGUUCUCAUCCUAUAGAUUGUUGUAGAAGAUCCAACCAAGUUAAUUCUUUAACUUCUUCUUUAAGAAAUUAUAAUAAUCAAACUAGACGAAAUAUACAAGAAGUGAGAUUUACAGAUCCUAUUGUUACAAAAAAUCCAUCAAACAUGUAUUAUGACCCUUCGAGCAAUGGUCAAAACCAUCAUCCUCCAACAAUAGUUAGAAUCAAUCAUGGAAUAUUAUAUGGAUAUGUAGCUGAUACUCAAAAUCAAAACCAACAACCAACAACCAUAUUCUUCUCAAAAUGUUAGAUAUACAGUGAUUCAACCUGAUGUACCUACUAUAUCAACCUUAUGAUCUCUUCAAUCUAACUUAGUUCAACUAGACAACGAGGAGAUUUUUAAGAAUAAUAUAUAUUUACCUUCUCUGGUUGUAAGUAGAAGUAUGAGUGCUAAAAAACCAAUGGAUUUAGUACCUCUUGAAAAUAAUGAAAUAUCUUUAGAUACUUCAGAAGAAUUGCUUAAGUUUGAAGAAUUGACAAAAAAUACACAGGAGGUAGCUAAACAACUAAAACAACCAAUCAUCUUCUUUGAUUGAAUCUAAUGAGGAAGAAUAUAAAUUUAAGGACAAAGAAUGGCCUUGGACUUCUAAUACCUUGUUAAAACAUCCAACAAUUACUAGAGCCUUCAAUCCUACAAAACCAUAUGAUUUAUGGCAAGACCUUUCUAAGGCUAGAGCCAACAUUUCUUUAAGUCAAUUGAUUCAAGUAGCAUCAACCAUCAAAAAAGACCUCAAAGAAGGUAUAAUUACACAAAAAAAAAACCAAAAAUAUAGAAGGAAUAGCUAGAGUUAAAGUUGGAGAUUUAGAAGGAGAUAUUACCUCAAAAAAAAAAAAAAAAAAAAAGACAUUAGAGAGUAUAGACCUACUAAGAUAGAUAUAGAAAUAGUAAAUAAAAUAAUUCCUAAGGUCAUAGUAGAUGAUGGAAGUAGCAUUAAUAUUAUGUCCAAAUCCACUAUGAUCAAAUUGAGAUUAAAAAUCACUCAUAAAGUAGUUAUGAAAGUGAGACUAGUUGAUCAAAGACCUUCUCAACCUUUAGGUCAAAUUCGAGAGCUUCAUAUGCAAGUAGGAGGUGUAGAUUAUGUGGUAUCAUUUUAUAUCAUAUGCCUAUGUGAAGAAGUGGAUAGCUACCCUCUAUUGUUAGGAAGACGAUGGUUGAGGCAAUCUAAAGGAGUAACGAAUUAGAGGGCUUCUAAGCAUUUUUUUACUUUUGGACUUUUAAAAAAUUGUACAAAAAUCAUAGUAUCUAGCCACUUUAGACUCCAAUCUUUGACUCUAUUAAAAAAAAUACCAACAUCUAAAGAGGCCAAACAAAGUAGUUUUAUCCAAUCCAAUUCAACUUCUACUAUAGCACCAAUCAAAUGUAUUGGCCUUGGAUUAUAUGAAUAUGAAGAUGAGGGUGAUUUUUUCAAAUAGUUAGAAGAGAAUCCUUACGAAGAAGAAGACAUUCAUAUUUGAUUUGUAGAGUUUGAAGUCUCAUCCUUGCGCAUUGCCAUUGACAAAAGAUUGGAUGUUUUUCAAACUUUGGAAGAGCAUUUAGAAAAACUUAGAGGAAUUAAAAGAUUAUAAUUCAAUACAUAGAAACUACUUAGUUGAGAAGGAAGGAGAUCUUUGAUUAUUAAAAAAAAAAAAAAAAAAAAAAAAAAAAAAAAAAACUUCUUAUCCCAAAGAUGUAGGUAAUGGUCUAAGAUGCUAAAAGUGGCUACAUGUGGAGACAUAUUGAGUCUAAACCAAAUAAUUGAUCUUUUUUGAGUCUAUGUCAAUAUUUUAGUAGUUUUCUACUUAUAUUCUACUUCUUUUAAUAGAUGACAAUGCCUUUUUUGAUAAAUUUUUAUAUUUUAUUUUAUUUUAUUGUAAUUUCUUAUAUUUUUUAUAGAUUGUGUCAAAUGCAAGAGUUGGAUUCUCUCUAAUUUUACAAAUAGUCCCAGAUGGUCACCAAAUGUGGGUUCCAUCAAUAGAUCUUAAUUGAUAGAUUAGUUAAAAAUAUAGUAUUGAAUCAUUUAAUGAGAUAAAUAUUAAGGUUAGAGAGUCUUUUUGACUAUUUAAAUACUUAUUAUAAUUUAGAAGUAUUUAUAAGUAUAAAAGUCUUAUUAGAAGAAAAGUUAUAAAAAUAGAAUCUUAGUAAGUCUUGGAGGCAAUUAUCUUAAUUGGUUUAGUAUUUUCACUCAUUAUUGAGUAUUAAUGAUUAGUAAUUGAGAAAAAUUUCUAAAUUGGCCUCAUAUCUAUAUAUAUUACUUACAGAAAUACUAUCAAUGAUUAGUUAAUAGUUAAAAGAAGCAUGAAAAAGAACUUCAUAUCUUUUAAGUUAUGUAUGUAAAAAAUAGGAUUUUUAGUGGAUUUAAAUUAAUUUUAUUAAUAUAAAAAUUACAAAAAUAGAAAAAUAUAUUACUUUAUGGAUAUUAGUAUUAUAGAAAUAUUACAUGAUUUUUUAGAAUUUUUUUAGAAUUUUUUUAGGAUUUUUUAUAAAUUUUAGAGAAAAUUUUAAAACCUUCAUAAAAUUAAGUUUUACCACCUUGAAAGCCACUAUGAAGAAAUGAAACAAGAUUUGAAGACUAUGCAAGGUUUCUACGCUAAUUGGAUAUUUUUGAACACCAUGGUGAAUUCAAAAAUGAAAAAAGAAUAGUUUUACUAGUAGAAAAUAGAAGGACCAGUAGCUAGUGUAGUUCUUGUAGGAAGAAAGAUGCAUAAUUUCCAUAUGGGUUGUAAUACCUUGGGUAUAGGUAGGAAGAUAAGACUAAGGCCUCAAGGCCUCUUUAGAAGACCAAUAUAUACUACUUGUGAGCUUUGGUGAGGUUCGAACUCCUUAUUUCUUAAGCAAGUUACCCUUGAGGUAAAAAAAUUUUACUUAACUAUUCUAUUAUUUACAUUCUAUCUUUAAUCUAUCAUAACUUACUCAUAGUAACUUGGAAUUACAUGAUUUUUAUGUCAUUAGGAAGAUAAAAAAAUUAUCUAUCUAAAAUUCUAUCUUUUAUUUUUCAAUUUUAUCUUUUAUUAGAUGAAAAUCCAGUGAACAAACUAUGACUACUUUGUAGUGUAUAAUUGCUUGAUUGCACUUGUUUCACUUGUUUGGUGUUGUCCUUCUUUUAUUCUUGUUUAUUGCUACUUCUACUUCUCACAACUAAUUACAAGAAAUUCUUAAUUGAGGCCAUCUUAUAAUUUGGGAUGAGGAGAAAAUUCACCUUCACAGAUCACCAUUAAGUCCAGUCAUUUUAAGACUUUUAUGGCUUGAUUAAUACAAUCCAUGGGUAGAUUGUAUAUCUUGGAAGUGAAAAUUUCUUUUAGUAGAAAAUAGAACUUCCAGAUCUAUGAAAAAGCUUAUAACAUCUGACAAGCCAAAACUUAAACAACGUUUAUUUAUUGGAGCUAGAAGAUUUGUGAGAGCAGCCAAAUAGGACACUACAUUUGUUGUCUAUGCAAAUCGACAAUCAAAAUCUAUAGUUGCUACAACAAAAAUUUCAGAAGCUUAUAAGGAUUUUACAAAUAUGUUUGAAAAGAUAAAUGUGAACAUCUUAUCAAAGCAUUAUCCUUACAAUUGUACAAUUGAUGUUCAAGAAGAUGUUCAACCACUGUUUGGACCCAUCUACAAUUUAUCCCAAAAUGAUCUUGCAACUUUAAAAGAGUACAUUGAUGAAAAUCUAGCUAAGAAUUUUAUUUAACAUUUCAAGUUGCCAGCUGGUGCUCCGAUAUUAUUUAUAAAGAAAAAAGAUGGAUCUUUAUAAAUAUAUGUCGAUUAUUGUAGACUUAAUAAAAUCACAAUAAAGAAUUGAUAUCCAUUACAAUUAAUAUCCGGACUUCUUAAUCAACUUAGUCAAGCAAAGAUCUUUAUAAAAAUUGAUCUACAAGGCACAUAUAACUUGGUAUGCAUUAAGGAGGGAGAUGAAUGGAAGAUAGCAUUUUACACCAGAUAUAGACAUUUUGAACACAAUAUUUUGACUUUUGGACUUACGAAUGCACCAGUCAUAUUUCAACAUUUAAUGAAUGAUAUAAUUUGUGAACAUCUCAAUGACUUUGUUGUGAUCUAUUUGGAUGAUAUUCUAAUCUUUUCUAAGAAUCCAAAAGGCCACAAAAAACAUGUCCACCUUCUGUUGGAAAAGCUAUGAAGUAUUGGGCUAUAUGCAAAAUUAGAGAAGUAUAUAUUUCAUGUACCUCAAGACCAAUUUGUUGGAUAUAUUAUUUCCAACAGAGACCUUUUUAUAGAUCUAAAGAAAGUACAAGCAAUCAUCAAUUGGACAAAGUCAAAAAUUAUACGUAAUAUCCAAUGCUUUCUUUGAUUUACAAACUUUUAUAAGAUUUUUGUUAGAAAUUACUCCAAGAUUUCUGCUCCACUUAUGCAGUUGACAUACAAGGACAAGUUAGACUAGAGCCUUAACGCAGAGGUAACUUUUCAAAGCUUAAAAGAUGCUUUCACAAUAGCUCUAAUUUUAAUACAUCUAGAUUUCAAGAAGCCCUGUUUUAUGGAAAUUGAUGCUUGAGACUUUGCAUUAAAAGCAGUCUUAUUACUAUAUAGAGAAGAUGACAAACUUCAUCUAAUUGCAUUCCAUUCCAGAAAAUUUUUAGUGGCAAAAAUCAACUAUAAAAUCUACAAUAAGAGUUGUUUGCUAUCAUAGAUUCCUUCUAAGAGUAGUGCCACUUUUUUAAAUGCGCCUCUCAUCAGGUGACUAUAUAUGCAGAUGAUAAGAAUCUUGAAUACUUCAUGUCAGACCAAGUCUUGAACCAUCGCCAAGUGCAUUGUUGUGAUGUAAUAUAACUAUAUAGUGAAACUAUAAUCAAAAUUUAAUUACUAAUUAAUAUCUAAUUAUCUUGGUUCAAUAAUAAUUCAAGGUUUUUAAACAUGGCUUAUAUUAAAGCUUCUUAGGUUAUUUUUUUAUCUUAAUAGUUAGUAGGUUGAAGGUUAAUUAGUAAUUUUACCUUCUAGCUAUAGAGACUCUUUUACUACCUUACAAAGACCAUAAAUUGAUAAAAUCAGAUUAGAAGAGAUAAAUAAUUAAUAUAUUUAAUACUAGGAUUAAAUUGAGGAUAAGAUUGGACUAAAAAAUCCUUAUGAUAGGUUAGAUUGAUACCUAGGGAUCGACAAUUUGUGAGAUAGGAUCAAAAUCUGACCUUUGGCCACUAAAUCAGACCUUUGAGCCUAGGAAAAAAUAAGGAUUUAUUUGAAGAUCGAAAAUUAAGGUUUGAGAGCUAGGUUAGAGCUUGUUCCAAAGAUGUUAGGUUACUUUUGAUAGAAUUUGAAGAAAGUUAGUAAUUGUUGUUGGAAGUCAAGGUUUGUAUUGGAAAUUUGAGAUUUAUGCAAUUAAAUUAAGACUAGCACUCUCAACUAGUUCGUAAAAUUGGUGUCACAUCUAUAGUUUAAAUUUUGACAAUGCUUGGAUAAUAAGGUGUUUUAAGUGUAUGUGAUAUUUUAUACUAAUUCAAUGGUGCAAUUGAGAGAUAACUAGAUUUUGGUAGAAGAACAUAUUAAAAGUUAGUAGUUUGGGAUUGGAUAGGGUUUCUAUAUUAUCUAGAGAUCUACUAAUCAAAUCAAAGUGAAAUUUGGCAUGGUAUUGAAGGACUUAAAGAUCAAGCUAUAUACCAAUUUUGAAUUGAAGCUAACUAUUGGAAAAAGAGAAAUCACUGCUGGGACUUUUGGUUCACCUUUCAAGUUAGUAGCAAAGUGAUAUCAGUGCAAUUUUUGAAGGUUUUUUUAGAAUCUAUAAAUUAGAUUGGAUUGAAAAUUCUUAAGCAUAUAAAAGACUUAUAUUGAAAAUUGAAUAAAAAAUUUUACAUCAAGCAAACAAUUAGAUUAGAAGUUACAGCUUGUCAAAGCUCAUUGAUCAAAGUUGGAGCUUACAAGAAAAAUCGUAAUUGCUUAAAUAUGAAAGUAACAAGGUAAUUGAUGUUUAUGUGUGAUUGAAGCUACUAAGAAGAUUAUUUUUUAGCACUUUUGAAUCAAAAUUUUGAUUAUAUUCUUUUCAUAUAGGUGAAACCUUUUAGGAUUUCCUGGAUAUUUGUAAAAUACAACCUCACCUUCCACAGCUAGGUGCUUAGUGCAUUCCUAAGCAAGACAACACAUAAUACGAUAGUGUUGAAGUGUAAUUUUAUCACAAUUUAUCUUUUUCAUUAUAUAUCAACUAGAAGGGCCAACAAGGAUUAUCAAAUGUUGUAUGGACUUCUUCAACCCCUUCUUACUCCAAGACAACCAUGGUCAUCUAUCUCAAUAGAUUUCAUUACAAAUCUUCUACCAUCAAGCUCAUUUGAUACUAUCUUCAUAGUUGUUGAUUGAUUGAUCAAGUUGGCACAUUUUAUACUUUUCAAGAAGUCAAAUAGUAGUGAAGAGAUGGUAAGAUUCUUUAUUGAUAAUAUCUAUUAUUACCACAAAUUAUCAAAGGACAUUAAAUUGAAUUGUAGGCCAUAAUUUGUAUUAAGGUUUUGGAAGGUACUCUUCAAGAUUCUUAAAGUUGACAUUGAUCUUUCUUCUAACUUCCACCUUCAAAUUAAUGGCCAAAUGGAAUAGAUCAACCAAAUUCUUCAGCAAUAUUUGAGAUACACUAUCAAUUAUUAAGAAGACAACUAGAUUUCCUACUUGUCGUUGGAAGAAUUUGCAUAUAACAACACAAUCUAUGCAUCUAUACAACAAAUGCCAUCCUAUUCAAACUACGGUCAUCAUCCAAAGUUGGAUAUGAUAGAGUCUUCAAAGUCGUCAAAUCUAGUAGCAGAGGAGUUUGCUACGAAGAUGGCCGAACUUCAAGCAAUCAAGAAAACUCACUUAGAAAGGGCUCAACAACAUUAUAAGCUAUUGACAGAUGAAUUGAAGAAGAAAAAUCCUAUAUUUCAAGUUGAUAAAGUGUGGCUUCUUUGGUGCAAUAUAAAAACCAACAAACCAUGUGAUAAGUUAGACUACCAAAGAUUGGAACCAUUUAUAAUUCAGAAACAAAUCAAUAACGUAACUUAUUGCUUAGAGUUACCUUCAUCGAUGAAGAUUUAUUCAAUCUUUCAUGUUUUAUUUUUGAAAAAGUAUAAACAAUCAAACAUACUAGAUCAAAGACAACCACUACCUCCUAUAGUUGAAAUCAAUGAUCAUUUUGAAUUUGAGAUAGAAGAGGUAUUAGAUUCAAGGAUAAGACAUAGAAGGCUUGAAUAUCUAGUCUAUUGGCACAGAUAUGAUAUCAACGAUUGCACUUGGGAACCAACUAGCAAUCUUGUAAAUACACAAAUGAAGGUUCUAAAGUUUCAUCAAUGACAUCCAUCUAGACUAAAAGUGGCAAAAUGAAGAACAUUAGCUUGGUAACAUGGCUUCAUGAUGAAGAUUUUUAGUUCUUGGCCUCAUAAAGCAAGGGAAGAGGUAGUCUCUAAAGAGGUAGUUUUUUCAAAUAUUUAAAGCAAUAUAAAUCAGUAGUUUGAAUUCAUGACCAUAAUCUGUUUAUAUUCUUUUGAUCUUGUCUAUUUUAUGUGAUAUAGAUGGACAAGAAAUAGAUACCUUGUCGAUCAUACCAUCUCAAGCAAGUAGCUUGUGGAAAUAAUCCCGAGAUAAAGAGCCGCUUGAACCAUGAAGAUAUCAAAGGAAACUCAAUAAUAGGUCACUAAUAAUUAUGUUUGAGGUAGAAUCUACCUAUGAAGGAUGUCCAGAAGGAAUAUUUGUAUGACAAUUCUAUAACAAAGAUAUUGAAGUUCAUGCUUGGUUAUAAAUAGAAGGCUUGAGGCACUAUCGCUGACUAGAAGGGCCUAUGUAUCAUUUACCUUGCAAAAAAUAAUUGGUAUAUAUAGUGGACACCAUGUAACAGAUCUUCAACUUCUUGCACAUAUAUUGACUUACAACAACCUUGCUUCUUAGAGACCUCAAAGUUAGAAGAAGAGGAGAUGUUAUAGACAUAUAACUAAAGUAGGUUCAAGAAGAUUCUAAGAGAUUUUAGAAAAUUUUAAGAAGGUUCUUGUAGAUCCUAUAAGAUUCUAAAAGAUUCUAAUAGAUUCUUAAAAGAUUCUAAUAGAUUCUAAGAAAAUUCUAGAAGAUCAUAAGAUAUUUUUGAAAGUUCUAGGAGGCUUUAGAUGAUUUAGGAAGUUUUCAAAGAAAGAUCUUGUGCUUUUUUUAUUCUCAAGCUUUAUGAAAACUUCUCAAAAAGCUUUUUAGGACCUAAUAUAUAUAGGAAUCAAGGCUGAGGGGAUCCUUAGUCUCAACAAUUCACUUCUUGUGGUCUAACUAGGACCUUCUUGUCUUGUAUCCAAUUAUUGUUCCAAUCUCAAAUUAAUUCUAUUUCUUUGUCUUGAAUCCUUAUCUUGUAUAUGGUCCCUAAUAUUUAUAUUCAAGGUGGCAUAUGGUCUUUUUUCAUGCUUAAAUAAUUUGGUUCUAGAUUUUAGAAUUAAAAGAAUUAUAAUAAUUUUAUUCAAUGAAUCAUAAAGAGUUGACUAACCACUUGCCUUUGUAUCCUAGUUAGAAUGAAGAAAGUUUGUAUUUUACAAAAAAUUGAAGGUUAGAGUUCCAUGGCUUAUAAGCACAAAGAAUUCAUUUACUAAACAAAGUAUUUAUUACAUCAUCUAAAUUUAUAAAACUUAACUCUCUUAAAGAUUUAUUUUGACUACAUAUAUUCUAAGCUACUUGAGUAUAAAUUUUGUAUUCAUAUCAAGUCUAUAAAUAAUUCCUAAGGAGGCCCUUAAUUUUCUUAAUAAUUAUUUUGGAGCUUACCUAUACUCCAAUAAAAUACUAAAGAAUUGAAAGUAGAAUUUAAUUAAAAAUUAAUAAUCUCUUGGCUAAGCACAACUUAAUUAUAUUUCAAAACAUAAGUUUUUUCUAAAUGCAAUUAACUAAAAAUUCAUCCACAUUAAAAAUAGAGAUGUUGAUUUCAAAUAAUGUAUCAACAAGUUUUAUUAUAUUUCUAUCUUUUAUCCAAAUUCAUUAUUAAAAAAUAUCUAGAUAAGAGAGGGACUUCUUUUUUCAACUAAGACGACUCCUGAUUUGGCUCAAUUACUAAUUAAACCAUAAGUUUUAUAAAAUGUUUUAAAAACUAUGAUUAGAUUAGAUACAAAAGACUUAUCUGCUUUAACAAUGAAGGAUGUGUCAUUUUCAUAUUGGAAAACGAAUUACUAAGCUAUAGAAUUAAGUAGUUUAGUUUUUUUAAUUAAAUUCCUAAAUUGGCUUAUUAAGUUUUGCAUUGAAGGCCUCUCCUACUAAUAAGAAAUAUGAUAUAAUAGAAUAGCUUCGGAAAAUUUUAUAAUUUAUUAAAAAAUUAAAGAUGGCUUAGCUAUUAAUAUUAAUUAUAGUUUUAACACCAAUAAGAAUAAUAGAUACCAUAUUCAUGAAUUCAAAGAGAAAUUCCAAAGUAGACAUUGUGUUAAAUAGAAAAUACCAAUUUAGUCUAUCAUAUACCUUGAAAAAGUCCAACUUUAAGAAAAUAGAAUUUUAUUUAGAUUUCUUAGCCCACAUCAAAGUCUUGUGUGUUAGUGAAAUAUUAUAUAAUAUAAAACAAUUAGAAAAAAAGACACUUUGAUCAUGAAAUAUAAUACUACUAAAAAAAACUUGAAGUCACUUUUGUAAUAUCCUUACAUGGAUUUUGUAUGAUACAUUAAACAAGGUAAUAGGUCUCUAAUUACCAAAGAUAUAUUUAUCUCCUAUUUUUAAAAUAAGAGUAAUAAAGCCUCUGAUUAUAUACUAUAAAUUGACCUUGAUUAAUUAUGAUUGUAAUCAUUUGUCAUAGGUUUUUUUAACUCCUUAGCUAAAAGUGGAGAAAUUUGGUUUAGAAGAGCCUUUAGGAUCUUCCAUUCAGCUAUUAUUUCUAUAGUCAUAUAAGGCACCCAACAACAUAAUAUGAAGAAGUAAUGUCUGUACUCUUUUAUUAUUGCAGCUUAUCUUGUAAUGUUAGUACCUCACUCCUUCAGCAUUUUAUAAUAUUAGAUUUGAUAAAAAAAAUUAUGAACUAUAGAAAAAAAAAAAAAAAAAAAAAAAAAAAAUCAUAGAAUUACCUUUGACUUUCCAAUGAAGUCUCAAUCAAAUCCAUCUUUCCAAAAUCUUAUAAAUUUCUAAUACAAAUAAUUUUUUAUUACAAGAUUCUAAACUUUGUAAUUUGUGGUUAUAAGGAUCUCCUUGUAAUAAAACUUAGACAAAGUAGAGGGCUAAGCAAUAGGAUUUUUUCUACCUAAAGAAUUCUUCUAUUUUUUGUUUAGUAAAAGCUUUAUAUUCUUACAUAAAUUAUCUAAGCAUAGUAAAAAAUGGUUGAAGAAGAACAACAGUCGGCUUUUUAAAUAUGCCUCACUAUCUCUUUUAUAUGUAAAUCCUCUAAAUAAGAAAUAUUCAUUUUGUAGAAUCUCAUGUUGUACACUAUAUUAUCUAAAAUAAGCUUAAUAUGACCUGAUAAGUGAUUAAAGAGUGUUGAAUUUGUCAAAAUUUUAUAAUUAUAUACAACCUUCCACAAGCUAAGAAUAAUACUUUUGAGAUAUAAUUUAUAUCUAUAUGCAUUAUAAUUCUAUCUUUUUUUGUUGUCCUAUAAAAAACAUAGUUUUUUUUGGAAUUCAAAGAAAUUUACAAGGUUAAAUUGAUUUUUGAAUUGUUUCCAUGCAAGGUUUUCCUCCACUAACAGAAUGCAAUUAUAAUAGGAGGUUUUAUCAAUUUAUUUUUUAUUACAUUAAAAUUACUACUAAAUUACUAAUAGAAAUUCAAUAAUAAAGAGAAUGAUAUUUUAUUCCAAAAUAUGAUUUGAUUAUUAGAGCAAUUUGAGGCAAAUAAAUUAAAAAUAUCCAAAUCACUCCUUAAGAGACCACUAAAUUAGAUCGAAAGCCUCUAGUUAUUCAUAAUAAUAUUGUUGCUACUAACAAGUAGAGUGAGCUUAUUGAAUAUAAAAUUACAAAUUUUGUAUUUUUUGAGAUCCUCUCAACCAUCUAUAUUAUAGCCAAGAAUCGCUUCAAUUAAUCAUUGGCCACAAUGGAGCUAUAAUUACUUCCUAAAUUUAUAUAUUUUUUCUCUCCAAAGUUUAUGCUCCUAAAUUAUGAUCAUGUCUAAUCUUUCAUCUAUUUCUUGAAUAUAAUUUUUUGACUUAUCUAUUUUAAGCUUAUCAUUAAAUCUUCAAGCAUUAAGUGUAAUUGAUUUAAUAUUCAUCAUUGGCACAUAGUUCUUUGAUUUAAGGAGCUACUUGAGUCUCAAGAAGAUCUAUUCUUAAAGACAUAAAUCUCAGAAAACUAAAAAAUCAAUACAUUUUUUUAUUAUUCAAAAAGAUUAAAGAAUCAUUCAAAAAUAGUAUAAUAUUCAACUAGAAUGGCUAUUAUCAAAGAUAAGAAGAUUAAAAAGUCUUAAAAUAAGACUAAAGACUAAAAAGACAUUGACAAGAGUAAAGAAGGCUUCACUCUUAUCUCCAUAUGUACUAUCUAACUAAGAGCUACAUAUUAAUAUUCUAUAGAAUCUCCAACAUAUAUUGACUUUGCAAGACAUAUGUCUUGACUUGCAACAAAAUUUUCUUUUAUGCACAUCCAUAUCAUUAGCUUGUAUCACAAGCUACCAACACGUCUAACAAGUGGUUAACUUAUUGCCAAAGUUUCUAACUUAUCAAUCAACUACAAAUAUAUAUAAAAUCAAAUACAUGUCUAUCAAUGCUAAACCUCGUCUAAGAAGCUUUGCUACAAGAUAAUAUAAAAUCUACCUAUAUUUAUCUUCUAUCUAAUACUUCUUAUCUAAAUAAAUAUGUUUUUCUAUGAUAUUUGUUAGGUCUUGGAGAAAGAGGACAUUGAGGCAUAUUUGACAUACCACUAGUUGUUCAAGGUGGUAUGUGGCUAUGGCUCCAACUAUGCAUUGAGUUCAAUCUUAAAUUCAAAAGGGGUUGAGGUUGAAAGUACAUCCUUAUUACCAACAGGAUUAGCAUUAAAAUCAAUGUGUGGUAGAGCCACAUGAAUGCUUGAGCUUGUGUAGCUGAAGAAAAGCUUGCUAUGUGUACAAGCUGGGGAGUCUCGCUUAGUUCUAGCAUAUUAGUUGUGGUGAUGGGAAUUGGGCAGGAGUACUUAGCGUGCUUAAAGCCUCUACCUUCUAGUCGUUGAAGCGGGCAGAGAUGUACUGGGAAUGCGGUCAGACCCAUCAAUGGGAUAUAAUCUUAAGUAACGUUGAUAUGUUGGCUUGCAGAUGGAGAGACCAUCACAAGAUGAAGGGAAGCUUGAUUUUGAAUAACGUUGACAUGGAGGCUUAUCGAUGGAAAAACUAUCGUUAGAUGAAAGGAAGCUUGCGAUGGUGGUGGAGGCUGGCCUAUAGACAGUGCUGGUAUAGCGGAUUUGAAUUCAACAACAUUAAGGGAGCCGAUCGGGGAGACCUUGGCAGAGGAGAUAAUAUUAGAUUUAAUAUUUGUAGGAGAUAUAAUAUGAAACGGCUCAUCCCGAGGUAGUAAGUCUACAAUCAAUGCAAUAGCAAGACCUUCGAAUGCCAUUGGUAGGGUAUGAAUGUUUACACUGUCUGCGUUGAAUUGAACUUCUUUUGCAAGGUUGGACAAAGUCACUGUCAUAGGAAGCGGAUCUAGGGGAAGCUUGGCAUGUGACACUGUCCAUGACUUCCCAUUAUGAUUACAGCCGAUGAUUGAUAUAAAUCCAUCUUUGUCGAGUUGUACAUGUCAUGGGUGCAAUCUUCUUCUAGCGUACGUCGAAGAAGGACCUACCUUAUACCAAAGACCUCUUAUAUCGCGGUCUGGGGAUUGUUCAUCUUGUAGGAUGUGUUGAUCCAGAUUGGUGUGGACAAUCUCUGAUUUUAUGGGUCACCUCGAGACAAAGUCUGCUCUUAAUUCAUAAAUGGAUAUAGUUUAUCAAGAUGGUAAUUAAUCUUUGAUUAACCUGAUCUCCAAUUUCCAAUUUUGUUUUCCAUUGAUUGUAUCAAGGGCUACACAAAAGCAUUGUUUAGCAAUAAAAUGUAAUACUUGUUAAAAUAAAAGUAGAAAAUGUUACCUUGUAUAAGAUGUUAUCUUAGGUAAGUUGCUAGUGGUCAAAGGUUUGACUCUUGGUAUAUUAUAAGGGCAUCCAAUGGAUAUAGGACAAAAUCAUGGACCAAGAGUCAAAAUCAAAAGGAUAAAGUAUUAACAAGGGAAUAUCCAAAGACUAAGUAUGAGUCAUUGUCACGGAUACAAAAUACAGACAAGAAAACUAGACAAGAAGUUCAAGAAGAACUGGAUUAAUCAGAUGAGUACAAGAACAACACCAGAAAGGUGAGCUAGAACUCCAAGAGAUGUGUUGUCGAGACUGAAGAACCCUUCAGCCUCGACUCCUAUAUAUACUACUGAAUAGGAAGCUUCUCGAGCUACUUCCGCUAACUAGGACGCUUCUCCAACAACUUCUACUAAUUAGGAAACUUCUCAAGCAACUUCCUAGAAUCUAUCAGAAUAUUCUAGAACCUUCUAAGAGAAUCUUUAGGGAAUAUUCUAAGAAUCUUCUAGAACCUUCUAAAAGAAUCUUUAGGGAAUAUUCUAGAAGAAUAUUCGAAGAAUCUUUCAAUGUAUGUCCAUGACAUCACCUCCUCUUCUAACUUCGAGGUCUCCGAGAAGCAAUGUUGUUAUCAGUCAAUACCAACGCAAGAAAAUAAAAAUCUGUCGCAUCACAUCUGCUAUGAAUUCCAAUUGUUGUUCGCGAGGUAAAUGAUUCAUCGGCCCUUAGAGCCAACGGUAGUGACCAACACCUUCAACCUCUGACCAAGCGUGGACUUCUGUGUCUUCAUUGUCAAACUGUCCUCCAAACACACCUUCUGGCUGACCGUCGUAGGCAGGCUCGACCUCAAAUACAAUUACUAGCGAUCUGUUGCUCGGUAUCCUCCGACGUCGUCGUGGUGCAGGCGGUUCUUCAUCUCGCAGUCGUCUUCGUGAGCUAGUCGCUUGAAAUGACAUAACAAGUGUAGUAUCUUGACUAUCUAUGUCCAAAGGCUAAAAUGAUGAGAGCAAACUAUAGUUGCUAACAAAGUUCUACACUAUCGAACUAUGGGUUUUGGAGGUGCCCUCCCCCCUUUUUAUGCUACUUGAUGAGCAGGCUUCAGCAAGAAGCUGUCACGGACAAACAUAUAAUUACCUAUAUGAAUAGAUAAAAGUAUGUAAAAGUAGGUUAAUUGUGUAAUAUCUUCUAGAGAAGCUUCUUAGAAGCUUCAUAGACGCUGCUUUGACUUUAUAGGAGUCUAUAGUUGACUUUUAGGUUAGAAACUUGGUCAACAACUUAGCCAUGUGCCACGCAUGUUGGAAGCUUAAAGAACAAGCUAACUACGUGGUCCAUCCAUAGAAAACUUGCCUUGCAAGCAAAGGCAUGUGGCCUAGAAAGUCAACAUAUAUUGGAGGUCUUAUAGAACAUCGCCACGUGGCUUCUACUUAGAUAGUAUAUAUAGAGGCAAGAGUGAAGCCCUCUUCACUCUUGUCAACUCCUUUCUUGCUUCUAGUCCAGGUUCAAGAGUCUUUAGUUUCUUGUCUUGUGGCAAUAGCCAUUCCAGUUUCCUUUUAAUAUACCUACUUGUUUAUAUUUUGACUUAUUAUAUCGAGAUAGCCUUUUGGUGUAUAUUUUUCCUCAUCGAGUCUUUGUCCUUGACAGAAGCUAUCGUUGAAUCGGCUUAGGUUUAUGAGGAUAUCGUUGAUGAAAUUCUUGUACCUUUUUUGGCGCAUUGGCAAGAUUUUCGGCACGCUCCCACGUUCGUUCAUUGAUGUCGUAUCCACUCCAAUGCACUAAAUACUCCAAUUUUCUUCUAUUAUGCCGUGAAUCUAGUAUCUUUUCCACCUCGUAUUCCUCAUGGUUUUCAAUUUCGAUACUUGGUGGCGGACUUUGUACUCUUUGGGGAAAAGCUGACUCUCGAUAAGGUUCCAACAAAGACACGUGAAAGACUGGAUGUACCUUCAUAGUAGCUGGUAACUCCAGACGAUAUGCCACCGGAUUGAUCUGCUUCCCGAUAACAAAUGGCCCUAAUCUCCGAUAGUCCAAUUUGUCACAUGGCCGCUUGGUCUUGAUAUUCCGUCGAAGAAGCCAUACUUUACUUCCAACUUUAAAAGUAGGCGCCUCAUUUCGAUAUUUAUCUGCAGAUGCCUUGUAACUCUCUUGGGCAGAUUGCAAUUGAAGCUUCAACGUCGCUUGAAGCUCCGAUAGUUGCUUCACAAAUCCUUCAGCUGCUGGGUUGUUAUUUGCUGAAGAACUCAAUAAAUCGAGCUUGGGGUGGUAUCCGUAGUUGGAGAAGAAUGGUGUUUGUUGAGUUGACGCAUGAACAGUGUUGUUGUAUGCAAACUCAGCAAGCGGUAGAUAUGCAGUCCAAUCAUCUUGUUGAUAGUUGAUGCUGCAUCGUAAAUAUUGCUCCAAAACUUGAUUCACCCGCUCCGUUUGACCGUCAGUUUGAGGAUGAAAAGCCGAAGAGAGCUUAAUAUCCACCUUCAAUAUCUCAAAGAGGGACCUCUAAAACUUGGAUACAAACUGAGUACCUCGAUCCGACACGAUAUCAUCUGGUAGGCCAUGAUAACGAUAUAUGUUAUUAAGAAAGAGUCUUGCGGUGUCUUCACUUGACGAUGUUUUCUUGCAAGGCACGAAAUGUGCCAUCUUGGUAAAUCGAUCUACCACAACAAAGAUGCUGUCAAAUGAAUUCGAUGGCGAUAGGUCCGUAAUGAAGUCCAUAGAAAUUGAAGACCAUGGUCGGUGCGGAAUAGGUAAUGGCUGGAGAAGUCCAUACGGACGAUGUCGAGGGAAUCUUGGAUCUUGAACAAACAUCACAAGAAAGGACAAAUUCCUUCACAUCCUUCCACAUUUGGAGCCACCAAAAAUCUCGUGAAAUGAGCUCCAAAGUCUUGUUGAAUCCAAAAUGUCCCGCAGUUGGAAAGUCGUGGCGAGAUUGAAGUACUCGGAGUCGAGUUGGUCCUUUUGGGAUAUACAACCGCUCCUCAAAAUACAGAAGAUCUCCCUCCACCUUAAACUUGUCAUUAUCGACACGUUGUUUGAUGUCAAGAGCUAUAGAAUCCUCAAUGGUCGCAGUACGUACCUCGCUGAGGAAGCCGUCAUCGAUGGUUGCAACAGUAGCAAAAAUCCUGAAUUUUUCUGGUUUCAACAAUGUUGUACAUUGUUGAUCAAACGCUGCAUCUCCAGCCUUUGGCGCAAGAUACGAUCUCCUCGAUAAUGCGUUAGAUAAUCCUUGCUGUUUUUCAGGGCGGUAGGUGAUAAUAAAGUCAAAUCGUGAUAGAGACAUAUUCCAUCGAGCUUGACGACGAUUCAAAAUUCGAGCUGUCAUGAAGUACUCCAAAUUCUUGUGGUCCGUAUAAACAGUCACUGGAUGUGCAGCUCCUUCGAGGAAGUGACGCCACUCUUGGAAGGCAUCCACUAUAGCAAGCAGCUCUUUGUCGUGGAUCUCGUAGUUGAUCUCAGCAGCAGAGAAUUUCCGUGAAUAGAACGCAACUGGGUGAAGCUUCUUGUCUAUGCCCAUCUGUGAAAGCACAGCUCCCAAAGCAAAAUCUGAAGCAUCGGUCUCUAAAUAGAAAGCCUUUGCAAAGUCAGGGUGUACCAAGAUUGGAGCCGUAGUGAAUGCCGUCUUGAGAUCUUGAAAUGCUUUUGCUGCUUGUGAUCCCCAUUCGAGCUUGUCUUUGCUUGUUAGACGCGUGAGUGGUGCAGCAACUUGAGAAUAAUUCUUGAUGAAGAUCCGAUAGAAGUUAGCAAAUCCAAGAAAACAUUGAACAUCUCUAACCGUCUUCGAAACUUCCCAAGAUAUAAUUGCUUCUACCUUUUUUGGAUCCAUCUUCAAGCCCUCUGUAGUCGCAAUGAAGUCCAAAAAUUCCAUCUCAUUCUGGUGAAAUUGACACUUCUCCAACUUGGCGUAGAGUCCUCGUUCGCGUAAUUUUUCAAGAACCAAACAAACGUGCUUCUCAUGUUCUUCUUCAUUCUUGGAAAAUAUCAAAAUAUCAUCCAGAUAGAUGACAACAAAGUCAUCGAGGUACUCCCAAAAGAUGUCAUUCAUCAUAUGUUGAAAGACCGCUGGAGCAUUGGUAAAACCAAAAGGCAUGACAUUGUACUCAAAAUGGCCAUACCUUGUACGAAAGGCUGUCUUCCAUUCAUCUCCUUCUUUGAUUCGCACAAGGUUGUAGGCUCCUCUUAAAUCAAUCUUUGUAAAAAUCCUUGCACGUCCAAGUUAAUCUAAGAGGCCGGAGAUCAAAGGUAAGGGAUAGCGAUUUUUCUUGGUCACCUUGUUGAGUCCUCGGUAGUCCACGCACAUCCGCAGUGAGCCAUCCUUUUUCUUCACGAAUAGGAUUGGUGCUCCAGCUGGCGACUUUGAAUGUCGAAUAAAAUUCUUGGCUAGAUUCUCAUCGAUAUACUUCCGCAAUUCUGCCAACUCCGUCUGCGAUAGGUUGUAUAUUGGACCAAAAGGUGGUUGCGUUCCUUCCUCUAAGUCUAUGGCGCAAUCAUAUGGUUGAUGUUCCGGCAGUAUAUCGGCGUUCUUCUUCUGAAACACGUCUUCAAAAUCCCUAUAUUGCUCUGGUAUAUUCGAUGUUGAGAUAUUCUCGCCGCUAGUUGGAGCUGCAUAAAUGACAAAUGGUGCGCCUUCCUUGGACGAUCUUAGGAACGCUCUCGCUCCAAUAAACAUGGAUUUCUUCAUGUAGGUUCUACCAACAGGUUUAUUAUUAUUUUUUUCAGGAAAUGUUAUCCUUCGUAGCCUCCAAUCAAUGGACGGAUUAUGAUCUUCUAACCAAGAAAGACCAAGGAUAACAGGGCUUGAUGGGGUUCUAAUAAUAUUAAAAAUAACGUGACUACUAUGGUCCUUAAAUACCACUUCUAUAGGUUCUGAUUCGUGGGUAACGUUGCCUGACAAUAAGGGUCGUCCAUCUAUCACCUCUACGUGAACAGGUUUGGACUUCUGUACUAAACGGAUCUUGUGGCGUUUAGCAAACUCUUCAUCUAAAAAACAAGUAGAUGCCCCCGAAUCCAAUAAAGCUAAAGUUUUUUGUUUUUGAGGGCCUAAAAACAAAGGAAUUGUAAAACAACGGGCAGGUUGGACAGAGAAGGAGGAACCUGAUUGUUGUCGUGAUAUUAGAUUGUCCAGCCGCACGGUUCCUACUGUGGCUGGGCGUCGUCGUUUUCCGGAAUCAUCGCACUUCUAGUCUUGACAGGGUGCCAAUUUUACUUCUUUGGGCAAUUUCCAACCUUGUGACCUUCUUCUCCACAGUACAAACAUAACCCUUCUUCCAUACGCCGUUUCUUCUCUGUUGGAGUAAGAGAUCGGACACGCGCCGUAUCGAUUUGCAUGUCUGUUGCCUCCGAAUGUGAGUUUAAGCUAUUUGCAGACAUAGUCACGUCGUAACGAGUCAUUUGGUAUCUUGGACGUUGGUCUUGGCGACGCUGGAAUAGGCGGUUGUCACACUUUACAGCUUGGCUAAUAGCUUCGUUGAGCGUUUGAGGAUCAGGAAGAGAUAACAGCAAGUCCUUCACAUCAUCCUUCAAGCCCCAAUAAAACUGACUCACCAACGCCUCUUCACUCCAAUUAAUGUCACUUGCCAAUUGUCUGAAAUCUGAGGCAUAGACUGAUGCAGAGCGUGUUCCUUGUCGUAGCGAUCGGAUCUUUGUUGUAGCCCAUCGAACUUUAUCAUGCUCGCCAAAUGCUUCUGCAAACGCCUCCAAGAACGUUUCAGAGUUGCUGAGGAUUGGCGAUCGCUUCUCGAACAAGGGAGUAAACCAAGACAGAGCUUGUGCUAUAAGCAAGGUUCCAACAAGCUCAACACGCGCUUCCUCCGUCGGAUAACGUUCGGGCUGUAAAAUUGUUAUCAACCUGAUUUGGUUGACAAAACCUCGAAACUUGGAACGAGUUCCAUCAAACUUAUCCGGAAGACUAACUCGAGGCUCCCUUCGUUGUAGGACUACUCGAUCUUGUUGAAAUGGAGGUAGAACUGCUUCUUCUGGCACAGAAGUUUGAGGCUGAUAUGCUUUAGAUGGCGCUAUCCUAGAUGCUCCAUUGUUAUGGAGUCCUACCAUGACUCCUUCGAUCUCUGUUGUCCUAUGUGACAAUGAGGCAAGAGAAUUUAUGAUGGCGUCUAGUUUGGAUUCCAAACUUUCAGCCAUAUUAACGUCUUAACCUUCGGCUAACCUUCAGAAAGAAGAAAAAAGAGUUUUGACAAGAGGACAAUAUUGGUUCAGAGGAGAGUACUCCGCAACCUCUAAAACGCCUUAAGACUCCAAGAUGAGGGAUAAUCCACUCUCUCCAAGAAGAAUAAGGCUCCAAUAUUGAGAAAGAAGAGAUAUCAGUUUAGAGGAGGGUAAUCCGCAACCUCUAAAACACUAGCACACCUUUAAGAAGAGGGGUAAUCCACUCUCUAACAAGAAGGAACUAGCUCUGAUACCAGUGAAAAUGCAGUCUCGACAAACUGUCACGGAUACAAAAUACAGACAAUAAAACUAGACAAGAAGUUCAAGAAGAACUGGAUUAAUCAGAUGAGUACAAGAACAACACCAGAAAGGUGAGCUAGAACUCCAAGAGAUGUGUUGUCGAGACUGAAGAACCCUUCAACCUCGACUCCUAUAUAUACUAGUGAAUAGGAAGCUUCUCGAGCUACUUCCGCUAACUAGAACGCUUCUCCAACAACUUCUACUAAUUAGGAAACUUCUCAAGCAACUUCCUAGAAUCUAUCAGAAUAUUCUAGAACCUUCUAAGAGAAUCUUUAGAGAAUAUUCUAAGAAUCUUCUAGAACCUUCUAAAAGAAUCUUUAGAGAAUCUUAAGAGAAUAUUCUAGAAGAAUAUUUGAAGAAUCUUCUAAUGUAUGUCCAUGACAGUCAUUAGUAUGUGUCAUAGGAUACCUUCGAAGUUCGUGAGAUGCCAAAGGAUCCUAAGAGCAUGUGUGUAAGACGUAAGAGUAAUUAGUAUUAGACAUAGGAUACUCUUGGGACUCGUGAGAUGCCAAAAGGAUCCUAGGACUAUGUGUGUAAAAAUCAAAGAGUGGACGUUGUCUUUUAGGGCAGCAACUACCACCUAUAAGUAAUGGGUGUUGGAAGUGAGAGAUAUCUUACUCCAUACUCUUUUUGUAUGCAACCUUGCUGAUGCUAAGUGUUGUAUCUUCUAAGUACUUAAUAGGUUAUAUUUUUUUAAUAGGUUAUGAGUCCACUCACCUUUACUUCUGAAUUUUGAAGUACUUUGAAGUCUUUCUUGUUGUAAGGAGUAAAUCUUAUAGUUAUUGCUGAAUUUUGAGUUUGUUAUCUUCUAAUCCUUCUUAUGCAUCUAGUUGUUAAUGUAAUUUUACUCUUAUUUAUUAUUAAGUGUACUUAUAGUCUUUGUUCUUAUUAGACUCCAUAUAAUGAUGUUUUAGAACUCUAGUGUUAUAUUUCUUUACUGAGAUUUAUCAUUGGUGUUCUAACUUUGUGCUUUCAUGUACUUAAUUUCUUAAGAGAUUGUUCUAUUUUCACAAGAAUUUUUUUUUUUGUGAGGUUAGAAGUAUUUUGUGAGAAAAGAGGGGUGCUUGAAGAGUGGCAAAGCUUAUACAAGAAGUUCAAAUAGAGUGUAAGACUUGUGAGAAGUCUUACAUGUGAAGUUGAGAGUGAUACAAGAGUGAAAUCACUUGUUUACUUACAAAGAGGGCAUUCUGGGUUUCUAACGCAGCAAUACCUUCUUGUUGAUUUUGAGAGUUCUAUAUCUUCUUUUUUUAAUUUUCUUUCAUACAUCCCUUCCUUAAACAUGGCUUGAAGUGAGGGUGAGAGCUUGAGAGUGAUUGAGAAGUUUAGGGGUGACAACUUUUACCAUUGGAAGAAGAAAAUGGAGCUUUUGUUGGCUUCAUUGGACCUUUGGGACAUUGUUGAUGAAAGUGAAGACCCUCUAAGUGACAAUGCUGAUAUCAAAGCGAAGAAGAAGUACAAACGUUGUGAAAGGAAGGCUUUUGGGAUGAUUGCAACAAAUCUUGAUGAUGCCAAUUUUUCACAUGUUAUAGCUUGCAAUGGACCAGCGAAAGCAUGGAAGACUCUUUGCAAUAUCUAUGAGAGUGGAAACCUUGCCAACAUCCUUUGGUCAAAGAAGAAAUUUUUGACAAUAAAGAUGGAAGAAGGAGAUGACCUCAUGGCUCAUAUUAAUAAGGUAAAAGUACUUAGUAACCAACCAGCAGUUGUUGACAAACCAGUUGAUGAUAAGGACAUUGUAUUGACAUUGCUCAUGAGCCUUCCCGAAUCCUACAACUACCUCAUUGUGGCAUUGGAGUCCAUCAACAUGAAGGAGCUUACCAUGAACUAUGUCACGUCAAGACUUGCCGAUGAAGUGACCAAGAAGAAAGAAAAGGAGCUUGCAAGUGAUGAUUCGGCUCUAUUUUCAUCACAUGGCAAAGGUAGCUAUUCUCACCAACGUGAUAAUUUAAAAAGGAAUAUGAAGAAUUGCUAUAUUUGUGAGAAACCAGGUCAUUUUGCUAGAAAUUGCUAUAAGGCCAAGAAAGGAGAUAGGGAGAAUGCAAACAAUGUUAGUGAUAGUUUUGGUAGAAAUGAGUAUGCUUUCAUGACAAAGGAAGGAGCCUCCAUAGAUGCCAUGUCAAAGUGGAUUAUAGAUUCACGUGCUACUAAGCACAUGAUACCAUACAAGUGUUCAUUUGACACUUAUGAAGAAAUUCCAACAACAAAAGUAUGGUUGGGAGACAAUGGCAUGGUACAAGCCAUUGGAAUUGGCUUCAUUGUAAUAAAGAUUGUUGUGAAGGACCAAAUGAAGAAGAUCAGAUUGAAAGAAGUCCUACAUGUGUCAAAAAUGAAGAAGAACCUUCUUUCGGUGAGCAAACUUGUAUCACAUGGUUGUAAGGUUCAAUUUGACAUGAAUGGAUGUUUUGUCAAGACAUUGGAUGGCCAACAUGUUGCCAAAGGCCUUAGAGAUGGAAAUCUCUACUUCAUCAAUUGUAAAAAGGUGAAUGGAGUUGAAGUGGCGGCAUUUGCUGAUUUUUCACAAGAUCAAGACAAGUUUAGAAUUUGGCAUCAAUGUCUUAGUCAUUUGAAUGCCAAAUGCAUGAAGGAGCUCCGAUCUAUAGUAAGUGGCUUGGAUCUUGGUCAAUUCAGCCACAAUGCCAUGACACUUGCUUGUAAAAGAUGUAUACAAGGCAAACAACAAAGGGCUUCAUUUCCAAGUAGAGUUGCAACACGUGCAACAAAAUUCUUGGAGAUUGUGCACUCACAUGUUUGUGGACCAAUGAAGACACUAUCAAUUGGAGGAGCAAGAUACUUUGCUACAUUCAUUGAUGAUUUCUCAAGAAAGGUGUGGAUUUACAUCAUUAAAACUAAGAGUGAACGUUUCUCAAAAUUUAAGGAAUUUAAGGCUCUUGUAGAGAAACAAUAUGAGUGCUAGAUCAAAGUGUUGAGAACGGAAAAUGGAGGUGAAUACAUGUCAAAGCAUUUUGAUGACUUCAUGAAGAUUCAAGGUAUUGCAAGACAAACCUCUACUCCCUACACUCCACAACAAAAUGGAGUUGCUGAAAGAGCAAAUCGUACCAUUGUGGAGAUGGCAAGGAGUAUGCUUCAUACACAAACCUUAGGCAUGAAUAUUUGGCGGAAGCUGUGAUAAAUAGGUGUACACAAAGAAUAGGUGCCCUACAAGUGCACUUACAUCAAUGACUCCACAAGAAGCUUGGAAUAGGAAGAAACCUUGUGUUUCACACAUGAGGAUUUUUGGAUGCAUUGCUUAUACAAAGGUACCAGAUUGUAUGAGGUCCAAACUUGAUGCAAAAGGUACAAAAUGUGUAUUUGUUGGAUAUUGUGAAGGUACCAAAGCAUAUAGGCUAAUAUGUUUAGAAACCAAGAAGAUUAUCAAAAGUCGUGAUGUAGAGUUUUUGGAGCAUAAGAGUGCUUUUGAUCACUUAGAAGAGUAUCCAAGUGGAAGUAAAGGUGUGUUUGUGGACAUAUCUUUAAGUUCAGCAAAGAAAGAAGAAGAAGAUGAUGAUGAUGACAAUGAGGAUGGAGAAAAUAGAAGUCAAGAUCAAGUGCCAAAGAAGGUAAAUCAUAGUGUGCCUUCAAUUGCUAGAACCAACAAUGAAGACAAUGAAGAUAUUGAAGGUGAUGAUGAUGAUGAAGAAUAUCAACCUUUGAGUGAGAAAAGACAAGCAUUGAGGAAGAAGAAGGAUGGAAUGCAAGAAGAAGGGUUUUCUUCAAAUGAAAGGAGAUAUCCUUUGAGAGAAAGAAAACCAUGUGGUGAAUGGUGGAAGGAACACAUCUUUCCUCAAGUAAGUGAAGAACAUGCCAAUAUUGCACUUCUUGCUGAUCUGUUGAAUUUAUGUGAUGCAAUGAAGUCCACGGAUGCAUUGAAGUAGGAGAAUGCUAUGGAAGAAGAAUACAAAUCACUCAUGGACAAUGGAACAUGGGAAUUGAUUCAACUUCCACCAAAUCGAUCUUCAAUUGGUUGUAAGUGGGUGUUUAGAACCAAAACGGAUGCAAUGGGCAAUAUUGUGAGAUACAAGUCUAGAUUGGUUGCCAAAGGCUACUCACAAGUUGCUGGUGUAGAUUUCAAUGAGACAUAUGCUCUCGUGGCCAAAUUCACGACUAUUAGAAGCAUUGUGGCAAUUGGGGCAGCAAUAGAUUUGGAGAUGCAUUAAAUGGAUGUGAAGAUGGCUUUCUUGAAUGGAAGUUUGAAAGAAGAUAUCUACAUGAAUCAACCUCAAGGAUUUAUUGAAGAAGGCAAACAACACCUUGUUUGUAAGUUGAAGAAAUCCUUGUAUGGACUAAAGCAAUCACCAAGGGCUGUCACGGCCAUAAUCAUGUAAGCUAAUAAUUACAUAUAGAAAUAGGUAGAAGUAAGUAAAAGUAGAUAAAAGUAAGUUAAUUCUAUAAUAUUUAAUAUAGAAGCUUCCUAGAAACUUCCUAGACGCUGCUUUGACUUCAUAGGUGUCUUUAAUUGACUUUUUGGAUUAGAAACGUGGUCAACAAGUUGGCCAUGUGCCACACAUGUUGUUAGCUUGAAGAUCAAGCUAACUAUGUGGCCCACACGUAGAAAAACUUGCCUUGUAAGUCAAGGCAUGUGUCCUACAAAGUCAACACAUAUUGGAGGUCCUAUAGAACGUCGCCACGUAGCCCCUAGUUAGAUAGUAUAUAUAGAGACAAGAGUGAAGGCUUCUUCACUCUUGUCAACUCCUUUCUUGCUUCUAGUCCAGGUUCAAGAGUCUUUAGUUUCUUGUCUUGUGGCAAUAGCCAUUCCAGUUUCCUUUUAAUAUACCUACUUGUUUAUAUUUUGACUUAUUAUAUCGAGAUAGCCUUUUGGUGUAUAUUUUUCCUCAUCGACUCUUUGUCCUUGACAGAUUGACAAGAGUACACUUACAAUAUCAGAGCUUUGUUUUUUUCUUGAGUAAGAGUGGAUUACCCCUUUCUCUUGACAAGACAUAAGCGUAUUAGAAGUUUGCGGAUUACCCACUUCUAAACUGAUAUUGUUCUUAGUAUCUUCUUUGUUAUCAAGUCUUUCUUUUCUUUUGUCUUGAGCAAUAUCAAACAAAUUUUUCUUCUUAGUGUCAUUAUGGUAGAGCUUGUUGAAAUGAAGAGUGCAAUGGCACAAAUGCAAGAGCAAAUGAGGGAGUUAAUGCUUGCGAUGCAUCAACUCAAUUCACCAACACAGGAAAGAACAAGAACAGCAGAAAGUGGAGAUAUAGAGAUGAUCGGAGCUGCUUCAACAUCUACAACAAAUCACGUUCCUUCUCCAAUUGUACAACACCCUAUAAGCACUAGAGAACCAAGAAUUACCUUACCUGAGAAAUUUGAUGGUACGAGAUCAAAGUUUCGAGGGUUCAUCAAUCAAGUACAAUUGGCAAUUGAACUUCAACCGCAAAGCUAUCCAACUCCAGGAUCACAAGUCAGGUUUAUUGGCACUCUACUUUCUGGUUCUGCAUUAUCGUGGUUUUCGUCUUUUCUUGAACAACGAAAUCCAAUAUUGGACAAUUUGGAAGCUUUUUUGGCAGAGUUUCGAUCUAUGUAUGGUGAACACGAUGCAACUCGUGUUGCAACAAAUAAGAUCCGAAUUCUACGACAAGGAAAUCGCUCAGUAACAGUAUAUGCUUCACAAUUUCGACAACUUACAAUUGACAUCAAGUGGGAUGAUGCUGCACUCAUCAGUCAAUUUCUUUAUGGAUUGCAAUACGAAGUAAAGAAAUUGAUGCUCAACUUACCUGAUCCUCAAACUUUGAGUCAAGCAAUCGAUUUUGCAGUAAAAUGUGAUAAUUGACUUUUUGAAUUUCGAUCUGAGAAUCAUUCACGGGAACCUCAACGUUAUUACUCAAUGGCAACAUCAACAUCUUUGCCAAACGUACAUUCAGAAGUAGAAGACAUGCAAAUUGACGCGGUACGUUUUAAACCCCUAACUGAGCAAGAAAAGAUUCGUCGUCGUCAAGAAGGAUUAUGUUUAUAUUGCGGAGAACCUAAGCACACUGCUCAACAUUGUCCAAAGAAACGACGCAACUAUAAAAUGAGGGAUACGACGGUCAAAGAAGACAACAUGUCGGAAAACGGAUUCGUCCAGCUACAAUAGGGACCGUGCAGCUGGAACCUUGUACAAUUCCUAAUGAAGGUCCUAUCCUCUCCUCAGAACCCUCUCCUUGUUUUAUAAUAGACUUAUAUUUAGGACCUAAGAAUUACAAAGCCUCUACUUUAUUAGAUUCGGGAGCCUCAGCAUGUUUUUUAGAUGAACAAUUUGUUAAAAGUCAUAAAAUACCCUUUGUACAGAAACCUAAACCAGUACAUGUAGAAGUCAUAGAUGGUCGUCCCUUGUCUUCUGGAGAUGUCACUCAUGAAACUCAUCCUAUAAAAGUAACAAUAGACGGUCAUGAUAGCUACAUAGCUUUUAACAUAAUUAAAUCCCCGUCUAAUCCAGUUAUUUUAGGUUUAUCCUGGCUAGAAAAAUAUAACUCUCGAAUAGAUUGGAAUUCGCGUAAACUUGACUUUUCCGAAAGCGUUAUUAAUAGUUCUACGAACCAAGUAAAAAAUUAUAAGUCUAGUACAGUAAAACCCGUACUGAUUGGUGCAAAAGCAUUUAUACACGCAGCAAAAAAAGGAUCAACUUUUGCUAUUUAUGCUGCACCUAUUUCUGAAAACGUAAAGACUUCAAGUGGCAUUCCAAGUCAAUAUCAGGAGUAUCAAGACGUUUUUGAGAAAAAGAAUGCAGAUAUUCUUCUUGAGCAUCGCCCAUAUGAUUGUUCAAUCGACCUCAAGGAAGGAACUCAGCCACCAUUUGGACCAAUUUACAGUUUAUCGCAAGAUGAGAUGGCUGAACUCAAGACAUAUAUUGACGAGAAUUUAGCGAAGAAUUUCAUACGCCAUUCAAAAUCUCCAGCAGGAGCUCCAAUUCUAUUUGUAAAGAAAAAAGAUGGAUCUUUACGAAUGUGUGUUGAUUAUCGAGGACUCAACAAGAUCACAAUUAAGAACAGGUAUCCAUUACCUUUGAUAUCAGGACUCCUUGACCAGUUGAAUCAAGCUAAGAUCUAUACAAAAAUAGAUCUAAGAGGAGCAUAUAAUCUAGUACGGAUCAAAGAAGGAGAUGAAUGGAAGACUGCGUUUCGAACCAGGUAUGGACAUUUCGAAUAUAAUGUCAUGCCCUUUGGACUCACGAAUGCACCAGCUGCUUUUCAACAUCUCAUGAAUGAUGUAUUUCGUGAAUUCUUAGACAAUUUUGUCGUCUGCUAUCUAGACGAUAUCCUGAUCUAUUCCAAGAACGUCGAAGAACAUGAAAUACAUGUUCGUCAAGUAUUACAAAAACUUAGAGAUGUAGGAUUGUACGCCAAGAUGGAAAAGUGUGUAUUUCACACUACUCAAGUUGACUUUUUAGGAUACAUCAUUUCAAAUGAUGGUCUCAUGAUGGAUUCUAAGAAAGUCCAAACAAUCGUGGAUUGGAAGAUUCCAAGGACGGUAAGAGAUGUCCAAUGUUUCUUGGGAUUUGCUAAUUACUAUCGGAUCUUCAUCAAAGAUUUCUCACAAGUUGCAGCUCCACUUACACGCUUGACUAGUAAAGAUAAAUUUCAAUGGAAUCAAGAAGCGGAAGCAGCAUUUGAAGCCUUGAAGACAUCGUUUGUCUCUGCACCAGUCUUAUAUCGUGUUGACUUUUCCAAGGCAUUUUUUAUGGAAACAGAUGCAUCAGAUUUUGCCUUGGGUGCAAUUUUAUCACAAAUGGGAACAGAUGACAAACUCCAUCCGAUAGCUUUUCAUUCAAGAAAAUUCUCAGCAGCCGAGAUCAAUUAUGAGAUCCACGAUAAAGAACUUCUUGCGAUCGUGGAUUCCUUUCAAGAAUGGCGUCAUUAUCUAGAAGGCGCUUCUAGUCCAGUCACUGUGUAUACAGAUCACAAGAACCUCGAGUAUUUCAUGUCAGCACGCGUGUUGAAUCGUCGUCAAGCUCGUUGGAGUAUGUCUUUGUCAAGAUUCGAGUUCAUUAUCACUUAUCGGCCAGGAAAACAACAAGGUUUAUCCGAUGCCCUAUCUAGACGUUCUUAUUUUGCACCAAAAGAAGGAGAUGCAGCUUUUGAGCAACAAAGAACGGUCCUCUUGAAACCGGAGCAAUUUCAUCUCCGAGCAAUGAAAUCAACAUUGACUGUUGAUUCAACUUUUCUCAAGCAAAUCCAGUCCAGUAUGUCCUCAGACCCUCUUGUUUAUGAUAUCGAGAAUAAUUCUUCCAAGUCUCAUGAUCCUUCUAAGUUUGAGUUCAAGAAUAAUCUAUUAUAUUUUGAAGGACGCCUAUAUGUUCCAGAAAGAGAAGCACGUUUACGUGUUCUUCAAGCACGUCAUGACUUUCCAGCAGCAGGGCACUUUGGAUAUAAUAAGACUUUGGAACUCAUAUCAAGAGAUUUUUGGUGGCCACAAAUGUGGAAGUCAGUCAAAGACUUUGUACAAUCAUGUGAUAUUUGUUCAAGAUCAAAAAUUCCUCGUCAUCGACCUUACGGACUUCUUCAGCCAUUACCUAUACCAGAACAACCAUGGUCUUCUGUUUCUAUGGAUUUCAUCACAGAUCUUCCAAGCUCAAGAUCUUAUGAUUCUAUAUUUGUGAUAGUAGAUCGUUUCACCAAGAUGGCACAUUUUGUGCCAUGUACAAAAUCUAUCACAGGUGAAGAAACAGCUAAGCUUUUCAUUGAUAAUAUCUAUCGCUAUCAUGGAUUACCUAAAGAUAUCAUAUCGGAUAGGGGAACUCAAUUUGUGUCAAGAUUUUGGAGGACCCUUUUCAAGAUUUUAAAAGUGGACAUAAAACUAUCUUCGGCUUUUCAUCCUCAAACUGAUGGACAAACAGAGCGCGUAAACCAAGUCUUGGAGCAAUAUUUAAGGUGUACUAUCAACUACCAACAAGAUGAUUGGACAACCCUUCUGCCAUUGGCAGAGUUUGCUUAUAAUAAUACGGUACAUUCUUCCACGCAACAAACAC